RNAcentral lists this long non-coding RNA (101953 nucleotides) under Lupinus angustifolius (narrow-leaved blue lupine). RNAcentral's name for it is "long non-coding RNA (LANG_LNC001265)". The record is from RNAcentral. Lineage: Eukaryota; Viridiplantae; Streptophyta; Magnoliopsida; Fabales; Fabaceae.
UCUGUUUGCAUAGCCUUGACCCAAUGAGGAAAUUUGACAGCUUGACUUUAGUGUUUAGGUUCAAUACUGGUGGUUAUAGACAAAAUAUGACUGAGACAUGGUUGUGUGAUGGAUGUGUAUGAUAAAACAAAGGAUAGAGGAUGAAAAAUACCUUUUUGUGAUGAUGGAGGAGAUGAAGUGAGAAGGUUGUAGUGAAAGUCUCUAAGGUAUAGGGAGGAUGUCUUAGUCUAUAUGAUUUUCUGGUGUGUGAUAAUAAUGGAGAAGUACUAGGCUCAUUUGUUGUUGGAAUAUUGAAGGAAGUUGGCAUGGAUUGGUAGGAAGGUGAAAGAGAAUGGUUUUGCUGAUGAGAUUUAGUUGGUGAUGAAUGUCUACUAUGUGUAGGUGAGGUCUGUAUGAUAGUUUGGUGCAAAGUUGUUCUAUUAUGUUUGGAUGAUUAGGAGGGUUAAUAUCCAAGAAAGAAAAAUCAUUGGUCUUGUUAGUGUCACAAAGAGUGGAUGAAGGUAGUGUAUAAUGAUUAAAUUCAGUGUGCACAAUGUAAGGAAAAAUGUUUUCAUGAAAUAUAACAUUUCUAGACACAAAAUUUUGUCUACUAUAUAAGUCUAGAAGAAUAAAACCUUUUGUGCCUAACUUAUACACCAGAAACACACACUUCCUUGAGCUUGCCUCUAGUUUUGAUCUGUUAUGAAGACUUGUGGUGGCAAAUGCUUGACAUCCAAAGACUAUAAUAUCAGAUAGGUUAGGACUUGUUUGAUGCAAAAGUUCAUAAGGACAUUUGUUUUUAAGAAUUUUGCUUGGUAAUCUAUUUAUGAGAAAAGUAGCAUGUUGUAAAGCAUAGGACCAAUAAUGCUGAGACAAAUUUGAUUGAAACAACAAAGCCCUAGUGACAUUAAGAAGAUGUCUAUGCUUUCUCCAAACCACUGAAUUCUGCUGAGGAGUUUCAGUGCAUGAGGUUUGAUGAAUGAUGCGUAAGUUACUAAAAAAUUGUGAAUCAUUAAACUCAAUUCCAUUGUCAGUUCUCAAGAUUUUUACUAUUUUAUUGUAUUGGUUCUUAACAAAGGUUGUAAAAUUUUGCAUCAAAGGUCUUGUUUCAGCUUUUGAUUUCAUCAAAAAAGUCCAUGUGUUUUUGCUAUGAUCAUCAACCACUGUAAGAAAGUAUUUAUGUCCAUGUAUUGAACUAAUAGAAAGAGGACCCCAUAUAAACAUAUGAACAAUUGCAAAAAAAUCACGACUUCUAUGUUUUUGACUCAAGAAAGGCAACCUAGAUUGUUUUGCCAAGUAACAAUGAUCACAAACUAUCUUGCUAUCAGAAUUUACAUAUGAAAUUCUUUUACAUAUACUGUGUAGCACAGAUAUUGAUGGAUGCCCUAGUGUGAAGUGCCAUAAAUCAAACUGAGGCUUAUUUUGUUUGGCUUGAAAAACAGAGUUCACAUUGUAACGCACCGAAAAUGACUUCUCAAAAACAUUGCGGAAAAAUGGGUAAAUUUUUUUUUUGAAUUGGUGACUUAAAAUUGUUCCUUUUCAAAUAUUCCUUUUCUAGGACAUCACUUUAAGUAACUCGAAUGCGGAAAAUCAACUUAUCAUUAUCGAAUGAUAACUCAACCUGAUUCACAAUUUCCUGAAUAACACAAUGCGUACAAUUUUUCCAAGGCCUAUAAUUUUUUUCCUCACACUUUUUGGCUCAUUUUAAUGUUCAAGUUGUAACUAUGGUUUACUAAAUUUUGUGAUGUUUUUGACAUUACCAAAACAACCCCAACAUCAUACUUUUUUAAUCAAUCAAGCAAAAAUCACAUGUUCACAAAAACUGUCAAAGUAAAAAAUUUCAAAAUCUUUGGUUGCAUCAUAUUUUCCAAAACAGCCCCAAAAUCUUAUUAACACAUUGAAACAAAUUUCUCAAGAGUUUUUAAGGUACAUGAAAAAGUGAGAAUACGACUUGCAAGAUUUCAAAUUUUUGUGCAUGUAUGGGCUUUUUCUCCUUUAAGAAAUUUUUAUGAUGAGGUUUUAAGCCAAAGCAUAAAAUUUCAAGCCACGCAAAUAUUUUUAAUGUCGUUGGAAAUUUGCCAUUUUAAAACAAAUUUUUGGCUAAAAAACUUACUUAAAUUUCUACGCAUUUUUGCCACUUGAUUGAGUUAUUUUUUAAAUACUUUGUGAACAAACCAAGACCUUAAAAAGUUUGCUUUUCCAUAAUCAUGAAUGAGUCAUAUCUAGGCAUGUUUGGUCACAAAGUUUAUGAAUCAAUCAAAUUUAUGUUGGAGAAAAAUUCUAAAAGAAAAUUUUCAAAAUUCAAACUUUUUUAAGACAAAAUUUUCACAUGCACAAUAUUCCAUUUAUAUUCAGCACACAUUCAACAUAAUUACUCAUGAAAGCUUAAGGAGAUUCAAAAAUCACAUAUUUUCUUUGAAUCUUUGUGAAUUUUUUUGUCUUUGAUGUUUAAAAUUUUCACUAAUCAAAAAGGGUUUCAAGAAGAACAAAAAAGAUUAAAGCUUCGAAGGAUACGACACUUACAUGUUUGACGCUUGAAACUUUGAAGAAAAGAGAGAGUUUUUUAGGAGAGUUAUUAGAGAGAUUUAUUUUGGUUUUUCAAAAUUAUGAUGUGAGUGAAUUUUCGGUCAAGGGGGGUUUAAAUGGGAUGGAAUUUCAACAAGGAUAAGAGGAUAAGGGAAAUCCUCAUUUGGAAAAAAAUUUCAUGUGGCUCCAGUUGGUGCGUUGGGCGCCCUGUCAGCCCCGCCAGGCGUACCGGUCAGCUUUGACUGGUUUGGCUUGGCCCAUGUUGGGCCGUGUUGGCUCACAAGUUAGGCCCAUUUUGAUCCCAAAAAAUGUUUUACUCAUUUCCUCUUUUAUUUGAUUUUCAAAAAAUUGUUUUUAUGGACCAAAAUAAAGUUUCUCAGUUUUAUCUUUGAAAAUUUUGAAAUUAAAGAAUAGGACAAAACAUAUUUAUAUAUAUAUUUCCAAAAUGGACUGGGUUGCCUCCCAGCAAGCGCUUCUUUACCGUCAUUAGCUUGAUGCAUGUUACCUACAAAAACUUCCCAUCCUACUGCCCAUAUGAGCUAGAUUCACCUUGCAAGAUAGCAUUGCAAUGCGCCCUUGGAUUGACUUCCAUAUUGGUAGAAAAUGUUGUUUUCUAAUUUUCAGCCAAUUAUUUGGCUAGCUGCCCAAUUUGAAUUUUCAUAUUCCUAAGGGAAGCAUUUGUGUUUUUCUGGUUGGACAUUGCCAUUUGCAUGAAUUGAUUAAGAGUGUUCUCCAGUUUAACAUUCUUAUCUUGGAUAGGAUGUUGAUAUUGAUUGGGUCUGGGAUAGAAUGGUGGUUUCUGAGGAUUGUUCUGCCUCCAUGGUUGGUUCCCUUGAAACUGAUUUCCUCCCCUUGGGUAAUUGUUUUGGAAAUUAUGCCUUGUAGGAUUGUUGACAAAUUGUACUUCCUCAGUCUGAGUCUGGCACUGGCCCAUAUCAUGAUCAUUACUACACUAGUCACAUUUGUAAACUUGCUUCUUUGAAGACUCUUUGAUCUGUCUAGGCAGAUCAUUAAGCUUUUGAGAUACUUCAUCUAAUUGUUGUUGAAGUAGUUUCUGUUGUGCUAACACAACAUCUGUUGGACUUAGUUCCAAGAUUCCACCUCUCCUUGGUGGGGGUCCUCUCUGAUGUUGGCUUUUAUGAUCAUUCAUGGCCAUGGACUCGAUGAUGUCAAUGGCCUCUUGCAGGGUCUUUGUCAACAAUUGUCCACUCAUAGUUGCAUUUAAAAUCCACUUAUGAUAUCGUUGUAACCCAUUAAUGAAAAUAUGGAUUUAUGUUUGCACAUCAAACCUGUGAUUGAGGCAUUCCUCAUCAUAGACUUGAAUAUGUCCCAUGAUUCACAAAAUCUUUCAUUCGCUAGUUGCACAAAAGUGGAUAUGGUAGUCUUCAUAUCCAUAUACUUCCCUUGUGGGAAGUGUCUGUUCAUGAAUUUUUCCUCUACCAGAUUCCAUUUAUUUUGGAUAUGUGUAGGUAAAUCCAAGAACUACUCCUUGGUUUUCCCAAUGCGAGUCAAUUGGAAAAGCUUGAGAAAUACAACCUCCUCUUCCGCCUCAGAUAUCUCAGUAGUCCCAACUAGUUCAUAGAACUUAGUUACAUGGUUGUAUGGAUCUUCAUGAUCUAGCCCAACAAAAGGAUUUGUGUACAUGAGUUGUACUAAUCCAUACUUCAUCUCAGGAGGCUUUUGAUUACCAGCAGGCCUCCCUAUUUUGAUCAUGUUUGUUGGGUUGAAGCUGACAAAACCCUGAACAGUGGGUUGGUUUUUAGCUCGUGAACCAUCAACAUUUUGUUGAUUGUUGGUCAUUGAUGGAUCUGCUACCUUUGGAAUAGAUUGGGUUUGACUUGCUUUUUUCUGUGCUUUCUUCUUUUUUCUUAAUGUUUUUUUCUAAUUCUGGAUAGAAAAAGAUUUCUAUAUGUUCACUCUUGCAAUUCAUACACAAAAAAGACUUUUGUCUAUUUCCAAAGAAAAGAGAUUAGUAGAAAAGAUAUGAAUUUACAAAGUUUUUUUAAUUUACAUUUUUAUACAAAUUAAAAUUUUAAAUUUUGUACAAAAAGUAAACAGAAAUUUUAUGCACACUUAUUAAUGAUAUAAUAUACUAUAUAAAUUUUUUCUAAAAAGCAAUUUUCUGGCAACGACGCCAAUAUGUUGAAAUGAGAGAUUUCACUAAGCUAGGAAUUCCCCUUUCAACAACAAAACGUGACACUUUGUAGGAGAGUUUUCCUAGUUGUUGCAAGUUUAUUUUAUUUUAGAGUGAUGAGUGAUGAGUGAUGAACAACUUAUUUAUUUGGUGACUUUAUUUAUUCACUCGCUUUUCCGGUUCCUUUUAACCAUACCAUAAAGGUCGGUCUCAUUUUAUUAAGUUAACCAUACCAUUUCUUAUGAAAGAUUGGUAUCAAAGAAUAAAAUGAACAAAAAAAAUAAAGUUAGAAGUUAACCGUACCACUUCUUUCAAAGGGUUGGUAUAAAGAAUAAAGAAUAAAACCCUAAAUAAAUGUUAGUUGCGAAAAUGUAAAUGACUGAAAGUAAAUGUUAGUUGCGGAAAGUAAAUGACAGAAGGUAAAUGUUAUUGCAUAAAUAAAAUGACAGAAAGUAAAUGUUAGUUGCAGAAAGUAAUUGACAGAAAGUAAAUGUUAGUGGUUAGAUUAUUAUUUUUCACUCUUUAUUUGUUAAGUAACAAUCCAUUGAUUGGAUUGCACUCUUUUACAUAUUAUUCUUUGGUACGAAGUUACAAACCAUGAAUUGGUUUGAACUUAUGCUUUUAGGAAUCUUUUAUUCAACAAAUAAAAUUUAUAAGUCAACACUUUACUAUGUUACACUUGCAUCUCUUUUCAAUAUUCAAUUUUAAUAUAGUAUAGAGUUUUGCCGAACCAAAUGCAAUUGCAUUAGAAGAAGAUUAUAUAGGCAUAUUAUAGCAAAAAUAAUGAUUUACAACUUUUUUUGAUGAUUUUUAAGUUAUGCUGCAUAAAAAUAUUAACAAGGAAACAUAGACUAAUAUUCACAAAUUAUUGAGAAGAAAAUUGAUUUGAAACAUGGAAUUAUUUUUAGACUCGUAUGAUUUUGAAAAACAUUACAAGUUAUGUGUUAUACUUUCGGUUAAUUCCACACACCAUUUCUAAAUCCUUCAUCUAGUGUCCUAGUAUGAUAAGAUGAUUUUCAAACCUUAUGUAAUACACUAAAUAAUAGUUAAGUGACACUCGUCGGAGUAGGUUGUCACACACUACUUCAGGCUCCAUUAACAUCAUUUAGCCUUGAACAUAAGUUGCUUAAAAUAGAUGUUUGAUAUGAUAAGUGAACUAAGGUAUAGGUUAUACUUUUUAGUUUACUUGUCAACACUUUAAGAUGAAGCAUUUUUGGAUCUUUAAAUCAACUUUUAGGUGAUCAAGCUAAAAUGACAUUAAGAACUUCUCAAAGAAUAAAAAUUAAAAAAAAAUAAUAACUUAAAUGUAUUGAAAUCAAAAUGUGAUACAAAUGAGGAAAAUAAAUAAAAUUACACCAUAAUCCAUAUCAAUGUGUAGGAGCAUAAGCCAUCUAUCCAAGGAUGAGAUGCUUUUAGACCCAAUUGAGAUUACAAAAUUGCUUUUAUGUUACAUUUGCCAUCUCCUUUUCUCCUAUUGAAUUCUAAGUAAAAAAUUUACAAGAAUUUACCUCGAACAAGCUUAGAAUCGUGACAAGAAUUUCUAGAUAGAAGAAGUGAAGAAUAAAAAGAAUGUGUAUUGAAGUGAAUUUUGAAUGGAAUGUGAAUUGAAUGCCUUUGAAGAGUGGAAGAAGGCCUUUAUUUAUAGGCAACUGUGACCGCCUGGCUCCUUCCUGCUCCAGGCUAGGUGCACCAAACCCUUCAGCAUGAGUUUGGUUCAUGACCAAGCAGCUUAGUCAGCUGCUUGGUGUUGACUCACCAAAGCUAGUUGUGAGCUAAAUGACCAGGUUAUUGUGAACUACUCUGAAAAAUGCUUAGAGGCCUUGUCAAGUGAGAUCAUGCAUGAUGUCAAAGUUGCUUGGUGGCUAAGUCAAGUUGACUCCUCUUUGGGUCCAGCCCGCCUGACUGCUUAGGUGUCCAUGUUGAGUUGCUUGCUUCAGCAAGUUGGCUUGUGUCAUGCUUGAGUCUAACCGUGUAAGGCUUAUGUCUGACCGAGCCAAGUUGGUACCACGUCAGCUAGGCAGUGCUAAGUGUCCACACCAAGAUACUUAGUGACCAACUUCAUGUUGUUGGUCUAUGCUUGUGGUCAAACACUUAGCUUGCCAUGUGUGCUUCAAAAGUGGCUUAUGUGGAUACUUCCUUGCUUGACUAUUUGUUGAUUUUUUUCGUCUCUUCAAUUUUUCCUAGAAACUUCAUACAAAGAUUUGGAAAAGAAGUGAACAAAAACAUACAAUCAUAAUAUGACAAUUUAUCUAAAGAAUGUUGAAUUAAGUUGGUUUUGCAUGAUUUGCAUAGGAUAAGUGUCAUGAAAAGUGUAUGAAAAUUAGGUAUUUUUUGCACUUAUUAGAAUCAGAUAUAGGUGUGUGCUUGGUGAGGAGAUUACAAUGAAAAUCCUUAAGGUAAGAAGGGGGGUGAUUGAUUCUGUGAGAUCUCCUUAUAGGAGGAUUUGAAGGGUUAUUGUGAAUAUGGUCAGUGUAGAUUAAUCUAGGUGGAAUGACUGGUGUGGGGUAGGGCUCGAGAAGGGGAUUAAGGAUGGGAUUAAUUUGUGGUAUAUUGUUUGUGUCAAUAAUGAUUGGCUUCUACUGGAAGAUGUGUUUAUAGAACACAACACUUCUAGAUAUGGAAGUACUCCUAGUUGAUAGAUCAUAGACUAUAUAUCCUUUUAUCCCUGGUUAGUAACCAAGAAAGAGUCAUUUCUUUGCUCUUGGAUCCAACUUGGUCCUUUGAGUAGUAUGAGUAUAGGCAAAGCACAAGCUGCCAAAGACUCUCAAGUGAUUAAUUUUAGGUUGCUUGUGAAACAAGGCUUCAUAAGGAGUGGUUAGGCCUAAUGUGGGUGGGGGAAAUCUGUUGAGAAGAUAUACAACAUGGUGAACUACAUAGCCCCAAAAACUACUAGGUAGAUGAGAGUGUAAAAGUAAGGUUCUUACUAUGUUUAGAAUAUGUCUAUGUUUUCUCUAAACAACAAAGUUUUGUUAGGGCGUUUUCACACAAGAUGUUUAAUGAAUAAUGUUUAAUUUGGAAUAGAUAUCAUGCAUGAUAAAUUCCUUACCAUUAUCUGUCCUAAUAGUUUUGACUUUACAGUUAAAUUGUGUUGAUAUCAUUUGUAUGAAAUUAUAGAUCAAAUCUCUAGUGUUAGCUUUAGUCAUCAUGACAAAGAUCCAAGUUUACCUAGUGCAAUCAUCAACUAUAGUAAGGAAGUACAUAUGGCCAUGAAUAGUAGAGACAUGGAGAGGAUCCCAAAUGUCCAUGUGGAGAAGUUGAAAGGCUUGUGUGGUGUGUGUAGUGCUUUUAGGAAAUGGUAGUUUAGAUUGCUUCCUUAAAUGAUAGAAUUCACAAACUUUAUUAACAUCAAAUUUCACAUAUAGAAAGGUUUUGCAUACAUUGUCAAGAAAUUUGUUCGAAGGGUGGCCUAGCCUAAAAUGUUAGAGAUCAAAACAAGGAAUAGUUUGUUUCUUUAAAGAACUAAUAGUGUGUAAUGUUUCACUUGGUUGAGCAUGAAUGGUUAAUAUGUAAAGGUUAUUCUUGAUUUCAGCAUGUCCAUCAUCCUCGAGGUAGUCAUAUCCUGGAUGAGACAUGAAACAUCAUAAAAAACAAGCUUGCAUUGAAGAGAACAAGCAAGUUUAUGGACAUAGAUUAUAUUGUACUUAAAACCAGGGAUGUAUAAGACAUUGUUUAGUGUAAGGCGAUUAAGAAGGGUAAUAGUUCCAGAAUGCUUAGCCAUGACAAUGACAUCGUUAGGUAGUUUCAUAAACAUAGGUUUGACGCUCUUAUAGUGUAUGAAGUUUGAUAUAUUGUUUGUGACAUGAUCUGUGGCUCCACUAUCAAUAAUCCAAAUUUGACGAGUAAGUGAAUUACCUUAUGUGGGAGCAACAUUUGGACUGAUUGACUCAAUGCUCAUUUGAUUGACCAUAUUCUCAUGGUUGACACUUAGUUGGGCAUGUUGUGUGUAAUCUACAGGUAGAGGUUCUGUGUGCUCAAUAUCUUCUUGAUUCCUUUGUUCUGUGUGGAUAUUGUUAACCGCAUUGGUUCCCUUGGAUUUAAACUUGAAAUUAGAUGGGAACUCAUGCUUGAAAUAACAAGUUUUUUUAGUAUGUCCUUAUUUCCCACAUAAGGUACAUACUUUGUUGUUGCUGGUUUGUUCAUAUCCCUUGGCACUCGAGCUAGUUCCUCCAUUGGCCAGGUACUUCCUUCCUCCAUUAUUGUUAAAAUUUUGUCCACCUCUUCCACUAGUUUUAUUGAAUUGUGGUCUCCAUGAUUGUCUAGUGUUAACAUUGUUGAUCACACUUCUAUGCCCUUCAUGAGCAACGCCUUAUUCCUAUCUUUCUUGUUGAAGAACCAAAGAGAAGAGUUUAUUGAUGGGUGGCAAUGGUUCCAUUAAAAGAAUAUGAGUCUUUAUUGUGUUAUAUUGAUCACUAAGUCCUUUCAAUGUACAAAUGACAUAUUCAGAGUCCCUAUAAUUCUUGAUGGCUAUCAAGUAAUUGCAGGUGCAUUUGCUGGUGCAUAUACAGGUGGGCUAAGGCCUUAAAGAGUCUAGUUCUUCCCACAUGAUUUUAAGGUCAAUGAAGUAGGUAGAUACAUUUUUGUCUGCUUGUGUGAUGGAGUGUAAUUCUUGAAGUAAAUUAGAAGUUCUAAAGUAGUCACCUUUUGAAAAUAUGUCCUUGAGAUCCUCGCAAAGCUCUUGUGCAUUGUCUGUGUAAACUAUACUUUGGGCUAUCUGGUGGCUUAGUGAUCUUGUGAUCCAAGAUAUCACCAUGUUGUUGCAUCUAUCCCAUGCAUCAAAUAUAGCAUAUGAUUCUUGUGAUAUGCCUAUUCUUCCAUUGACGAAUUUGAAUUUGUUCUUUAAUGAAAGAGGCCUUUUCAUACCCCUACUCUUGGUGUGGUAGUUUGCACCAUUCAAUGGUGGUGAGACUAAUACAACUCUUGGAUUCUCUCCGGGAUGUAAGUAAUAAGGGCUGGUUAGAUUUUGUGAUGUAUUUGCACUAUGUUCUGCAUGUUGUGUUUGAUUUGAUUCUGCAUCCAUUGUUGAUGCUUGAUGAAGGAAGGAUUCGGGCAAGAAAAAAACAAGGUUGUGUAGAUGUAGUAAGUGCAGAAACAUGCUUGCUUGGAUAGGGAAAAAAAGUAGGUUUUGUAAGAUUAGGAAUGGUUGUUGCAACAGAGCUCUCAAUAUGAGAGCUCUAAAACCAUCUUGUGAUUUUGGAAAAAGGAAUGUGAAAUGUAUUAUUGAUUGAUGAAUUUGAAUAUAAUCUGACUCCAACUUAUAGCUUGAAGUUUGUACGGAUUUCUUGCUAAGCAAGAAACAUAACAUAUAACUAUGUUAGGAAUCGGGGUAAACCUAUUAUUAAGUAUGUGUAUAGUAGGAGAAAUAAGUCAAAACUAGAAGGCAGGGCAGGGGGAAAGAUUGUAAUAUGUUUUGAUUCAGUUAGUUAGGGAGGGAAGGUUAUAAAUAGAAGUUAGUUGAGGGUGAAGGGGUAACUUUUUAGACAGUUAGGAUUGGAGGGAAGGAACUGAUUCAGGAAUCAGUUAUCCUUGGAAGGUUUACUUCUCAAAGUGUAAUUCACCUUGAUUUUCAACAUUGCAAUUCGAAUCAAUUCAAGAUCAAUUCGAUCUUGAAUCAUUCUUUCUUCUUCUAUUUCUUAAUCUCUAAAUCCAGUUCUAACACUGGUAUCAGAGCACCAUCCUGGUGCCUGAUCACACACGCUUCUGAUUCGUGAAAUUGCGCAUGGUUUCUACGAGAGGGAUGGCUAGAAACGUUGAGGAAUGGGUUCUGGAAUGUGAGGAAUUGAGAAGGGAGAGAUAAGAGCAGAGGAUUCGCAAUGAAGUGAAUGAAGCGAGGAUGAAGAGGUUGGAAGAGACAUUGGCUCAACUUACCACCAGAGCUAGGGUUUCUAAUGUUCGUGAUGAAGGAAGUGAAUUCGGGGAAGAUCACGAAGUGAGGAACCAAAGAGGCAAGGAGAGAUGGAGAAAAUUGGAUAUUCCAAUUUUUUCGGGGAAUGAUGCCUUUGGAUGGACCCACAGGUUGGAGAGAUACUUCUCAUUGAAAGAAGUCACAGAAGAGGAGAAGAUGCAGGUUACUUUAAUAGCACUAGAAGGGAAGGCACUUAGCUGGUAUAAUUGGUGGAGCAGGUGCAACCCUCAUCCAUCUUGGGAAGGGUUUAAAAUCACGGUGGUGAGGAGAUUCCAACCCUCCAUGGUUCAAAAUCCCUUUGAGCAACUCUUGGCUUUAAGGCAAACAGGGACAGUGGAGGAGUAUGUGGAGGAAUUUGAAAAGUAUGUGGGAGCUCUAAGGGAGAUUGAUCCUGAGUUUGUCAAAUGAAUCUUCUUAAAUGGGCUAAAGGAAGAAGUGAAGGCAGAAGUCAGGCUCUAUGAACACCCCAAUUUAACUGAGGUAAUUCAUAAAGCUCUUAUGAUAGAAGAAAAGAAUGUAAUCAUGCAAAGGAAGGGGAGUAGUAAAAAUUAUGCUAGGUCCACUAGAUUUACUAGGUCCAAUUUUCCUAGUAGGUCUAUAACCCUUGAAUCCAAGUCUGGAAUAGAAAGGAAGUCAGACCAAUCCUCUAGGGGAAGUGCAUCUGUUAAUAUGAAUAAUGCUGAGACAGUUGAUGGAAGCGGGGGUAGAGGAGGGACAUUCAAAUAGUUAACUGGAGCAGAAUUAAGAGAGAAGAGGGAGAAGGGCUUGUGUUUCAGGUGUGAUGAACCUUUUAAUAGGGAUCAUAAAUGUAAGAACAGGCAGUUUAGAAUGAUUUUAUUGGAGGAAGUGGAUAGUGAGGAGAUAGAAGGGGCUAAUCUGCACUCUCUGCAAUUGUCUCUAUGGGCUAUGGUUGGGUUAACAUCUAAUAAGUCUUGGAAGGUGACUAGGUGUGUGAAGGACAGAGAAGUAGUUAUUCUCAUUGAUUGUGGUGCUUCCCACAAUUUUAUUUCCACCAAGGUAGUAGAACAAUUACAAUUGGAGACUCAAGCCACUCCAAGAUAUGUAGUUGAGGUGGGAGAUGGACAUAAGGUUCAGUGUCAAGGAAGGUGUGCUCAGCUGGGAUUUCAGUUAUAGGGCCUAGAUUUCACUCAAGAAUUCUACCUAUUUGAGCUGAAGAGAGUGGAUGUAGUGUUGGGUUUGGAAUGGCUGGUUGGAUUGGGAGAAGUGAGAGCAGAUUUUGGUAAGUUGGAACUUACUCUGAGGAGGGAAGAAGAGGUUCACAACAUCAAAGGAGAUCCAGCUUUGACUAAAACUCAGGUUUCUUUUGGAGCUUUCAUGCAAUUGUUGAAUGGGGAAGGAGAAGGGUUGUGGUUGCAUUGUUCUGAAUCAGAAUCUUCCCUAGUCAAUUCCUCUCGGGUUCCAGAAGAGUUAUAUGCCCUUUUGCAACAGUUUGUUGAGGUCUUUGCUGACCCUGAAGGCUUACCUCCCUAGAGGGAUCAUGAUCAUGCUAUCUUCUUAAAGGAAGGAGCUAACAUCCCUAAUCUUAGGCCUUACAAAUAUCCUCAUUACCAGAAAGCUGAAAUUGAAAAGUUGGUCACUGAGAUGCUACAAGCAGGGGUCAUUAGACCAAGUAUUAGUCCAUACUCUAGUCCCAUAAUUUUGGUGAAAAAGAAGGAUGGAAGGUGGAGGUUUUGUAUGGACUACAGGGCUCUAAAAAAGAUUAGAAUGAGGGAGCAGGAUAUAGAGAAGACUGCCUUCAGGACUCAUGAGGGGCACUAUGAGUUCAUGGUGAUGCCUUUUGGCCUCACCAAUGCACCUUCCACUUUCCAAGCUUUGAUGAAUGAAGUUUUGAAGCUUUUCCUUCGAAGGUUUGUCCUAGACUUCUUUGAUGAUAUCCUAGUCCUUAGCCAGGAUCUUUGUUCUCACUUAAGACACUUAGAAAAGGUGUUGGAGGUGCUACAACAUCAUUCUCUUAAGGCUAACAAGAAAAAGUGCACUUUUGGCUAGAAGAAGCUGGAAUAUUUGGGCCAUGUGAUUUCAGGACAAGGUGUAGAAGCAGAUCAGUCCAAAAUAGAAGCUAUGUGUUCCUGGCCCAUUCCAAGAGACAUUAGAGGAUUGAGGGGAUUCUUGGGCCUCACAGGUUAUUAUAGAAGAUUUGUGAAGAACUAUGGGAUGUUGGCAAAACCUCUGACUGAGUCGUUGAAGAAAGAAGGGUUUAAGUGGUCUGAUGAGGCUACCCAAGCUUUUGAGGCUUUGAAGGCUGCCAUGGUUAGUUUACCAUUAUUGGCAGUACCUGAUUUCUCACAAAUGUUUGUAUUGGAAACAGAUGCAUCUAGCAAAGGAAUAGGAGCUGUCCUAAUGUAGGGAGAGAAACCUCUAGCUUUUUGGAGUAAGGGUUUGUCACCUAGAGCUCAGCAAAAAUCUGUAUAUGAAAGAGAAUUGAUGGCCUUGGUACAAGCUGUCCAGAGGUGGAGACACUACCUGUUAGGAAGACAUUUUAUCAUUAAAACUGAUCAGAGAAGCCUCAAAUUUCUUACUGGUCAGAGGUUGUUCACUGAGGAACAGUUUAAGUGGGCUGUCAAGCUAAUAGGAAUGGAUUUUGAGAUUCAAUUUAAACCAGGGAAGGAGAACUCAGUGGCUGAUGCUUUAUCAAGGAGAGGAAUGUAAGAUGCUCCGUCUUUGGUUUCAGUAGCUGAUAAAGAGGAGUGGAAUCAAGAGGUGACUCAAGAUCCCAAGUGGAGACAAGUCAUUCAGGAUCUGCUCAUUUCACCAGGGUCUCAUGAGGGUUUUGAAUACAGGGGAGGAGUGCUAGUAUACAGGGGCAGGUUGGUUUUGGCCAGUAAAUCUGAAAGUAUCCCUAACAUUUUGAAAGAGUGUCAUGAAACUCUUGCUGGUGGGCAUUCUGGAUUUUUCAGAACCUACAAGAGAGUGGCAGGUUGUUUGUAUUGGGUUGGUAUGAAGGGGGAUGUCAAGAGGUUUGUAGAAGGAUGUGAUGUGUGUCAAAGGAAUAAACAUCUUACUUUAACCCCUGGGGGAUUAUUACAGCCCCUACCAAUUCCCAAUCUGGUGUGGGGGGAUAUCUCAAUGGAUUUCAUAGGGGGCCUUCCCAAGUCUCAGGGUAAGGAUACCAUCUUUAUGGUGGUUGAUAGGCUCACAAAAUAUGCUCAUUUCUAUGCCUUAGGCCACCCCUACUCUGCCAGAGAAGUAGCUGACCUGUUUAUUAGAGAAGUAGUCAAGCUACAUGGUUUUCCUUCCUCUAUUGUGUCAGACAGAGAUCCAGUAUUCUUAAGCGGAUUUUGGAAGGAACUUUUUCGAAUGGCUGGCACUCAGUUGAAGCUUAGCACCUCCUACCAUCCCCAAACUGAUGGGCAAACAGAGGUGGUGAAUAGGUGUUUAGAGGAAUAUUUGAGAUGUUUUGUAGGGCCAAGACCUAAACAUUGGAUGCACUGGUUAUCUUGGGCUGAAUUUUGGUACAAUUCUACCUAUCAUAGUGCAACAUGUAUGACACCAUUUAGGGCUCUAUAUGGCAGAGACCCUCCUAUGCUCCUCAAUGCUGGGGAAUUUCCAUCUAAGGUGGAAGAAACAAAUCAGUUGUUACAAAGAAGAGAUCUGAUUUUGGCUGAGUUGAAAAACAAUCUGUUGAGAGCUCAAGAGCAAAUGAAGAGACAAGCUGAUAAACAUAGAAGGCCAAUAGAAUUCAAGGAAGGAGAUUGGGUUUAUCUUAAGAUUCAACAUUAUAAGCUGAAAUCUUUGGCUGUUAGGCCUUUUGCUAAAUUGGCUGCAAGAUACUAUGGGCCUUAUCAAGUAAUUAGCAGGAUUGGCACAGUAGCAUACAAGUUGAAGUUGCCUGAGCAUGCCAAAAUCCACCCUGUGUUUCAUGUGUCUUUAUUGAAACAGACCCUCAAACCUAAUCAAAGUCCUCAACCUCUUCCUGCAUUGUUGAAUGAAGAGUUUGAGUUGGAGGUAGAGCCAGAGGAAGUAAGAGAUUGGAGAGAAACUCAAGAAGGCCAAGUUGAAGUCGUGAUCAAGUGGGUCAAUUUGUCAGAGUGCAACAAUUCCUGGGAAGAAGCUGCGAAUUUGAAUAUAAUCUGACUCCAACUUAUAGCUUGAAGUUUGUACGGAUUUCUUGCUAAGCAAGAAACAUAACAUAUAACUAUGUUAGGAAUCGGGGUAAACCUAUUAUUAAGUAUGUGUAUAGUAGGAGAAAUAAGCCAAAACUAUAAGGCAGGGCAGGGGGAAAGAUUGUAAUAUGUUUUGAUUCAGUUAGUUAGGGAGGGAAGGUUAUAAAUAGAAGUUAGUUGAGGGUGAAUGAGUAUCUUUUCAGACAGUUAGGAUUGGAGGGAAGGAACUGAUUGAGGAAUCAGUUAUCCUUGGAAGGUUUACUUCUCAAAGUGUAAUUCACCUUGAUUUUCAAUAUUGCCAUUCGAAUCAAUUCAAGAUCAAUUCGAUCUUGAAUCAUUCUUUCUUCUUCUAUUUCUUAAUCUCUAAAUCCAGUUCUAACAAACUAAUUCCUAACAAACAAAAACAUGUGCUCCAAAAGGUAAUUAAGCACAUGUUAAAUGUGAAAAUAAUGUGCCAUAUAUGGCUCUCCUACAACAACAUAUUCAUGAUUCAUAUGAAGUAAAACUGGUCUAGCCUAGACACCUCUGCUGCAUCAGUGCACAUCAACUUGGUCCAGCCUAGACAAAUCUACUACAUCAGUGCACAUCAACUUGGUGCAACUGCUUGGUUCUGGUGCAUCUGCUUGGUCUGCUACCACCAAUUUCGCAUCAAGUCUGCACAUAAUAAACCAAACUCAGCAAUAUAUGUUUAUGAAAGAAUGUAUGGUGAUUGUAAAUAAGGCAAAGUACAAUAAAUGCUUGUUGAAAAUGUAGAGUGAAUUCUAAAAGUAACCACAAAAAGCUUUAACAUUGUGCACCAGAGCAAGUAGUUUGCAAAAAGUAAAGUUUGGAUAAACUCUGUCAUGAAAAUGAAUUUGCAAGGAAGUAAUUUAUUGGAUACUAUUGUCUUGCAAGUGGUUUUGCUAUAUUGUCUAGGUAGAUUCAAUUUUACAAAGUUAUUUUGAUCACGUUGGUUGAUAAAUAUCCAUGAUCGAGUUUCUAGAACAAGUUAUUUCAUAUUCACACCACCAAAUUUAGUUAUCAACGAAUGACAUGUUUAGAAAACUUGAAACUCGGUAUUGACACUUCAAACUAGUUUGAAACAUAUCAGAAGUUCUUUCAAUUAAUUGAUGAUUUUUUAUCUGUGAGAAGAAUGAGAAAUGUGAUUGUUUCUUAAACUUUGGGUAGAAUUGUAAAAUGCAGUUUAUUGUGUGCAGAUGGCUACAUGUGUUUCGAGUUGCACAAUGUGUGAAGGUUAAUCCAGAUUCCCCUCAGAAACAAGUCAGGUUUCUCAUUCUCUCAGGUCAUAUACUUAAUUUGGAAUUUCCGUGUGGUAUUGGAUAAGAAGGGGAGGGGAAAGUUAUUUAUGAACAUGUUUGAUUGAAACCUUAUUGAAUUUGUUGCUAAAUUUCAGUGUGAGAUAUGUAAUAAUAAGAGUCCUAAAAAUAGCAAAAGAGUAGAAAUGAUUUAAAAAGAAUAUAGAGUAAUACUAUCACUCAAAACGCAUUCACAACUACGCACAAGUGCAGGAGUGUCUCCUUCUCAAUGUUAGUGGCUUAGCUUAAAUUUGUCAUGUUAAACUCCGAUUUUAUGCAGUUGUGCAGGAUUGCGACUACUAGAGUUGUCCAAAUAGCAGCAAUAUUUUAUUUUGAAAUACAAAGUAAAUAUUGCUUGAGAGUUGAGUAGUGCAAGUUGUACAAAAUUAGAUACAUGAUCCUAUGUUGAGGGUGGUUGUUUGUUGAGGGUGGUUGUUUUUUUGUGUGCCUAAUUGCCUAUACUAUAGUUUCAAUAAAUAAUGCUAUAAAUACAAUAAAAAAACCUAUUAAUUAUAGUAAAUUAGUUGAUGUUGGAUUAUUUUGAACGGAUUGGAAGAAGAAUAUUUGAGUGAAGAAAAUAAAAUAGAAGCUAGAAUGAACAGGUGGGUGGAAUAUGAAAGGCAUUCUAUGUGGUAACUGUUAGUGCGAAAAGACCCAUGAAAAAAAUAUAAUAGAUAAAAUGACACUGAAAAUUUAAUGUGGUUCGGCAAUUUGCUUAUGUCCACAGAUGAAGAGCAACAAUAUUAUUUUAUUAUGAUAAAAGAGAAUUACAAGUAUUUCACUCACUUCCCAAAACUCAUUGUCACUUUCACUCAAGUAUUUUUCAAACACUCAAAUAUUUCUCACAAUAUUAUAACAAGAGAACAAGAAGAGAUAAUAUAUACUAAUCAAUUUAUUUGGUGUGUCUUACAAUGGCUUGGAGCACUCCUAUUUAUAGUCAAAGUUCUUAAAGAUUAUGUGGCCAAAGUAAAAGAACAUUAAUGUUGGUUUCAUCAUAGUCACUUUUUUUUACUUGGCUACAAACUCUCUCUUUCUUCAAGAUGAUCUCUAGCCACUUUUUUUUUGUUUGGCUACAAGAAAGUCUUUUCAUUAUCUUUUUUCUUUUAGCCAAUAUUCAAUAAAUUUUCACCUUGGCUAAAAGAUAAUCAUAGUUAUUCUCCUGCUACUCUUCUUCAUGCCCACUAGAGAUUCUGAAUAUUAAUCAAGUUCAAACAAUGUGUGAACUUAGUAGUUGGAACUGACUUCGUCAUCAUGUCUGCAAAAUUAUCUGUAUUGGGUAUUUUCUCCAUUCUAACAAUACUUUUCUCCACGAUAUCUCUGAUAAAGUGCAUCCAAACAUCAAAUGUUUAGUUCUUUCAUGAUACAUUGGAUUCUUUGUCCGAUGUAUAGCACUUUGACUAUCAUAGUAGAUGAUUGUUUCUUCGAGUUGUAUACCCAACUCUUUAAUUAGCCCUUUCUCUUAGAUGGCUUCCUUUACAACUUUUGUUACUGCGAUGUACUUCACUUCAGUUGUAGACAAAACAAUAAUUGAUUGUUGUGUUGCUUUCCAACUAACGGUACAACCACACAAUGUAAAGACAUAUAUGGUGAGUGAUCUUUGCUUAUCUAGAUCUCCGGCUUAAUCUGAGUCGACGUAUCCGAUGAUCUUUCCUCCACUAUGUUUGAAUUUUCCAUACAAAAGCCAUAUAUUUGUGGUACCUUUUAGGUAGCGCAUAAUCUACUUCACAACUUUCCAAUGAACUUUAUCAGGACUUGCCAUAUAUUUGCUUACCACACUUAUUGCAUGUGCAAUAUCUAAUCUAGUCCACACCAUGACAUACAUGAGACUGCCAACCGCACUAGCAUAAGGUAUACUUGACAUCUCCUCUUUAUCAUUCUCAGUUUGUGGACACAUGGUCAUUGAAAGUUUGAAAUGAGUCACCAAUGGAUUAGUGACUGGUUUAGGAUUUUGCAUGUCAAAGUGUACCAACAAUUUCUCAAUGUACUUCUUUUAUGACAAAAAGAAUGUCCCCUCUAUUCUAUCCAUUUGAAUCUCCAUUCCCAGAAUUUUCUUUCCAGCUCCUAAAUUCUUCAUUUCAAACUCUAAGCUCAAUUGAGCUUUCAAGUUUCUUAUUUCUGACAUGUUCUUACAUGCAAUCAACAUGUCAUCAACAUAUAAAAACAAAUAGAUGAAUAACAUAUUUUAAAGCUUCUUGUAAUAGACACAACUAUCAUGUUCACUUCUAUAAUAGCCAUUUUCAAGCAUGAAGCUGUUAAAUUGCUGAUAUCAUUGUCUAGAAGAUUGUUUUAGGAUAAUAAAGAUUUCUUCAGCAAGGAAAUAUGAUCUUUCAUCCCUUGAACUUCAAAUCCUUCGGGUUGUUUCAUGUAGAUUUGUUCCUCCAACUCACCAUGUAAGAAUGUCGUUUUGACAUCUAGUUGCUCAAGUUCUAGAUCAAAUUGAUCUACAACGACAAGUAGGAUGCGAAUAGAGCUAUGUUUUACCACAUGAGAGAAAACUACAUUGAAAUAAAUACCUUCUCUUUGUGUAAAACCUUUAGCCAUUAAUCGCGCUUUGAAUCUUGCAUCUUCAACCCCUAGAUUCCUUCAUUCUUCUUAAAGACCCAUUUACAUCCAAUAAUGUUUUGAGCAUUCGGUCGCUUGACAAGAACCCAUGUAUGAUUCUUAUAAAGAGACUCAAUUUACUCUGUCAUGGUAGAAAUUCAUUUGGAAGCUUCUUUGUUGUUGAUAGCUUCUUCAUAUGAUUGUGGUUCAUAAUUGGUGAUAUCAUCACCAACAUUUAGAGCAUAUGACACCAGAUUACCAUAGCCAUAUUUAUCUGGAGGUUUUAUGUGUCUCAUUUGUCUGUCCCUAUCCAACUAAUAAUGUUGUAAUUGGGAGAUAUCAGUAUCAGUACAUGCAUCACGAACUUCUUCUUCUUGAGCAAGUGUUUUUUUCUUUUGUUGGCUCCACCUCAAACUCCACCUUCUCCAAGAUAUUAGGAUCUACAUUUCCACUUGAUAACUCUUUAUGAGGCUUUAGCAUUCAAACUUCAUUAAAAGUAACAUCUCUGCUAAUGAUGCAUUAUUUUCUUUUCUUUGGCCACCAUAACUUAUAACCUUUCACACCAUCAGGAUAUCCAAGAAAAAUACAUUUCAAUGAACUUGCAUCAAGUUUUCUUUCUUUGAUAUGAGCAUAUGCAUGACAACCAAAUACCCUCAAAAUUUCAUAAUUUGUCGGAAUACCCUGACCACAUCUCUUCUGGAGCUUUGAAACCAAUGGUUGUUGAUGGACAUCUGCUGAUCAAGUAACAAGCUGUAUUGACAGCUUCCGCCCAAAAUUCUUUUGCCAAUCCAGCAUUUGGCAACAUACAUAUUUUCCUUUCAAGUAAGGUUUUGUUCCUUCAUUAUGUAAGUCCAUUUUGUUGUUUAGUGUGCUUCAAAGUAUAAUGUUUGACAAGACCGUGAUACUUGAAAAAAAUUUUGAAUUCUUCGUUGCAGAAUUCUAGACUAUUGUCAGUUCUCAGUCUCUUGAUCUUUCUCUCGGUUUUCUUUUCGAACAAGGUUUUCUACUAUUUGAACUUGGAAAAUGCUUCAUUUUUGUGUUUCAAAAUGAAGAUCCACACCUUCCUUGAGUAGUCAUCAAUGAAUGUUAACAUGUAUCUGCUACCAUCAUGAGAAGGUACUUGGAAAGGACCCCACAAGUUAGAAUGUACAUAAUCCAAUGUGUCUCUUGUUCGAUGAAAUGCGACAUUGAAUUUUAUCCGACGCUAUUUUCCGAAACACAGUGUUCAAAAAAUCUACCUUCCCGACUUGUUGACUGCAUAGUAAUCAUUGUUUGGCCAACUCGGCUAGACAUCUUUCACUAACAAGACCCAUUUUCAGAUGCCAUAGUUUUGGUCUAUUCUUAGAUGCCAUAGUUUGAUGACAUCAGAAUUAGAUGUUAAGGAGAUAGCAGCAACACCCGUGAUUGUGUUUCCUUGUAAUAUAUAGAGACUAUUCUCUCUCUUCCCUUUUAUUACAAUCAUAGCGCCUUUAGAUAUUCUUAUAGCUCCACCUUCACCUUUGUAGCUAUAACCUUUUGAAUCUAGUGUUCCCAAGGAAAUCAAACUUUUCUUAAAUUCUAGAACAUGCCUUACAUAUGUCAACGUCCUUACGAUUCUAUCAAACAUCUUGAUUCUAAUAGUGUCGAUGCCAAUGAUCUUGCAGGGAACAUUAUUUCCCAGAAGGACCUUGCCCUCAUCUAAGGGUUGGUAAGUGGAAAACCAAUCCUUAAUGGGACACAUGUGAUAUGAGCAUCUAGAAUCAAGUAUUCAUUCAUCUUUUGAGUCGUGUUCUGAGACUAUUAGUGCAUCUACACUAUCAUAGCCAUUUGCUACAUUUACAUCUCCAUAUUCAUAAAUCUUUUCCUUGAUUUUGUGCUCUAGGAAAUUCAUUCUUAUAUGCCCCUUGUGAUAGUGAAAGCAUUUAUACUUUCUAGGUUUCGCUUUAAACUUGGACCUAGAUUUCCCUCUUUCACCAAAUUCAUUUUGCCUCUCUUUUCUUCCUCUAGCAAAUUGGUUUCGCUUUAGAUCUUGAAUCUUGUACUUUUUUCUUCAGUUCUUUUGAGUGCAACACCGCCCUUACUUCGUCCAAGGUCGGAUCUUCUCGAUCAUACAUCAUUGUAUCGAUGAAGUGGUCGUAAGAACUUGGAAGGGAACAUAGUAGAAGAAUUGUUUGUUCUUCAUCUUCAAUUUUAACAUCGAUAUUCUUUAGAUCAAGAAUAACUAUGUUAAAUUCAUCAAGAUGAUCUUUUAUGGGGUUUCCUUCCUGCAUUUGAAAAGCAUAUAUUUGUUUCUUCAAAUACAAUCUGUUGGUGAGUGACUUCGUAGCUUCAACCAUAAUGAAGCAAAUGUAGUUUCAUCUGACACUUCUCGCAGAACUUCAUCUCCAAAGGACAACAAAAUUGCACUAUGUACUUUUUCCAAGGUUUCAUCCUUCACGUCCUCGGUUAAACUCGAUGGUAGCUUGUUUAUACCUUCCAAGGCUUUGACCAAGCCUUGAUGAACUAGUAGAGCUUCAUCUUCAGUCGCUAGAGGUUGAAAUCAUUUUCUCCAUUAAAUUUCUCCAAAUCAAAUUUAGCACUCGCCAUGAUAACCGUAUACUGGAACAAUGUCAUUAGCGCCUUUAGAUAUUCUUAUAGCUCCACCUUCACCAUUGUAGCUAUAACCUUUUGAAUCUAGUGUUCCCAAGGAAAUCAAACUUUUCUUAAAUUCUAGAACAUGCCUUACAUAUGUCAACGUCCUUACGAUUCUAUCAAACAUCUUGAUUCUAAUAGUGUCGAUGCCAAUGAUCUUGCAGGGAACAUUAUUUCCCAGAAAAGGACAUUGCCACCAUCUAAGGGGUGGUAAGUGGAAAACCAAUCCUUAAUGGGACACAUGUGAUAUGAGCAUCUAGAAUCAAGUAUUCAUUCAUCUUUUGAGUCGUGUUCUGAGACUAUUAGUGCAUCUACACUAUCAUAGCCAUUUGCUACAUUUACAUCUCCAUAUUCAUAAAUCUUUUCCUUGAUUUUGUGCUCUAGGAAAUUCAUUCUUAUAUGCCCCUUGUGAUAGUGAAAGCAUUUAUACUUUCUAGGUUUCGCUUUAAACUUGGACCUAGAUUUCCCUCUUUCACCAAAUUCAUUUUGCCUCUCUUUUCUUCCUCUAGCAAAUUGGUUUCGCUUUAGAUCUUGAAUCUUGUACUUUUUUCUUCAGUUCUUUUGAGUGCAACACCGCCCUUACUUCGUCCAAGGUCGGAUCUUCUCGAUCAUACAUCAUUGUAUCGAUGAAGUGGUCGUAAGAACUUGGAAGGGAACAUAGUAGAAGAAUUGUUUGUUCUUCAUCUUCAAUUUUAACAUCGAUAUUCUUUAGAUCAAGAAUAACUAUGUUAAAUUCAUCAAGAUGAUCUUUUAUGGGGUUUCCUUCCUGCAUUUGAAAAGCAUAUAUUUGUUUCUUCAAAUACAAUCUGUUGGUGAGUGACUUCGUAGCUUCAACCAUAAUGAAGCAAAUGUAGUUUCAUCUGACACUUCUCGCAGAACUUCAUCUCCAAAGGACAACAAAAUUGCACUAUGUACUUUUUCCAAGGUUUCAUCCUUCACGUCCUCGGUUAAACUCGAUGGUAGCUUGUUUAUACCUUCCAAGGCUUUGACCAAGCCUUGAUGAACUAGUAGAGCUUCAUCUUCAGUCGCUAGAGGUUGAAAUCAUUUUCUCCAUUAAAUUUCUCCAAAUCAAAUUUAGCACUCGCCAUGAUAACCGUAUACUGGAACAAUGUCAUAGUCUGUGAAGGUACAACGGGAAAGUUCCUAGGAAAGAGAGGUGAGUCUUAACAGACAUGCUUAAAUACCAGGUCUUUCCUAAGAUAGAACUUUUCUAGACAUGCACUUUCACACUACUAUACUUUUCUAGUAACAAGAACAAUUCUUUUCUAGUGUGUAAGAUCAGACAAUGCUGCAAACAUAAAGUAUACUAAGAAUUUUCUUUUAAAUCGUAUGGCUUAGCAUGCAAAAGCUCUAUGAGCUCCGAUACCAGUUUGUUGGUGCAGAAUACCCAUGGAGAAAAUAUAAUAGAGAAAAUGACACCAAGAAUUUAACGUAGUUCGACAAUUUGCCUACGUCCACGACUGAAGAGCAACAUGGAUUAUUCCACUGUGAUAAAAGAGAAUUACAAGUGUUUCACUCACUUCCCAAAAUCCAAUUUUACUCUCACUGAAGUAUUUCUCAAACACUCAAAUAUUCCUCAUAAUAUUAGAACAAGAGAACAAGAAGAGAGAAUAUGCACUAAGCUAAGCAUUUGGUGUGUCUUAUAAUCGCUUGGAUCACUCCUAUUUAUAGUCAAAGCUCUUGAAGAUUAUGUGGCCAAAGGAAAAGAUCAUUGAUGUUGGUUUCACCAUAGCCACUUCUUUUACUUGGCUACAAACUCUCUGUUUAUUCAAGAUAAUCUCUAGCCACUUCUUUUUUGCUUGGCUACAAGAAAGUCUUUUCAUUAUCUUUUUCUUUUAGCCAAUAUUCAAUAGAAACAAUGUUAAGUUAAUUGCUUAUUGUAAAAUAAAAAUAUUAUCUAUGUUUCUAGAACACACAUUUCUACUCUACUUGAAGGGCUAGGAACAAUCGAAAAUCAAUCUUGGUAUGGUAUAUCUAUUAAUCCUUACUUAAUAUGGUGAUGCCCCCGAUUAUAUCAACCUACAUAUGUCUCACCUCCAUGAAAUGGUACUAAUUAAUGUUAUAUGUAUUCCUUGAAAAUUCUAAAGCUAAAUAUAAAAGGAAAGAAUAAUCCUCUUGUUGGGAGAUAGAUUAUAAUCCUUCUUUUCCCUUACAAAGAUGAAUUGAUUGAUUCAUCAGAUUCUAGACUGGAGUAGAGCUUGAACUUGCAAAUUCUACCUUCAUAGGGUAAUAGUUUGACUAAUUGCCUAUGUUUAGGUGUACAAUUCCUCAAUUUGGCCAUAAGAUUAGAUUAUAGAAUAAUCUUUUGGUUGAGUUUUCCUUUUUGAUAACAUUAUGAUACAAAGAAUAUGAAAUAGAUAGUUAUGCUUCCCUUCACUUAGAGACUGCGACCCAUGUUAUAGUAAGGCAUGCUUGUGAAAUAAUAUUUAAUGCACUCAUUCUUGUCUCUAGUGAAUAACCUAUUCCAAAGUAGUUUCAUGAUCAUCCUAUCUCACAUUACUAGAACCCUUUAAACUCAUUGAUGGAUUCUAUCAUAGUCCAUGUUGAUUGUGAGGAGAUCCUUAUUGUACUAGUCAAAGAUUGCUUCUACUUAUUAGGAAAUAAGAAAUACAAAAAACAUUGUUUUCUUUCCUACACUUCGAAUAGACAGAAUGCUCUAUGUCAUUCCCAUCUUCCUUUCAAUCCACAUCAUCAAAUUUAGGCUUUCUCUAUUGGGAGUUAUCAAAGGAAGAAUGAGCAUACAUGGUAUCGAUAACCCAAAGAAAAACAUCUAUUGCUUAGUUUUGACACUCAAGCUAUUCGUCCUACCCCAUCAAACUUCUAUCUCCCCAACUAGUCCUAUUUGAUUGUAAAUUGUAUCUCCGAAAAUCCUUUAUCUCCAAGCUUGCUCAACCUAGACAUUGUAAUUGAAAGUCUUGACUACUUAUUGAUAGGAUUAGUGUAGUACUCGAACACCAUUUUAAUUGUUUACACUAGUAUUUUUACCUGUUCACACUAGUAUUCUUACCUGUUCACACUAGUAUUCUUAAUUGUCAAACCAAUUACAUAAAUAUCUUCUGAUUUGAUUUUCCACAUAAACUCAUGUAUACAAAACAUUAUUAAAAAAUAUCCCACUUACUCUAUGAAUGUACCCAGAAAAAUAUUAGUCGGUAGGAAAAAAAAUUCUGAAAAACAAAUCUAUAAUAUUACAUGGGAAAAUGACAACGCAUUUUUCAACUUUUAUAUAUCCCAAAUAAUCUAAUCAUAAUUUAGAAACCCGACAUCCUCGUAAAUCAAUGGAUUCAUGUGCACUCCGUUUAUCAUAUCCGUUCAUACUGAGUAACAAGAACAACAUCAACACUCUCUCUCUCUUGAACACAACGUUCAACCAUAACUCUCUCUCCUCAAAUUCACGCCGCUGGUUCAAGCUGGGAUCCAUCAGAAGCAGCAAUACCCACAACAAGGUCAAGGAUUUUGACGAAGCUGCUUUUGAGGCCCAGAGAAUCGCCCUAGACGCUGAAGCUCGUGAAGCCAUGGCAGAAGCUUCCAAUGAAGAAGAUGACCCAAAAGCUUGGAAAUGGGUAAUCAGAAAGAGAAUAUGGAAGGCAAUGGAAGCUCACAAUUUUGCUCAGAACCCACGACCCGUUCAUCACCGGAUUCCCAAUUUCGUUGGGGCUUCUAGUGCAGCUGAAAAGGUAAUAACACACUUUUAACCAAAUUAUAAGACUAAUUCAUCUUCUUGAUUUUUUUAAAGAUGCUAUGGAAUUACACUUUUAUGCUCCCGAGCCUCCUUGAAAAAGUUCACAAUUUUAGUGCUUCUUAUUAAUGAACAUAUGGCAAAUAAGAAAAAAAAACAAUAAUUGUUGUGUAGAAAUGUGGAUUGAAUUCUAAUAGUUACCACGAAAAGCUUUAAAAUUGUGCACCACAGCAAGUAGUUUGCAAAAAGUGAAGUUUGGAUGAACUCGUUGUGAUGAUAGUGAAUUUGCAAUGAAGUAAUUUACUGGACACUUUUGUCUUACAAGUGGUUUUUCUCAAUUGUCCAAGUAGAUUCAAUUUUAUGAAGUUAUUUUGAUCACUUAAAUACCCAUGAUCGAGCUUCUAUGAACAAGUUAUUUCUUGUUCACACCACCAAAUUUAGUUAUCAACAAACGACACGUGUUUAAAAAACUUGAAACUCAGUUUUGACACUUUAAACUAGUUUGAUACAUAUCACAAGUCCUUCCAAUUAAAUGAUGAUUUUUUAUCUGUCUGAGCAGGAAUGAUUUGAUUGGGGUAGGAGUUGGAGAUGUGAGUGUUUCUUAGACUUCGGGUAGAGUUGUAAAAUAUGGGUUUUCUUUUGCAGAUGAGGGGGCUAGAUGUGUUUCGAGUUGCACAAUGUGUGAAGGUUAAUCCAGAUUCUCCUCAAAAACAAGUCAGGUUUCUCACUCUCUCAGGUCAGAUACUUUAUCUGGAGUUUCUGUGUGGUAUUGGGUACAGAGGGGAAUAUUAUUUAUGAACAUGUUUGAUUGGUGCCUUGUUGAAUUUGUUGCUAAAUUUCAGUGUGAGAUAUAUAAUAGUAAGAGUGCUGAAAAUAGCAAAAGAGUAGAAAUGAUUUUAAAAAAAAUAGAGUAAUGCUAUCAUUCAAACUAAUUCACAUCUCUUUCUCAAUGUUGGUGGCUUCGCUUAAAAUUGUCAUGUUAAACUCAGAUGUUAUGCAGUUCUGCAAGAUUGUGACUAGUAGAGUUGUCUAAGUAGCAGCAAUAUUCUAGUUGGGAAUAAAGAGUAAAUAUUGUUUGACAGUUAAGUAGUGCAAGUUGCACAAAAUUAGAUACAUGAUCCCGAAUGCAUGACACCUAAGUGAUUCCAUGAAGCUUAGGUGUGUUGCUUUGAGUUUUUCCUUAUAAAAAAAAGUUAAAAUCAUAAUAUUUUGUCUUAGUGUUUAAUAUGUAGGUAUAGAUUAAAUGGUAAAGUACUUUAUGAGAGAUCCUGGUGCCUUUUGCUACAGUUUUUGUUUGUAGGUUAAUUCUAUGUUCACAUGCACAUUUCGUAUUACAUUAUGUCAAUAAGAUACUUUGGAGACAGUGUAUUUUGCUCUAACUGGUUGUGGAUUCAAUAACGAUAUUCGUGUUGCUCUGCUUGUAUUCUCUCCCUAUCAUCAUCAAAUUAGUCAACACUCAGAAGUCAGGAAUAUUUAUUAGCAAUGGUUUCGAGAAUCAUCACCAUGUGGAUGGCAUGGUGCGUCUAAUCCAUUUGUUCUUAGGACAUGUAAGACCUUGGGGCAUUUAAGGUAUCUGUUACUUAAUAGAUGAAUGCUGAACAUAUGGUUCUGCAGAAACAUGGAACUGGUUUGUUUGAUGACAAAUACCUAAUGACUUAUUCAUGACCUACCAAGGGGCUAUUGGUCUGCUACUGAACCCGUGGGUUUGGCAACAAUGUCUUUUAAGAAUAAUCUAUCUGUUCCUUUAUUGCUCCUUGUUUAUUCAUCUCUGGGUAGUGUUAGAUUUUAUUUUGUUAAGUUCAGUGUGCCAUAUUUGUAGUUGAUUGGUCUUAUUAAUUUGACAAAUGAAAGUGAGACUAGCCUUUUGUUGUCCCAUUAUAAUCUAACUGAAUAUGAUGCUAACCAUUAAGAAACUUCAACUAACAGAAAUAGAUGAUGUGUUCAAUUUAAUAAAACUAAAAUGAGACGGUAUCAGAGUUUGAUAAUUUAAUUACUUCAAGGCUUGUGGCUCCUUUUUUUCUUCUCCUUCUCCUUCAUGUUCUUUUAGUUGUAUCUUCAAUAUUCAGUACAUGUGCAGAUGGAAAGAAGUUGUUAACUCCCCAGCCACGGCUUAGGACAGGGUUUUUCUCUGUACUGGAAUCCAAUAUGUUAACUUUGGAUACCAUCAAGGAAGCCUGCACUUCUGUCGGGGUUGCCAAGCAUGGCCGACCAAUUGGGUUAGACGAAAAGAUAAAGGUAGAUCUUAUUGUCAUUGGAUCAGUUGCUGUAAACCCAAAGACAGGUGCACGAUUGGGGAAGGGAGAGGUACACCAUAGAUCAUGUCUUUUAAUUGUCAUAUUUAGUCUACUAUUCAUUUGGCAAUGGGUCAGGUCCAGGGUUAAAAGUUUGCUCUAACAUGCUAUUUGUUCAGACAUGAUAAUUUUCCCAUCUAAUGAGUUGAUAGCUCACAGGGAAACCAAUGAUGGUGUAGUUGCAACUAGAAAGGCCUCAUUUAUUUUCAAAGAAUUUUCCUUUCCUGUUUUGGACUGACAUUUCAUACAAAAAUAUAUGUAUAGAAUAGUUCGUGUAGCUAAUGUGUGACCUUUAAAUAUAGAAAUGGACUUUGAAUUUGUAUGCUCCUUCAACUAAGAAAGAUUGAAGUGCAGGGAUUUGCAGAACUUGAAUAUGGUAUGCUGCGGUACAUGGGAGCUAUCGAUGAUUCAACACCAGUUGCCACCUCUGGUAAUUUUGGUUCCUGCCAAUUUCCCAUGCCUCAGUUAUUACUUUGCAGUUUGGGGGGGGGGUAAUUUCAUUUUGAUGCAAUUUCUUCCGCAGUCAUAUUUGCUACAUAUUUAUUUAUUUUCACAGUAAAAUUUUACAAAUUUUCUUUUAUGGUAUGUGACAUAAUAUGAGAAGUACCCUUGCAGUGCAUGAUUGUCAAUUGGUAGAUGAUAUUCCAGUUGAAAAGCUGUUAAUCCAUGAUGUACCAGUGGAUAUCAUUUGUACUCCAACCCAGGUCAUUUUCACACAAACAUCUAUUCCGAAGCCUCAAGGUUGGUGAAACAAUGCUUUUACUAUCUGACAUUGCAUAUUUACCAAACAUUGAGUAGGAAUUAAAUCUCUAUUGUUUGUAAAUCAUUGAGAUGCCAUUAUAAAUAUGUUCCGGCAUUCGACCUGGAAUUAUGUAGUUUCUCUAUCUGAUGUCAUAAGUUAUGAUGUUUGUUCAAAGACUAAGUAACAUCUUUACUGCAGGAAUUUAUUGGGAUAAAUUGUCUCCUGAGAAGCUUGGACAAAUCCGAAUAUUAAGAGAGCUUAAGAAUAGGAUUGAACAAGAGACUGGACAGAAACUUCCAACUGGUCCAUCAGAAAAACUACCCCCUACUGCUCGAAGAGGUAGAAAGAGUUAACUCAGUAAAUUUGAGUUUUGAUGGAUUUAUGUAUAUAUUACUAUUAGAAAUGUUUAACAGGUUAUAGCCUUAUAGGUUCUAUACUAAAAGUAUUUAAUUACUUAUUUUAACUUUUUUCAUGUGUAUGUUGAAUUGGUGAGGGAUAACAUAAAGCUUCUAAUUAACCAGAUGUUUUAAGUUCCAGUCCACAAGAAUCAAUUAUGGAGGAUACAUGUGGUUUAGACCAACAAAUAAACCAAACCACUUUACAAACACCAAACGAAACCAUAACUUAAGGGUUCAUAAUAUUAAAGAAUGUAAACAUGGAUUAUGUAUCGAAGAGUCAUGCUAGUUUUUGGAUAUGGGGACUGGUGGCAAUCCAAGUAUGGUGAAGGUUUUUCACAUUGCUUUUUUCUUACUUCUCCUUUUUCCGUUGUUGAACUAAUCCGCAUGGUAAACAUACACUUCGAUAAAAAGAAGUAAUAAGAAAACAGAGUAAUGUAAAAAGCAUUCACCUCUAAGUAUACAACAAUUCCGAACACCCAUCCUCUAAUUACUAAUUAGAGUCCAUAUUGAAAUGAUUAGCUCAAAUCAUGAAAUGCCAUGCUAAAAUCUAACUUGAAUUUUUUUGAAAAUGGUUUCCAAAUGAUAAAAUUAGAAAGCUUAUAAAAAAUAAUAAAAUUAGAAAAGUCAUGUUUUAAUUAUAAAGUGUUCAAAAUAUUUCCAAAGAUUAAGAAUACGAGAAAUCAUGUUAUAAUCAAUUGCAUAUUGUUAUAUAUAUAUAUGUGUGAAAAUACAUGUACUGUAAUAAUUCCUUACACCGUUAAUAGUUAUCUCAUUUAUAUUUAGAGUGAUUAUCUAUUUACAUCCCUCAUCUUUUUCGUGGUUACCAAUUUAGUCCCUGAAACUUUUUAAUUGAUAUUUUAGUCCCCUACAAAUUCAACGUUGAGUAACAUUAGUCUUUCCGUCAAAUGGGCACCGUUAAAUGUCAUAGAAUUGUUGCCGUGUUAAUUGUUGACGUGGACCAUGGUGGAUGGUCCUACAUGUACUAUUAAUUUUUUCCGGCUCAAAAUGAUGUUGUUUUUGUAAAAUUGUUAUUUUUAAAUAAAAUAUUUUUAUACUAAACGACGUCGUGUUGCAUUGACAAAAACGAUGCCAUUUCGAUCGAUCUUCUACCUUCCUUCAUUCGUCUUCACUAGUACAUCUCCUCAUUUCAUUUAAUAUUCUUCACCCUUCAACCAAACCCAGAGCAUACGAAAUCGACUUUUCUUCACCAUAAUCGCACUUUACUUUGUUCACCCUUCAAAGUGUAAAGCGUUUAUUGUUGGUUUGUGGCUAUGAUUGUAAAGAGAAGCGAAGGUGCAAUUUCGAGUUAUGUGGUCCUUAUGUUUUUUCUUUUUGCUUCAUGUGGUCCCAAUCUGUUUUUUAAUUUAUUUGUAGUUUAAUAUUUGUAUAUUCGGUUGCGUUAGGGUUCAUCUGUAGUUUAAUAUUUGUUUAUUAUGUUCACAUUCAUGCAAAUGUCUAAAUAUAUUGUUUUGGUUUAUCACCAUGGGUCGGUUUGCCAUGGACAGUGAUGACAACAUCCAAUUCAUUGGUCAAAAAAUUGAGAGAAUGACCCAUUUGGAUGUGGAUUUGGUAAACUUAAUGGAUUUGAAGGCAUUAUUUGUUUAGUGUGGUUAUCACGAUUUACAGGCAAUAUAUUGACAAAAUCCUCAAGAUCCAUAUUUGGAGAGUGGAUUAAUGGCAUUGGAGAAGGAUAAAGAUAUCAAUGAAAUGGUGGUUGCAACAUUGAAGACCAAUAAGGUGGAUGACAUUGGUGAUUAUGAGAUGCAUGUGUACUUUGAACAUGCUGUGUUGAAUGAGGAAGACACAGAAUUUGUCUCUCAACUUGAAGAUGGUAAUGAUUCGGAAAUGUAUUCAAUGCAUGAAGGAAGUUGCGAUGAUACACCAGAACCUUCUGAACUUGUUGCCAAAGCUUCUGAACCUUCAACUGAACCCGCAACUCAACCUUAUGAACCUUCAACUAAACCCGCAACUCAACAUUCUAAACCUUCAACUGAACCUGCAACUCAACAUUCUGAACAUUUAAGUCAACCUUCUAAACCUUUAAGUCAACCUUCUGAACCUUUAAGUCAACCAUGUGAACCUUUUAGUCAACCUUCUGAACCUGUAACUGAAUUUAAUCAACCUGCUGCUGAUCGUGUAGCUAAAUUUACACCAUAUUUUGCACCUGUAAAUGAAGAUGAUUACCUUGUUCAUGAAGAUAUCAGCAACAAUAGAAUGAAAAGGAAGUUAGGCCUGAAGAAAAGGAAGUCAACACAAAAGAAAAGGAAUUUAGUACCAAAGAAAAGGAAAUCAGCACCAAAGAAAAAUAAGUCAGCACAAAAAAAAAAAAGGAAGUCAGCACUAAAAAAAAAGAAGUCAGCACCAAAGAAAAGGAAUGUUACCCCUGAACCUGAGGUGAAUGAUCCUAUACAUGAAGUUCUUGAAACUGAAGCUGAACCUGAAGGUGUUGAACAUGAACCUCAACAACCUACAGCUUCAUUUGAGGAUUAGGGAUAUUCAUCUAAUAGUGAAUAUAUGCAUACCCAUGUUUCCACUAAUGAUGAAGAGAAUGUAGGGAAUGCAUGUAGUAAGCACCCCAUGUUCAAUGAAAACAAUGGAUUUGGACAUGUACAUUUAGAUAUUGGAAUGGAGUUGGCAAAUCUCAAGGUUUUUAAAGAUGCUUUGAAAGACUACAAUAUUUUCUUGGGCAGACAAAUUAAAUGGAAGAAGAAUGAUAUGAUGAGUGCAAGGGUUGUUUGUGCAAAUCCAGAUAGUAGGUUUAACAUUUAUCAACUAAAAACCUUCAACCCAGAGCAUACUUGUUGCAGGACCUUCCGAAAUAAGACUGCUAGUAGGGAUUGGGUUGCCAAAAAUCUAGAGGCAAGGUUGGUGACACAACCUGAUUUAAGGAGGACACAAGCAAUUAAUUUGAUGAAAGAGAACAACAUGGUUCACUUAGAGAAGAAAAGGUGAGCAAAGCCCUAAAAAAAGCAAGAGAAGCAAUAGAAGGUUCAUAGAAAAAUUAGUAUGGUCAGUUGUGGGAUUAUUUAGAGGAAACUCAUAAAACCAAUACUGGAUUAACUAAUAUAAUGGAAGUGCUGCCAAUUCCUAAAUCACCACAAAUGUUUAACAGACUGUUUAUAUGCAUAAAUGCUUGUAGAGAAGGUUUCAAGAAUGGGUGUAGACCUAUGAUUGGCCUUGAUGGAUGUUUUUUGAAGGAUAUUAUGAAGGGAAACUUAUGUCUGAUGUUGGACAAGAUGUAAAUAACCAGUUUUAUGUUAUUGCAUAUGUUGUGGUUGAUUCAGGAACCAAGGAUAAUUGAAAAUGGUUUCUAUGACUAUUGGAUCAAGCUCUAGGUAUGGCUGGAACUUUGUGUCAGAUAAAGAACAAGGCUUGGAAUCUGCAAUAGUUGAGGUUAUGCCAAGUGCACAUCACAGAAACUGUGUGCUGCACAUCUGAAAAAAUUUCAUCAAAUAUUUUAAGGAUAAGGAGCUAAGAGGUGUUGUCUGGGAAUUAGCUAAAUGCAGAAUAGUUGGUGAAGUUAACACUCAGAUGGCAAAAUUGAAGGACAAGCAUUAAAUGGCAGUGUUAUAUCUAAACAAUGUUUAGCCUAGCUCAUAGGUGAAGGCAUUUUAUAACCACUGGUCAAAAGUGGACAACAUUACUAACAACGUGUGUGAAGUAUGGAAUGCAAAGAUUGUUGAGUAUAAAGAUAAAACAAUUUUAACUAUGUUAGAAGAGUUGAGAUGUUACAUCAUGAGGAGAAUGAGACAACACAAGCUAGCCAUGAGGAAUUGGAAAGGCAAGUUGCUACCUGUCCAACAAAGAAGAUUGGAGAAAAUCAAAGUGGAAAAUUGUAAAUGGACUCCAACAUGGACUGGAGAUAUUGAGAAUCAAACAUAUGAGGUAAAACAUUGGUCAACCAAGUUGGGGUAAGUUUGACAAACCAAACUUGCACUUGUCAAAAAUGGCAACUCCUUGUGAACAUGUUGUGGCAGCAAUUACUUUCAAUAAUGAUACCCCUGAAGACUAUGUACACAAUUGGCUAACUAUGGAUGUUUUUAAUGUAACAUACUCAUAUGUCAUUAGCUCAAUUAGUAGUGAUGAAUUUUGGGUUAGCACAAAUCAGAAUCCCAAGCCUAUUCCACCAAACCUGAAAAGGCCAAUUGGUAGGCCUAAGAAACAUAGAAAGAGAAAGUUAAAUUCAGAAUCUGCACAUGAUUGUUCAAUAAAAUUACAAAGGUCAUGGAAGACAACUUGUCCAAAAUGCAAUGAACAAGGACAUUAUGGUAAAACUUGAAAGGGUCCAAGUAUGCCAAGAAAGAAGAGUAAGAAACAUGAAAUAGGGGUCCCUGAAAACAUGCAAAAGCCUGAAUUACUUGAAACUCAAGUAAACUACACUACCAUCUGCUGUGUAUACUGUUAUUUAUAUUGUUAUCCAUAAUCUAUGCUAAAUUUAUGUACACUAGUUUUAGGAGAGUCAGGUUGGUUCAUCCAGAACUACAGCUGAAAUUCCAAAUUAUGUGAGAUACCCAGCAAUGUUGGUAAGAACAUAUUCUUGGACAUUUAAAUUACAUUAUCAUUUUCUCAGGCUAAAUUAGUAUGUAUAUACAUUUUGUUUCAGUUUGAGGAUGACAACACAAUGGAGUCACCUCAAGUCCAACCAUCAGCUAAUCCAACCUCAAGUAUAUUGGAACCACCUCAAUCCAUCCAAGAGCAUCAAAUCCAAGCUCAAGUGAAACCAAGAAAACAACCUUCAAGGUUCAAGCCACCAAGAACUAAUUCAAGAAUGCUAAAAAGAGAUGAUGGAGAGUUUUUAGUCAUGUAGUGUUUUGAUGAUUUUUUUUGUAAUGCACUUGUUGACAGGAUGCUAAGUGUGUUUUUAUAGUGAUGUAGUGUUUUGAUGUUUUUUUGUAAUGCACUUGUUGACAGGAUGACAAUAUGCACUUGUUAUUAGGAUGCUAAGUAUUUUGUAAUGCUAAGAAGGGACUAUUACAUUGCAACAGAGCCAUUUUGUGUUGCUAUUUUGUAUUGCAUUCACUAUAAAAUGUAUCAGAGCCAUAAUGCAGUAAAAUACUAACAGAUAACAUACUUGAUCAUUUCAUCAAUAAUACAAAACUUACAUAACUUCCAUAAAUCAUAACUUCAUUUCAUUGAUAAUACAUAACUUACAAAAGGGAACAAUAAUUUCAUUACAUAAUAGAAACAUAACCAAAACAUACAUAACUUCAUUCCAUUGAUACUACAACUACUACACAUUUGAAAAUACAAAUCAUAAAACCACUAACAACAGAUAACAGGAUAAACACAGCUGCUACAACUACAACUUUUCUGCACCAUAUGACAUGUUCUUUCAUGAUCAUUUGAAUUUCUUUAAGAUUAGUUUGCAAAUCAUCCAUAUCUAUAGCAUGUCAAUCCCAUUUUCUUCCUUCAUGGCUUGAUUUCUUUCCCAAUCUUCAACCCACAUAAAAAACUUCACACAAUAAUUGUUUCCUUCCUGUAGAAGAAUUGAAAAUGUUUCAGACCUGGAAAAUAACAAAAAUCAUAACUUCACAUAAAAUGGACAAUAAAAACAAAAACAGUGUGAACCUUGAAAUCUAGACAUUCAUAGAACUGUUUCUUUGGGUUCUUCAUAGUCUUUGAUGUGUAUAUAGAAGCAAGCCUACUGCAAUGGCGCAAUGGAGGACAAAAUCUUCUAUCUACAGAGCUCACAUCGCCGUAACUUGUUUGAGACAUGCACCUCGAGUUCACAUCACCAUAGUUUUUCAUGUCAUAUGCAACAAGAUAAUAAAAUUAGCUUAUUAGGGUUUAUGCUGUAAGAAAUUGCGGCAAUUUGGGUUUCUAAUCGACCCUCAACGUUUUAAGGAAGAAGAUGGAGUAAAACGGUGUCGUUUUGCUCCUUAAUAUUUUUUCGGAAUUAUUCUAUGCAAAACAAUGUCGUUUUGCUUAAUGUAUUAAAAACAUUACAAAAUGACAUCGUUCAGUAUUAAAAAAAUUAGUUAAAUAUUAAUUUAUUUAAAAAUAAUAAUUUUAUAAAAACGACGACGUUUUGAGUCAAAAAAUUUUAAAAAUUUAACGGGUGGCUAACAUGGCAAGUUGUACACAUAGGACCAUCCACCAGGGUCCACGUCAAUAGUUAACGUGUCACGCCAGUAACUCUGUGACAUUUAAUGGUACCCACAUGACGGAAGGACUAACGUGACUCGACGUUGAAUUUGUAGGAGACUAUAAUAUCACUUAAAAAAUUUCAAGGACUAAAUUGGUAACUACAAAAAAAGAGGAGGGACGCUAAAUAGGUAAUCACUGUUAUAUUUAAUAAUCAAAUCAAUUUAUCAUUAAACAUUAAUAUAUGAUAUAAAACUUUACACUGAUAUUAUUGAAUAGAUGCUUAAUUUUUAAUUCAUUAGAAACUUCAAUUAACUCAUGUUCUGUCUAAUUUCUAUUAGCAAGCGAUCUUAAUUGGUUAAGGGUGGAGCCACGUCUUUUUUAUAAGAGCACAAGGUAUACCUAUAAUUCAAAGCCGUGAACUAAUCAUAAGGUUGAGUGCGUUUGUUUAGGAUUUUUAUAUCAACAAAAGUGCUUUUAUUUUGAAACAAACUGCUUGUUUGGUUAGGACUUUGGAUUUUGAAAAUUCCAUUCUUACAUAAACAUUUAAGCUGGGAGAAUCCAAAUUUUUUAUGCUUCUGACAAAUUUGUUUGUAACAAGGAGGAGAUGAAAGCUACAAUCAGUUAUGAAAAUGUAACUAAACAUAAAAUGUUUUUUGAUUUUACCUAAAUUCUGUUUAUCAUGAACAUUUAUGGAGAAUUCUUUUUUGCAUGCCUAAAUAAGUGGGCAAGUUGAUGUUGCUGACAAAUGUGUUUGGUCCUUUUACAUUUUUAAUGUCGUUGACAAAAUUUCGUAGCUGAUUUAGUGGGUAUUAACUAAGUUGAUACUUAACUACAUCCAAAGUAGAGGUGCAAUUAUCUUUGCAUAGUUGUAGUAUUAAAUAGAGGUGAUAGAUAUGUGCUUCAUAAUCAUAUUAGUAGAAUACCCAUCACGUGAUAAUAUAUUUUGCAUAAAUGUAUUUAAACAAUGCAAUGUAGUUUAUUAAUUAAAAAAUUAUUAAUAAUUACCUUAUGAUAGAUGAUAUUUAUGUAUUUGAUUGAUAAAGUAGAGUUGUUGAUGAAUAAUAUGACAUAAAACCUGUUAUAUGAAAUAAAUAAUAAAUGGUUAAAAAGAAAAAAUUUAGAAUACAAAAAUAAGCUGUAAAAUAAGAGAUUUUGGAAAACUUCUUUAUAAAUAACAUUUAUUGUUGACUUUAGUGGUUGUCUAUAAUUAUCAUGAAUCAAUAUCUUCAAUCCGUUUUUGCUUUAAACUCUUGAUGUAGCUAUGUAUAAUUGAUCAUGACUGAACAUUUGUCUAGGUAGAUAUAAGCUCUCACUUUCUAAUGAUUGACCUUGAAAUUUAUUAAAUGUCAUAACAUAUGAAAUGAUUAUAGGGAAUUGUCUUAUAAUAAGCUUAAAAAGUUUUAGAGAUUGGGAUGUGGACAUUCAUAUGCAAGAUAUAUAUAUAUAUUAUAUGUCCAACGUUUAUACUUGAUAUGAUCUUUGCUUCAACUACAUGAUCUACCAUUUUAGUGACCAUCAUUAUUGUAUUAUUACAUAAUCCUUUUGACUAGUCUAAAUUCCUUAAUAAUAUUAUUGGAAUUCCAACUUUCAAUUUGAUCUUAUAAUUAAGAAGACCAGAGGUUGUACGUCUAUUCUUUUGUAUGUACGGAUGUUUUUUUCUUUUUAUUAACUUCAACUAUAACAUUUUAUGGUGUAAAAAUGAUUUUCAUUUGGAGUUCAAGAGGUAGAAAGGUCUUCAAGUCUUUUUCAUUUGAUGGAAAAUCAUUCUCACGUGUUUGAGACAAAUUCUAAAAACCCAUUCCUUAAAUUCUUUUUAUCUCACCAAAUUCUAUUUUUUUCUAAGGCGCAGGGAUCCUAUGCCAGUUUAGGCAAAUAAGAAUUUAUUAAAUCAAUCUAAGUUAAUUGUGAGCUUCAAGUUAAAAGUUCCUAUUAUUCAUCUUUGACCAUAUCACAAUCCAAAAAUGCACAUCCAUUUUGAGGUUACUAAUUAUGGAAACUAACUAGUAUAUAAAUAAGCUAAGGAACCUGUCUUAAAUUCACCAUCUCUCAACAAUAUAUGUUCAACAACAACAAAAAAAGAACAAAAGAAAAAUGGCUCGCCUGGCAUGUUGUUUGGUCUUGAUCUCUUUGUGCUUAUGCCUUGUUCUUGAGCCUGCUUUUGCAGCCAAGAAAGGACACAAGACCCUUAAGGUCAAAUCCACCAAGCACAUUGCCCCAGCAAGUGCACCUUUUCCUUCUGCUAUUCAAACAGAACAAGCUUUGAUCCAACAACUAUGCCAGGAUACAAGGAAAUCCAAAUUGUGCCGCAAAAUUGUUCAAGGUGAAAGGGUAGCUUUAGAACCAGUCGCUGAGGCCAAGAUUGCCAUUGAUAUUGCCACAUCCAUGGCAUCAAGGGUUGGUGCAUACAUGUCAACCCAACUUAAAACAAACCGUGUUAAGAUUCUUUCAAGAGGGUUUGUGAAAGUUUGCAAGUUCAAUUAUGACAAUGCAAUUGUUGACUUGAACCUUUCAUACAUUAACUUUGAAUCCAACACCAAGAAAGCCAUUGAGAGUCUCAAACAAGCUGAGAUUAAGAUUGGAUUCUGUGUUAAUUCUUUGAAAUCAGCAAGUAAAAAUGCUGAAAUUCCACCAGUUCAUGAAGCCAACAAAGUGAUUCAGAGUUUGAUAAAGGCAGCAGAAUCUGUUGCUAAGAAACAAACACACUAAGCAACAUAUAGCCAGUAUGUGUGUCCAUUUUGCCUUUUAUUUGAGAGAUGUGGAACAUGUUUUUGUUUCUCUUUUUCUGAAUUUUGGUUACAGAAACAAGUUCUUUUUUUUNNNNNNNNNNNNNNNNNNNNNNNNNNNNNNNNNNNNNNNNNNNNNNNNNNNNNNNNNNNNNNNNNNNNNNNNNNNNNNNNNNNNNNNNNNNNNNNNNNNNUGUGAUAUUAUUAGAAAAUGCAUUGAUAGUUUGAUAUAUUUAGUGAAUGUAACUUCCUCUAACCUUCAUUUAUAUUUUUUAUUGUAUGAAAAAAUAUUGUAAUAAUUAUUAAUUAUAAGGCAAAAUAGGUAAGUGAAAAUUAUACAAUGUAGGUAGUUAUUUCAUGUUUUCCCUUUAUAUAUAACUAGUGUGUACAGGCACUUCGUGCCUGCCAGUGAAUAUUGUAUGGUAGGGGUGUUCGCGGUCCAUUUGGAUUGAGUUUUAGGUAAAAAAUGAUCCGAUCCAAACACGUAAUUAACAUGCGGUCUGGAUCGGUCUAGUCUGUUUAUAUUAAGAUAUCCGGUCCAAUCUGAUACAAAUAUAAUAUCCGGUUUCGGUUCGGUUUGGAUCGGUUUUUUUUAUAAAAUAUUAAAAUUGCACUUAUAUUCAAAACUCAUAAAAAUGACUAAAUAUUAAGCAUAAAACAACAAUAAAAAUAAUGUUUAAGAACAUUAAAACAACAUUAAAAUGUGUGCAACAAUAGUAUAAGUAAACAACAUCAUAAAAUCAUAAUAAACAAUAAGACAAUAAUAAUAAAAGUAAAAAUUAGUAACAACAACAACAAGAUAUCAAUAAUAACAAGACAACAAGAUAUCAAUAAUAACAAGACAACAAGAUAUCAAUAAUAACAAGACAACAAGAUAUCAAUAAUAACAAGACAACAAGAUAUCAAUAAUAACAAGACAACAAGAUAUCAAUAAUAACAAGACAACAAGAUAUCAAUAACAAUAAUAUGAGCACGUGUAACGUAAUUUUAAUAGUUACAAUGUUCUACCGAUGAUUAAUAACAAUAAUACUUUCACAACAAUAAAGUUGAUAAUAAAACACCUAGUCAGAAUAACACUUGAAUCCUCUUCAUUUGGUUGUGGGAUUGAUUUAAGUUCUAAAACAAUGUAUCAAAUAUAAUCAAUAUCAUUUAAAACAUAGCAACAUAUAUAUAAGUGUUUAUUAUAGAAUAUAACAAAUAAAAUAUAGGUACAAUUUUGGAGUUGAGACUUAAGAUUAAGUUUGGAAAACACUUAAAAGUAUUACACACUUAAACUUUACAUACUAUUUUGGUCCGGUCUGGAUCGAAGAGGUGAAACCAAAAUCCAGACCGGACCAAUCGGUCUUUAAAAAAUAAGUCCAACACGAUCCAAAUGCAUUCGGUUUUUGCGGUUUCGGUCUAUUUUGGAUCGGUUUUCGGUUUUAUUAUUGGACCGGUCUGGAUUUGAACACCCCUAUUGUAUGGUACUACGUAUUCAAUUUUAUAUAUUUUAUUUUUUAAUUUUAUGAUAAUGUUCAACUCAAGGUGAGAUAUGUGGUUAAUUAAAAUGCUGAAAUUCCACGAGUUCAUGAGUCUAACAAAGUGAUUCAGAGUUUGAUAAAGGCAGCAGAAUCUGUUGCUAAGAAACAAACACACUAAGCAACAUAUAGCCAGUAUGUGUGUCCAUUUUGCCUUUUGUUUUGAGAGAUGCAGAACAUGUUUGUGUUUCUCCUUUUCUGAAUUUUGGUUACAGAAACAAGUUCUUUUUUGUACUCUUAUUAAUGUAUUGUAAUCAUAAAACAAUUUUAAUGAAGAGUCACAAUUUCCAAUAAUUAGAUUUUGUCUGUGUUUACAUAGGGUAAUGAUUAUUUGCUUGGAGAUAUAUUUGGUUUUAGUCAUAGUUAUAAAAACCGGCUCGGACCGGCCGGUUCAACCGGUUNNNNNNNNNNNNNNNNNNNNNNNNNNNNNNNNNNNNNNNNNNNNNNNNNNNNNNNNNNNNNNNNNNNNNNNNNNNNNNNNNNNNNNNNNNNNNNNNNNNNCACUUUUGAUUAUCAAUAACCUAUGCUUUACGUGUCAUUAUCCAUAAUAAUUAUCUUAUAUUACUAUAUGUUGUCGUCACUGUACUGUCAUUACCAUGUGUAUGCCAUUGUUAUUGAAGUUCAUUAAAUUCAAUUAUUUGCCACUGUUUCAUGACUUCAUCUUUAAACAUGAUGCAUUCUUGAAUGAAUUAGUGUAGUGUUUUGACUUUAAAAUCUUGAAUGAAUUUGCCAUUUUGAUUACAGAUAAAGUAUUCAAUAAAGCAUGAUGCAUUCUUUAUAAAGUUGUAACAAUAAUAGUUUUAUACUUUUAUGAUCAUAGUUUAUUCCAAUGAAGGCAAUUUUGAUUAGUAAUAAUAAUUAUAAAUAACAGUAAUAGGAUAAUAUAAUAAUAAGUUAAUAGCUAAUAAGUUUUUCUCAAUAUCUAAUUGUUAUAGUAAUAUUUAUAAGUUUUCUAUAUUGUUAAGUUAUUUCAUAUGAUGAUUUGUUAUUGUUAUUUGUUAUGCUUUUGUUACAGAUGUCUUCUAAUCAAUCUAAUGAACGCGAAAUAGAACCACCUUCUUCACAAGCAUCAAUACAAAAUUCCUCUCAAAGAUAUGUUAGACAGAAAUCAGAUUUAGCUUGGGCGCAUUGUACACAAGCUAUUGAAGGUAAUGGAAAAACUGUUUUAUCAUGCCUCUAUUGUAAAAAGAUUAUCAGAGGUGGUGGAAUUAAUAGGCUCAAGAGCCAUUUGGCUGGAGAAAGGGGGCAAGUUGAGCAAUGUAAGAAAGUUCCUGCGGAUGUGAAAUUUCAAAUGAAACAAAAUAUUGAUGAAUGCAGAAACAAGAAAAGAAAAACUCAAGAAGAGUACGAGGAAAGUAAUCCAAGUGAUGAUAGAGUGGAAGAUGUUGCCAUAACAUUACCUUCUGGAUCUCAAAGGGGGAAAAGCAUUGGACGCAUUGGUGAGUUUUUUAUGCCGAUAACAACUGUAGGAGCUCAACUUACACUAAAGAGUGUGUUACAAAGCAAAGAAGUUAUAGAGAAGUGCGACCUUGCUAUUUCAAAAUGGAUGAUUGAUGCAUCUGUGCCUUUUAAUGCAGUUAAUUCUGCAUAUUAUCAACCAAUGAUUGAUGCUAUUUGUGCCAUGGGUCCUAGGCAUAAAGCUCCUAAUUUUUAUAAAGUUCGUGGUUCUUUAUUAAAUAAAUGGGUUGGUGAUACAAAGAAACUUGUUGAAAGUUAUCGCAAUACAUGGAAGCAAAUUGGUUGUACUCUUAUGGCAGAUGGGUGGACUGAUCGAUGUAGGAGAACCCUCAUUAAUUUUUUGGUUUAUUGUCCUAGAGGCACUGUUUUUAUCAAAUCAGUUGAUGCUUCUCAAUAUUCCAAAACUGCAGAUUUGCUUUAUAAGCUUUUCAGGGAAAUAAUAUUAUUUGUUGGCCCUGAAAAUAUUGUUCAAAUAGUGACAGAUAAUGCUGCAAAUUAUGUUGCAGCUGGAAGGUUAUUAGAAGCUGAGUUUCCAAAGUUAUAUUGGUCUCCUUGUGCUGCCCAUUGUGUUAAUUUGAUGUUGCAAGACAUAGGGAAACUAGAAGAUGUUGUAGAGGUUGUAUCACAAGCUUCUAAUAUUACCAAAUACAUUUGGAAAUAAUAUUAUUUGUUGGCCGUGAAAAUAUUGUUCAAAUAGUGACAAAUAAUGCUGCAAAUUAUGUUGCAGCUGGAAGGUUAUUAGAAGCUGAGUUUCCAUAGUUAUAUUGGUCUCCUUGNNNNNNNNNNNNNNNNNNNNNNNNNNNNNNNNNNNNNNNNNNNNNNNNNNNNNNNNNNNNNNNNNNNNNNNNNNNNNNNNNNNNNNNNNNNNNNNNNNNNCAUUCCUUAAGUUCUUUUUAUCUCUCCAAAUUCUAUUUUUUUCGGUAAGGCAUAUAAGGAUCCUAUGCUGUUUUGUAAAUCAAUCUGUUAAUUGUCAGCUCCAAAGUAAAAAGUUCAUAUUCUUCAUCUUUUACCAUUUCACAAUCCAAAUAUAUAUAUAUAUAGGUUACUACUUUUGGAAACUAUGUAAAUAAACUAAGAAAGUUGUAUUAAAUUCACCAUCUCUGAAAAAUAUCUCUUCAACAAAACAAAAAAAAAACAAAAGAAAAAUGGCUCGUCUGGCAUGUUGUUUGGUCUUGAUCUCUUUGUGCUUAUGCCGUGUUCUUGAGCCUGCUUUUGCAGCCAAGAAAGGACACAAGACCCUUAAGGUCAAACCCACUAAGCACAUUGCCCCAGCAACUGUACCUUUUCCUUCUGCUAUUCCAAUAGAACAAGCUUUGAUCCAACAACUAUGCCAUGAUACAAGGAAGUUCAAAUUGUGCUGCAAAAUUGUCCAAGGUGAAAGGGUAGCUUUAGAAUCAGUCGUUGAGGCCAAGAUUGCCAUUGAUAUUGCCNNNNNNNNNNNNNNNNNNNNNNNNNNNNNNNNNNNNNNNNNNNNNNNNNNNNNNNNNNNNNNNNNNNNNNNNNNNNNNNNNNNNNNNNNNNNNNNNNNNNAUGGCAUCAAGGGUUGGUGCAUACAUGUCAACCCAGCUUAAAACAAACCGUGUUAAGGUUCUUUCAAGAGGGUUUGUGAAAGUUUGCAAGUUCAAUUAUGACAAUGCAAUUGUUGAAUUGAACGUUUCAUACAUUAACUUUGAAUCCAACACCAAGAAAGCCAUUGAGAGUCUCAAACAAGCUGAGAUUAAGGUUGGAUAUUGUGUUAAUUCUUUGAAAUCAGGAAGUAAAAAUGCUGAAAUUCCACCAGUUCAUGAGGCUAACAAAGUGAUUCAGAGUUUGAUAAAGGCAGCAGAAGCUGUUGCUAAGAAACAAACACACUAAGCAACAUAUAGCCAGUAUGUGUGUCCAUUUUGCCUUUUGUUUGAGAGAUGUGGAACAUGUUUGUGUUUCNNNNNNNNNNNNNNNNNNNNNNNNNNNNNNNNNNNNNNNNNNNNNNNNNNNNNNNNNNNNNNNNNNNNNNNNNNNNNNNNNNNNNNNNNNNNNNNNNNNNGCAAUUUCCAUAACCAUGUUAUAAUGAACUAUUAGUUAUCCCAUUAAAAGCAAAACUUUGAUAUAAUUUCUUUUAACAAAAGGGACAAUCAGAUAACUGGAACUGCUUAAAUUCAAUGUUUAUAACUUCUGUCUUCCUGUGAUGAAUUGAUAAUUAGAAUAAGUUUAAUUAUAUUUGUCAAAGAAUUCUGUAUUUUAAUUUUUAAGUAGUUUGAUAGUCACUGCUGUGACUUUUAGGUUUUAGAAAUCUGUGAUUUUUAAAGAAUUGUGUACUUUAAAUAGUUUGAUACUCACUGCUUUGACUUUUACCUUUUAGAAAUCUGUGAUUUUUACUAUAAUGAUGUGUAUAUACUGCCUCCUACUAGUUAUAUCAUAAAAAUAUGUAUGCAGUUAAAAUCAUAAUAUAUUUUGUCUUAGUGUUUAAUAAGUAGGUAUAGAUUAUAAAUUUAAAGAGUAAAUUAUACUGAUAUUUCCUGAGGUUUUGUAAAAUUAUAUAAAAUACUCUUCCUUUUUAAACAUACAUAAAUUACCCUAAUUAUAUAUAUACAUUAUGUUGAUUACCUCUGUGUGAGAUAUAAGUGAAAUUUCUUAAACAAAAAAUUGUGACUAUUCUAAUGAAGUUAAAAAAAUAUGUAAAUUAUCAAGACAACACCAAAUAGAAUAAGAGUCAAUGUGUAUUUAUUAUUUUGGUUAAUUAAUAUAGUAUAAGAAAUUUAAACAUUUCCUUAGAAUUAUUGAUGCAGUUUGUAACGAACUGAAAAUAAUUAAUAUAUAUUGACUCUUAUACUAUUUGAAUUUUUCUUCAAAAUAUACCAUAUUUUAUUUGACUUAAUUACAGUCGUCACUAUUUUUUCUUUAAGAAAUUACAUUUAUUUAUUUUACUGUGGUAGUCAGUGUAAUGUAUAUAACUAUAAGUAAUUUGUGUAAGUUUAAAAAUGGAAUGGAUAAUUUAUGUAAUUCCAAUAAAACUUAGGGGUGUCUAUAUUAAACUUAUACAAAAAAAAAGACUAUAGAUUAAACUGUAAAGUAAUUUAUGAGAGAUCUCUAUACCUUUUGCUACAAUUUUUGUUUAGUAGGUUGAUGUUAGAAAGUAGUAAUUUCUAAUUAAGGUAAUCAUAUAUUUAAUAUAAUUGUAUCGAUUAUUUAUUUUGGGUUAUAAAACAAAUGAUUUAAUUCUGACAACUCAUAGAACUUCUAAAAUUGAUAAUACAUAUAAGUUUAAUGAGUAGGUACCCAAAUGGUUGGCCUAUAGGGGAUAAUGAGAAUCAUAUAAGUUAAUAUAUAAGGAACGAUUAUGAUCUUAAAGACAACAAAUUACAAUCAGUUUUCACCUUUCCCUAUUAGAGAAAAAACGAAGGUACCAAAUGGAAUUCAAGAUUUGGUUGAGGAAGACCAUCAUACCAAAAAUCUCUCUAAAGACAUACAAAAUAAAUAGAUCUAAAAAACAUAGAUUCAUAUAUGAUUUUGUAUCCUUGUUUUAUUUUUUUUUUUUACAUGGGAAAGGAAAACAAAACUAAGAAGAACUAUCUAAGACUAAUAAAUCCGACGCACCAGCACAAGAAGACAUUCAAACCUAAAGACCUAAGCAUGAAAGAGCACCCGUCUUUGCCAUAAAUCCACCACGGAGUUGGUUCCCUUCAUAUUAUGUGUAAGAAUCAUGAGAUUCAAGAUCCUAUGAAUGAUAUUACACUAAUCAUAAGGAAAAUUUAACAAUUGGUAUCAGAGCGUAGGUUAUGAAUUUUAUGAUUUCCUUAAAGAUGUCUUUCCAAUUUUUGUAUGAACCCUAAUUUUAAUUUAUGGAUUUUAUGCUUCCGCUAUCGUGAUAUAAAGAUUGAGAAUUUAAAUUGAUUAUUUCGCUGUAAUGUUUUCUUUUGCGUGUCUUAAUUGUACACACAUAAUGAUAUAAAGUAAUCGUAUGGAUGAUGUUUUUUAUUUUCUUUUUGUUCUUAUCCCAUAAGGAAUUGUAUCAUGAAAUUAAUGUGAUGAUGAGAACUUACAAUUCAAUUUUUUUUACGCUUUCCAUGUAUACGUUUACAUGCUACAAAAUGUACAUAUAUACAUUAUGAUGUUCUAAUUAUAUAUCUCAUUCAUUAUAUAUGUUGUUUGUCCAGUGAUUGAUUUAUAAUUUUGUUGAUGCAUUAUUUAUUGAUUAGUAGUAUACUCAUAAAGUUGUAUUCAUAUAGAUAAUGCAUUUAGUUUAUUUAAAUGCUGAAAUAUAUUAUAGAGUGUGCAUUUUUAGUAUAAAGAUUUAUACACAGUCAAUAAAUUAUCUAUUAUUUAUUUGUAUUAUUUUUUCUAAAAAGUCAAUAAUAAUUUAAAAUGAAUGAUGUAUGAUAAGCCAUAAUAUAUAAAACUCUUAUACUGUCAAUAUAUUUUCUCUAUUUUAUAUACUAUAUAUAUUUUGCUAUUAUAAGGCACAUAUAAUGUCUACCUUGUUAUAACUUCAAGCACAUAAAUUUUUAUUAAUUUGCCUCCUUAUCACAAGUUCAAUGUGAUUUACUCAUGUUUUUAAUGUAGCUACUUUACUGAAGUUAUAUAUAUACAUAUAGUUAUUGGUUUAAAUGUAUAUACGGUACAUUUAGUUAUGGAUUAAAGUUUCAACACCUAAAUAUGGGUCCGAGUUGGACUUUUGUCCUACUAGGACUGAUUUGUUGUGGUGGCAAAAUAUUGGUAGCUUAUCCUACUAUUAAGGAAGCAUUGGUGUGGAUUUUGAAACUAAUAUUUUCAAAAGUAUUAGUGAUGAAACUCAAACUAAAUUUUGGGCUGAUGUUUGGUGCGGUAAUCAAAAUCUAAAAAUAUCUUUCUCUAGAUUGUUUUUGUUGGCUUCUAAUAGGCAAGCAUUGGUUGCUGAUAGUGGGAAGUGAGUGGGAAAUGAUUGGCAUCGGAAGAUUGAGUGGAGAAGGGUGUUUUUUCAUAGGGAGGACAAUCUUGCAGAAAUAUUACAUUCUUCCUUUCAGUGUUCGGCAACGGGUUUGGAUCGGUGGAGUUGGAAGUUGGAUGAUUCUGGUACUUUUGUUGUCAAGACAAAUUACUGGAGUCUUUAGCUUAUGUCCAUUCUCCUUUGCCAACAGAUCAUUCUAUGCUUUCGGAUGGUAAUUAUUUUAUUCAGAAUUGUUGGAACUCUCAUAUUUCCUUAAAGCUUUGUUGUUUCAUUUGGAAAAUUGGUAAGUAGAGAUGGAAUAUUAUAUUUAGAAAUCGAGAAAUUUCAUAGACCAAUAUAUUUGAAUUGUGUGUUGUGUGUUUAGUAUCUUGAAUCGUUAGAACAUUUGCUUAUCUCUUAUAUUAGUUUUGUAAAUAUGUGGUUUGGUUUUUAUGUGUAACUGAAGAUUCUAGUGAUUAUUCCUCAGUCAAUGCCACAAUUUUUGAUGUUUCAUGAUUCCUAUUGACAGCCUGGGGAAAGAAAAUGUGGAGAUUAUCAUGGUUUUGUGUGGUGUGGUCUUUGUGGGGCAUGAAAAAUGAAGUUGUGUUCAAUGCCCAGAAAAUCUCUUCUUUUAAUUUACUAUAUAUAGUUCAAGUUAUAUCUUGGUCUUCGUAUUUUUCUUUUGUAGAUAAAUUGGUGUUUUAAUUCCUAGAUUGUUUAAAAAAAGUUCCUUUUAUAGUUUGGAUUUAUAUUGUGAUUAAAUCUUAAAAUUUUAAUUCUAAUUUGUAUUUUUUUAUAAUGUACUCAUAUUAUUUUUUUGUCUAGUAUGUUUUUGAUUAAAUUCAAUGAUAUGAUAUGUUGCCAAAGUAAUUUCUACUUUGAUUAAAAUUAUAUAUAUACUAGUAUGUGACUAUUUAUGAGAAUUGUGAUCAGCCUAAAAGAAGAUAUAAUUUGGCCAAAUAAUAACAUUUAUAUGAUGAUAAAUAUGUAAUAAUUAUAAAGUUAUAUUUUUCAUCUAAAUAAUAUUCGGUCUAAAAAAGACUAUUGUUUGACAAAACUAAUUAUUAAUAUUUAUCAUUACAUUGAAAAUUCAUUUCUUCAAUUCUUUUUAUCUGUCCAAAUUAUAUUUUUUUUCUAAGCCAUGGAAGAUCCUAUGCCGAUUUAGUAAAUCAAUCUGUUAAUUGUGAGCUUCAAAUAAAAAAGUGCCUAUAAUUUAUCUUUGACUGUUUCACAAUCCAAAUAUGUAUCUAUUUUGAGGUUACUACUUUUGGAAACAAGCAUAUAAAUAAGCGAAGAAACUUGUGCUCAAUUCACCAUCUCUCAACAUUAUAUCUUCAACAAAAAAAAGAACAAAAGAAAAAUGGCUCGUCUGGCAUGUUGUUUGGUCUUGAUCUCUUUGUGCUUAUGCCUUGUUCUUGAGCCUGCUUUUGCAGCCAAGAAAGGACACAAGACCCUUAAGGUCAAAUCCACCAAGCACAUUGCCCCAGCAAGUGCACCUUUUCCUUCUGCUAUUCAAACAGAACAAGCUUUGAUCCAACAACUAUGCCAGGAUACAAGGAAAUCCAAAUUGUGCCGCAAAAUUGUUCAAGGUGAAAGGGUAGCUUUAGAACCAGUCGCUGAGGCCAAGAUUGCCAUUGAUAUUGCCACAUCCAUGGCAUCAAGGGUUGGUGCAUACAUGUCAACCCAACUUAAAACAAACCGUGUUAAGAUUCUUUCAAGAGGGUUUGUGAAAGUUUGCAAGUUCAAUUAUGACAAUGCAAUUGUUGACUUGAACCUUUCAUACAUUAACUUUGAAUCCAACACCAAGAAAGCCAUUGAGAGUCUCAAACAAGCUGAGAUUAAGAUUGGAUUCUGUGUUAAUUCUUUGAAAUCAGCAAGUAAAAAUGCUGAAAUUCCACCAGUUCAUGAAGCCAACAAAGUGAUUCAGAGUUUGAUAAAGGCAGCAGAAUCUGUUGCUAAGAAACAAACACACUAAGCAACAUAUAGCCAGUAUGUGUGUCCAUUUUGCCUUUUAUUUGAGAGAUGUGGAACAUGUUUUUGUUUCUCUUUUUCUGAAUUUUGGUUACAGAAACAAGUUCUUUUUUUGUACUCUUAUUAAUGUAUUGUUAUCAUAAAACAAUUUUAAUGAAGGGUCAUAGUUUCCAAUAAUUAGAUUAUGUCUGUGUUUACAUAGGGUAAAGAUUAUUUGCUUCGAUAUAUAUUUGGUUUUAGUUUCUUAUUUAAUUUUAUCAACUCAAUUUAAGAAAUUAAUAAAUAAUUUAAAAUAAAAUAUAAUUUGACUAAAGUAUCUUAUUAAAUUUUCACAUAUUUCUACACAUAACUUUUCAUCAUAAAGUCAACCCAAACUACAACUAAGUAAAACAAACUUGGAAUAGAAGUUAUUAAGAGAACGCUUAAGAAAGAUUAUUACAUUGCAAAGUGGAGAAAAAUAGGGAAGAUAUAGUUGCAUCCCAAUUUCACUAUUUAUAUUAAAAAAAUUCUAAAGAGUAUUAUAUUUACAAAUGAAUAAAAAUUUGAAAUAAAAUUUAUAUAUAAUUAUUAAAUUAGGCAGGAAAAGGCAUUAAAUAAAUAAGGUUGAUUGAAAAUAUAUAUAUAAUUUAUCCCUCGUGAUUGACAUUAUAAGUGAUGCAUGUAAGCUUAGGUGUGUUGCUUUGAGUUUUUCGCUUUUAAACUUUGAUUCUGUGCAGUUGUGAAGGUUUACUAGCGUUAAUAAAAUGAUUAUCUGGUUGUGUUAAAUAAUGGGUUUAUUAAUUCUCACUGCAAUUUCCGUAAGCAUGUUAUAAUGAACUAUUAGUUUUCUCAUUAAAAGCAAAACUUUGUGAUAGGAAUGAGCGAUAAAUCAAAUAGUAAAAUAGUAUAGAGAAAAUAGAAUAACACAGCGGAUUUGGUAACAAUGUUCAACCAAUGUGCCUACGUUUCUGGGAACAUUGAGAGACUUUCACUAUGUAUUAUUAUUAGAGAAUAAAGAUUUGUGUUUAACUAUUUUUCUACUUGUUACAUUAGCUUUACAUAACAUAUAUAUAUAUGACACUCUACCCCAACCCUUUUACAUCAGCGCAAUUGCAUAACUUGUAUUGCUAUUAUCUAGAGAAUAUAAGUCAUAGCACAACAAUUUCCACUUUGGCGAAUAUCAUCAAUCUCCAUCUUCCGUUGUUGGGUUGGGGGUUCUUAAUAGUCUAACAUCAAUGAAUGUUCAACAAAUUCACACAAUACCUGAACUUGUCCACGAUAACCGACUUGGUUAACAUAUCAGCUGAAUUUUCUCAAGUGUGAAUCUUCUACAAUAAUAUCUUUCCACAAGCUACCAACUCUCUGAUCUUGUGAUAUCUCACAUCAAUAUGUUUGGCCCUAGCAUGAUAGACAUGGUUCUUCGCCAAUAAGAUAGCAGUCGUACUGUCACAAUGCAGCAGAACUCUACCUCGCUCAAUGUCUAAUUCAUUUACUAGUUCCAUAAGCCAUAGGGCACCAUUAGAAGCAUCACCAGCUGUCAUGUACUCUACUUCAACUACAGACAUAGCAGCAACAUACUGAGUUGAUGAUCUCCACAUAAUUGGUCCACCUGCAAGGGUAAAGACAAACUCUGUUGUGGACCUUCUAUCAUCCAACUCUCCUACAUAGUCCGAAUCGACAUAACUAAUAAUUGAAGGCUUACUCUAUUGACUGCCAAACAUGAUACCUAUACAUGUAGUCCCCUUCAAAUAUCUGAAAGUCCAUUUGACUACUUCCCAAUGUUGCUUCCCUGUUUUAGACAUGUACUUACAUACUUGAUUAACUGUUUGUGCCAAGUUCGAUCUAGUACAAACUAUAGCAUACAUCAAGCCACCCACUACACUGGUUUAUGGAACCUUUGACAUCUACUUCUUCUCUUCAUUUUUGUUUGGACACUGAUCUAGGGAAAUCCUGAAGUGGUUUGCCAAUAGAGUGCUUACUACUUUAACAUUGCUCAUAUCAAAUCUUUCUAUGAUCUUUUCAACAUAGCUUUGUUGGGAGAGCCAUAGUUUUCUAGCUCCCCUAUCCCUGUGAAUCUCCAUCUCGAGAACCUUCCUACAAGCCCCUAAAUCUUUCAUGUCAAACUCCUUACCUAGUAUGAUUUUCAGCUCAUUGAUAUCACUCAAAUGAUUAGUAGCAAUCAACAUAUCAUCAAUAUAAAGUAGCAGAAAAAUAAAAGAACCAUCAUCAAGACUUCUCACAUUAACACAACAAGCAUACUCACAUUGUUUGUAACUAAACUUCAACAUAUAAGUGCCAAACCGCUUGUACCAUUAUUUGGGAGACUGAUUCAACCCAUAUAGAGACUUCUUUAACUUGCAAACCACGUGUUUUUGUCCAACUGCACUAAACCCUUCUGGUUAUGUCAUGUAAAUUUUCUCCUCUAAUUCACAAUAGAGAAAGGAAAUCUUCACAUUCAUUUGUUCUAAGUGCAUAUCCCAACUGGCUACCAUGGCAAGCAUUGUCCUGAUAGAAGUGCGCCCACCAUUGGAGAGAAAAUAUCACUGUAGUUGAUCCCCUUCUACUAUGAAUAUUUUUGCUAUGAGACGAGCCUUAGAUUUUCCCCCUUCUUUUUAUGAUAUUGUUGGCUUCCUCUUGUACACCCACUUGCCCCUAACUGCACACUUGCUAGGGAGCAAUGGGACAAGCUCCCAAGUUUGGUUCUUGUGUAGAGACUUCAUCUCCUCCAUCAUGACACCCAUCAAUUGUUCUUUCUCUUGGCUAUUUAUAGCCUAUCAAAAGCUGCAUGGAUCUCCUGAACUGAUAUAGAGAGAAACUGGAGUCAUAUCCUCAAAAAAAAGCUAUAUGGACGUUUGAUAGGACGUCUAUCCCUGCCUCUAUCAAGUAGAUACUCCUACACACCUGAACUCUCCGCCUGAUCAUCAUGUUCUUGACUUGAACUAGUGCAUGAUUCCUUCCCUUUAUUCACAUGAACCAUUUCAUUGCUAACUGGAGUCAUAUUUGAUCUUAAAGUCUCUCCAUUUGGCCUAGACACCUCUGUUAAAACUAACUGUUUCAGCAUGAAAUCUUCAUCAAACACUACAUUUCUACUCAACACCACUUUUCUGGAAAUUGGAUCCCAGAACUUAAACCCCUUCACACAUUUGGUAUAUCCAAUGAAAAUACACCUCUUUGAUUUGGGGUCAAGAUUAGAUCGUUCAUCACUAGGUACAUGUACAUAAGCAGGACAACCAAAUAUGCAUAACAUAUUAUAAUUGACUGGAUUACCUAUUCAUACUUUUUCUAAAACUUUACCACGCAAUGAAGUUUGUGGUGUCUAUUGAUAACAUAACAUGUCAUACUAAGUGCCUCUUCCUAAAAUCCUUUGGAAAUUCCAACAUUCAGUCUCAUACAUUUGGCCCUCUCUAUAAGAGUUUUAGUCAUCAUCUUUGCAACACCAUUCUGUUGAUGAGUCUUCUUCGCUGAAAAGUGGCUCUAAAUGCCAUGUUCCUCAGAGAAUUUCUGAAAUUGUGAGUCUUUGUACUUCAUACCAUUGUCUAACCUCAGAUAUUUAAUUUUUCUAUCAGUCUAGUUCUCUACCUCUGCCUUCCAAACCUUCAACAUGACAAAGACUUUUGACUUAUGCUUCAGAAAAUAUACUCAAACCUUAUGAGAAAAGUCAUCAACGAAGGUAGAAAAGUACCUGGAACCUCCUAGGGAUGGUUCUUGAGUGAGUCUCCAUACAUCAAUGUGGACAUAGUCUAGAAUGCCCCAAGUCCUGUGUUGGUCAGCCUUGAAACAAGGGGUGACAAUUGAAUGAAUUUGGGUGGAUAUGGAUCAUAAUGGAUGGAUAUGGAUUUGGAUCAUAAUUGAUGGAUGGAAAGUCAUCCACCAAUCCAUAUAAAUCCAUAAAAUCACAUUUCUAAGUUAUCCAAUCCAUCCAUAUCCAAUGGAUUCCAAUUCAUCCAUAUAUCCAUUUUAAUGGAUUGGAUGGAUGGAUAUCCAAUCCAGUUUUGUUAAUAUGAACUAAAGCAUUUUUUGAAGGAUAAAAGUCAUUUUAAUAUUAUUAUUUAAUAGUAUUUUUAAAAUCAAUUUACAAACAUUUUUAAAAUAUGUUUUUUUAAAUGUGUUUGUUUAAAUGUAUUCUUUUUAAAACACUUUUUAAAAAAUCUCAAUAUUUAAAUUUACAUGUGAAAGCUCUGAAAGACAACAGUCUAGGUGAGGUUAGAGACACUAUAUUAUGUAAUCAUGCAUUUUUUUCUUGUGCUCGAUAAUGACACAAAAUGUUAUAUAUAUCCUUAUUGAAACUUUUUGAUAGAAUGAUUUGAAUCGAUCUCAAUAUCGCUACGAUACAUCAUUUAUAACGGCCAUAAAAUUAUAUUGAUAAAAAUCGGUCAUACUGACCGAUUUUCAAUUGAACAGUACCAGUCAUAUCGACCGAUUUUCAAUUAAAUCGUACUGAAAAAAAAUCCAGCAAACAACAAAGAAAUCCACGUGGCAGGGAGAGAUUGGGGGAAUUCCUUUACUUCCCAGCGCUUGGACACGUGUCAGCGCCUGGUUGGGGGAGAAAGAGGGUGCACUGGUUGCACCGUGCACACGCCCGUGCUGGAUCUAGAUGCCUGGAUGCGUCCAGCCACGUGGGGUGAUAAGAUUGGAUGGGAGGGGGCUCACGGCUUGAGCAAUGAACCCGCGCGCAUGGAAUCCGCGCUUUCCUAGGAGGGAUCCAGUGUGGCGUGGUGUAGUGGAUCCGGGACGCGUUUCGUCCUGUGAGUGGUGGAUCUGGACGUGAAGGUGGUAGUGCCACGCGGCGCACUGUGAAGCGUGGAUGGGCGAGGGUGCAGGGUGGCGUGAUGAGCGCGCCUACACAGGAUUCUGUCCUCUUCUGGGGCAGUGAUUCGGUGUGGCGAGGUGCACCAGGGGCGUGCCACGUUUCGCACACGGAUUGGUUGGCCUCCCUGGUCAACCCAGAUGCAAAAAAAGUCUGCAGAUCAAACGGCCGUGGAUCAAGGGCGCAAGGAUGCACAAUGAACCCACCCACACGGGAUUGGUUCUCGCAGAAAUUAAUUUUUUCUCUCACAGAACGCGUUGGGCAGUGUUUUGGCAAUGUUUCCAGUGUGUUUUGUGUUCUUCACAAGCGUUUAUUUAUAGGAAAAACAAACCAACCUAAAAAUGCCCAGAAUCUAACUAAUUAAUAUUUUUGCAAAUCAAAUAUUUUUAUUAAUAAGCCUGAUCUGAUUCCUUUAAAACUGAUUUGAAAUUUGAAUUUCAAAUCUGAAAUUUGAAUUUCAAUUCCGAAUUUUAAAUUUUGAAUUUCAAAUUUUGAAUUUCGAAUUUUAAAUUUCAAACCUUAAAUUUUAAAUUUCGAAUUAAAAUUUUAAAUUUAAAAAAAUUAUUCUUUACUAAUUUCGAAUUUAAACUCUUUUUGUGAAAAUCUUUUAUUUAUNGAAUUUCAAAUCUGAAAUUUGAAUUUCAAAUCCGAAUUUUAAAUUUUGAAUUUCAAAUUUUGAAUUUCGAAUUUUAAAUUUCAAACCAUAAAUUUUAAAUUUCGAAUUAAAAUUUUAAAUUUAAAAAAAUUAUUCUUUACUAUUUCGAAUUUAAACUCUUUUUGUGAAAAUCUUUUAUUUAUUUAUUUUUCUAUUUAUUAUAUUUUUUUGUUUUAUCCGAAAAUAAAUAUUUAGGAGAAAGAUAAUUAUUAUUAUAUAGGUAUUUUUUUGAAAUUCGAAAAAUAGUAAUAAUAAUUUUUUAUGAUUUUAAGUAUGACAUUUUACUUAAUUACUAAAAAAUUCUAAAAAUAUUUUAAAAAUAUAUUUCACCAUUUAAACAUUUAUUAUUAUUUUUAUUUUUAUUAUUAUUAUAUUUUUUGUUUGUUUUGGAAGAUGACAUGUGGACCUUCCAUGGCCCAAACAACAUUUUUUUUGAAAAAUUUAUUUUGGAAAUGAAUUGGGCUUUUUCUGGGCCGGACAAAAAUGAGUGUUCACACAUAUUAUAAUUGACAGGAUUACCUAUUCAUACUUUUUCUAAAACUUUACCAUCCAAUGAAGUUUGUGGUGGUCUAUUGAUGACAUAACAUGUCAUACUAAGUGCCUCUUCCCAAAAUCCUUUGGAAAUUUCAACAUUCAGUCUCAUACAUUUGGCCCUCUCUAUAAGAGUUUUAGUCAUCAUCUUUGCAACACCAUUCUGUUGAUGAGUCUUCUUCACUGAAAAGUGCCUCUAAAUGCCAUGUUCCUCAGAGAAUUUCUGAAAUUGUGAGUCUUUGUACUUCAUACCAUUGUCUAACCUCAGAUAUUUAAUUUUUCUAUCAGUCUAGUUCUCUACCUCUGCCUUCCAAACCUUGAACAUGACAAAGACUUUUGACUUAUGCUUCAGAAAAUAUACUCAAACCUUAUGAGAAAAGUCAUCAACGAAGGUAGAAAAGUACCUGGAACCUCCUAGGGAUGGUUCUUGAGUGAGUCUCCAUACAUCAAUGUGGACAUAGUCUAGAAUGCCCCAAGUCCUGUGUUGGUCAGCCUUGAAACAAGGGGUGACAAUUGAAUGAAUUUGGGUGGAUAUGGAUCAUAAUGGAUGGAUAUGGAUUUGGAUCAUAAUUGAUGGAUGGAAAGUCAUCCACCAAUCCAUAUAAAUCCAUAAAAUCACAUUUCUAAGUUAUCCAAUCCAUCCAUAUCCAAUGGAUUCCAAUUCAUCCAUAUAUCCAUUUUAAUGGAUUGGAUGGAUGUGUAUCCAAUCCAGUUUUGUUAAUAUGAACUAAAGCAUUUUUUGAAGGAUAAAAGUCAUUUUAAUAUUAUUAUUUAAUUGUAUUUUUAAAAUCAAUUUACAAAUAUUUUUAAAAUAUGUUUUUUUUAAAUGUGUUUGUUUAAAUGUAUUUUUUUAAAAAACACUUUUGAAAAAAUCUCAAUAUUUAAAUUUACAUGUGAAAGCUCUGAAAGACAACAAUCUAUGUGAGGUUAGAGACAAUAUAUUAUGUAAUCGUGCAUUUUUUUUCUUGUGCUCGAUAAUGACACAAAAUGUUAUAUAUAUCCUUAUUGAAACUUUUUGAAAGAAUGAUUUGAAUCGAUCUCAAUACCGCUAUGAUACAUCAUUUAUAACGGCCAUGAAAUUAUAUUGAUAAAAAUCGGUCAUACAGACCGAUUUUCAAUUGAACCGUACCAGUCAUAUCGACCAAUUUUCAAUUAAAUCGUACUGAUCAUAUCGGCUGUUUCAUUUAAACUUAUUAUUUUUAAUGAAAAUGAUUUAUUUUUACCAAAAUAUUUGUAUAGAUAAUCAAACACACAACAACUAUAUUUUUUAUACAUUAAAACAUGGUCUAGAGUAUAGAUUUUUUAACAAGUAGUAUAAAUUAAAAUAGUUAUUGUCUUCUUUAUUGAUUUUUCAACAUUAAUAUUAGUCUAAAAUAUAUGAAUAUCUAUCUGGUUUAAUAGUGAACGACUAGUUGAACCAUCAUACAAUAUACCACUACUCUGACCGGAUUGAUGACCGGUAUGGUAUUAAUAAUAUUGGUUUAUAUUUUGCACAUUGGGAUUGCAUAGCAAUGUUGGGUCUGCAUGUUGCUUUACGGGAAAAAAAUUAUUUUUAUGUUUUGGAUGGAUAUACAUGUGGAUAUUCAUUGGAUAUAAUGCAUGAAUUUGAAUCCAUCCAUUAUCAAAUUAUCCAAUAGAUUAUAUCCAUUUAAAUCUAUUGGCUCCAACGGAUGAAUUUGGAUAGAUUGUGGAUAGUAGAUAAUUUUACCACCUCUACUUGAAACUAACUUGUAUAUGUUUCUCAAACACACAAUACUUGCACAAACCAAGCUUGUAUUCGCUGACUGUCCUAAACAGUCCAUUUUUGCAUAUUCUAUCAUAUCACACACACUAAUAUGACCUAAACGCAUAUGCCAUAAUUUUGUAGUAUGAUGUAAAUUUACUAAAAUCUCUUCGGCCACUUCAGCAACUCAACCUACAAUUGUUCUCCCUAACAUCUUGUAGGUUUUCCCAGCAUUCCUCUUAUCCUUCAUCACAGUUAGAACACCUUUGCAUACUCGAAGAAUAUCAUUGUCCACAUAUGCCCUAUAGCUAAAUCCUUUGACAUGCAAUGUCCCAAAGAAAUCAAAUUCUUUUUCAAAUCUGGUAUGUCCCUAACCUCACAUAACGUCUUUACUACACCAUCAUCCAUCACAAUUCUAAUUUCUCCCAUAUCAAUAAUUACAUAUGCUUUAGUAUUUAUGAGAUAGACAAAACCAAAAUUGUAUACCUUGUAUAUGGUGAACCAGUCUCUGUUUGGCGUCAUAUGGUGGGAACAACCAGUGUCAAGUAUCUAUUCAUUUGCACUAUGAUUUGAUGAUACAGAUAGUUGAUCAACUUCACUAUUGUAAUCAGAGUCAUCUUUCAGUGCAACAUUUGCAAAUGUAGAUACUUCAUCUUUCCCCACUAGCUUGUUAGGACUCCAUUCAUUGGGACAAUCCUUUUUUAAUGUCCAAUUUUUUGGCACUUAUAGCACUUUACUAGUGUUCUGUUCCUAGAAUUUGGUCUUUUCGAUUUGGUAGGACCUCAUCUUCCUUGUCUCCUCCCACGUGCAGGGCUCCUUUUUACAUACAGACCAUCACCUUGAGACCCUUGUCCUACAUUUUGUUUUCUUUGAGUGUGAGACAGAAGUAUAGAUGUGAUCUCAUCUAGUUUGAUUGAGUAUUUCCCGUAUGUCAAUGUUGUCAGCAAUUGUUCAUAGGAAUUUGGCAAAGAACACAGUAAUAUUAUUGCUUUGUCCUUAUCAUCAACUUUCAUAUCAAGUUUCAACAAGUCAUUGAUCAAUUGAUUAAAAGUGUUGAAAUGUUGUUUCAAAUAAGCACACUCCUGCAUCAUUAACCCAUAAAGUCUCUGUUUCAAAUACACCUUAUUUGUUAGAUACUUGGACAUGAACCGCUUCUCUAAUGUCUCACAUACCUCUAUUGGUGACGUCAAAUCCAUAACAUGAUACACCACCUCAUCUGGUAGACAAAGCCAUAUGGUUCCCACAUCGUUCUCCUUAAACUCUUCCAAAUCCAGUUGAUCCAUACCAUCUGGUUUAUUCCCACGCAACGCCUUUGAUAGAUAUUGUUGAGCGAACACAUCUUUAACCCUCCUUUGCCACAAUCAGAAAUUACCAGUUCAAUCAAAGUUCCUCACCUCGAAUUUGGCACCUGAGUUAAGGGUCAUAUGACACCAAUUAUUGGAAACAAGCGAGUAAUCAAAUAGUAAAAUAGUAUAGAGAAAAGAGAAUAAUACAAGAGAUUUAGUAACGAGGUUCGGCUAGUUGUGCCUACGUCUUCGGGAGUGUUGAGAGACUACCACAUUGUAUUAUUAGAGAAUAAAUAUUUGUGUUUGACAAUUCUUCUCUUUGUUACAUAAGGUUUACAUAACAUAAAUAUAUAGUCAUCUACCCUAACCCUUUAUAUCAGCCCAAACCCAUAACUUGUAUUGUUGUUAUCUAGAGAAUAUGAGUCAUUGCAAAACAUUUUGAUAUAAGUUUUUUUAAUAAAAUGGACAAUCAGAUAAGUAGAAUUGCUUAAAUUCAAUGUUUAUAACUUCUCUUCCUGUGAUGAUAGAUAAUUAGAAUAAGUUUAAUUUGUCAAAGAAUUGUGUAUUUUAAGUAGUUUAAUACUCACUACUUUGACUUUUAGGUUUGAGAAAUCUGUGAUUUUUACUGCAAUGAUGUAUAUAUAUUGCCUGCUAUUAGUUAUAUCAUAAAAGUAAAUUACACUGACAUCUCAUGAGUUUUACUGAAAUUAUAUAAAACACUAAUCCAUUUUUUAAACAUACACAAACUAUCCAUAAUUAUAUAUAUACAUUACAUUGAUUACCUCUGUAUGAGAUAUAAGUAUAAUUUCUAAAACAAAAAAUGGUAAUGAUUGUAAUUAAGUUAAACAAAAUAUGAUAUAUUGUGAAGACAAGUCCAAAUAGUAUAAGAGUCAAUGUCUAUUCAUUAUUUUGGUUAGUUACAUAUAGUAUAAGAGAUUUAAACCUUUCAUUAAAAUUAUUGAUGCAAUUUAUAAUUAACCAAAAAUAAUGAAUAUAUAUUGACUCUUAUACUAUUUGGAUUUGUCGUCAUGAUAUACCAUAUUUUGUUUGAUUUAAUUAAUGAAUAAUGAAUAUAUAUUGACUCUUAUACUAUUUGGUUUUGUCUUCAUGAUAUACCAUAUUUUGUUUGACUUAAUUAAUGAAUAUAUAUUGACUCUUAUACUAUUUGGUUUUGUCUUCAUGAUAUACCAUAUUUUGUUUGACUUAAUUAAUGAAUAUAUAUUGACUCUUAUACUACCGGAAUAAACAAUGCAAUGUACAUAUAUAAUUAGGGGUGGUUUGUGUAGGUUUAAAAAAUGAUUGAUGAUUUAUGUAAUUUCACUAAAACUCGUGGGAUACUAGUGUGAUUUACUCUAAAUUAAUCUUGUACCAAAAAAGCCUAUAGAGUAAACUGUAAAGUAAUUUAUAAGAGAUCUUAGUGCCUUUCGCUACAGUUUUUGUUCAUAGGUUAAGGUUAGAAAUUCAUAAUUUCUAAUUAAGUUGAUCAUCAUAUAUUUAAUACACUUAUAUCGACUAUUUAUUUUGGGUACAAAACAUGUUAUCUAAUUGUGACAACCCAUUGGAAUUCUAAAGCUGAUAACAAUUAUAAAUUUAAUAAGUGGAUACUGAAAUGAUUGACCUAAAUGAGAUAAUGAGAAACUUAUAAUUUAAUGCAUAAGGAACAGUUAUGGUCUCCAUGAAACUAAAUCGCAAGUAGUUUUCACAUUUCCCCGUUAGAGAGAAAACAAAGGUCCCAAAAAGAAUUCAGGAUUUGGUUGAGGAAGAUCAUCAUACCAAAACUCUCUCCAAAGGCAUACAAAAUGAAUAGAUGUGAGAAACAUGGAUUGAUGUAUGAUUUUGUACCCUUAUUUUAUAUUAUGUUUGAGAAUCAUGAUAAUUAAAAUCCUAGUAUAGGUAUUUCGCCAAAGAAAAAUGUGACAAGUGGUAUCAGAGCGUAGGUUCUAAAUUUUAUGAUUCUCUAUAAAGGGUGUCUUUCCAAAUUUUGUAUGAACCCUAAUUUUAAUUUGGAGAUUUUAUGCUUACACUAUCAUAUUAUAAAGAUUGAUAAUUUUAAAUUGAUUAUUUCCGUUAGGAAUGUUUUAUUUUGUGUGAUAAAUAUACACACAUAAUAAAAUAAUGUAAUCAUAUGAAUGAUGUUGUUAGUUUGAUUUUUGUUCAUACAUCAAAGAAAUUGUAUCAUGAAGUUAAUGUGAUGAUCAGAACUUACUCUUCCAAUUUUUUUACCUUGACAUGUAUACGAUCUACAAUAUUACAUAAUCUAUAUUCGUACAUUAUGAUGUUUUAAUUAUAUAUCUUAUCCAUCAUAUUUGUAGCUUGCCUAGUAUUGAUUUAGAAUUUCAUUGAUUCGUUAUUCAUUAAUCAAUAAUAUACCAAUAUAUAGUUGUAUUAUGCAUAUACAUAUUGCCAGAAGUGGAUCAUUGUUGAAGUAGGUGGGGGCAACUCCCCUGAAUCUUUUGUUUUUUUUGUGAGAAAACUUGUAUUCUUGGGAAGAUGCUGCAACACUUAAACAAACAAAUGAUUGAUGGAUAUGCACGUAAAAUCUCCAAAGCGUGUGUUACCACACUAACCUUUAGGUUCGAUUCGCCCCCACCAUUUUAUGUAUAUUGGAUGCAAAUGGAAUGAACAGCGAAUCCCCUUCGGGAUACUUUGAAAAACCUUGAUAUGUUUUGCACAAACACAACAAGCGUAUCUUUCAACAAUAGUUUACAAUUAUGUUUCCUACACUUCUCUCAUGCAUUAGAGAAAUGGAGGAUGAUUUCUUGGAUGAGAAAAUUCGGAUGGUGAUUAUGAUUUCAAAUGUCUCUAUUUAUAGAGAAGUUCAUAUCACUUGAGGGAAAGAAGUGCAUUUAGAGUUCUGUACGCGUAAACGAAAGGUUAUGUAGUGUAACGAUUCAAUAAAUAAUUGAAUAGGCGUGAUAGCCUAGGAGUAGCAACAAUGCUUUGUUAAGUUGUGUGUCCUUGGUUCGAAUCUCAACGGAUGCAUAUCUUCAUUUUUAUUUCUACGCAUUAAAUAACAACGUGAAAUCAAAAUCAUUCACAAUCCCCCACCAUUUUAAAGUUCAUUGCCUAAAGGUGCAACCACUAAACCAAAGGACAUCUUCAUAGAUAAAUCAUUCACAAUAUUUAUAUACUAAACCGUGAAUUCUGAUAUUUUGUAAAUAUCAUUCACAAUCCCCCACCGUUUUCAAAAUAUAAGAAAUCUCAUAAAUUUGGAAAUAUCAUGGUUUCAGAUAAUGGUAUCUUACGAUUUGAACCAUUACUUAGUAAGUUAUGGGUUCCACUUACUCCGAAUAGAAAUUGGUAGACAAGCUUUGAACCAACUAUUCAUUAGAAUAAGCGUGCACAACUCACACAUGAAAUCUCGGUAUUAUUGAAAGAAUUAUAAAUAUUACACAUUUGAUAAGGCCUUGUGUCAUGUAUCCUUUUCAUGAGAAUUUAAGAGUAAAGCCCUUUAACUCUAUGAAGCGGCCAACUUCAUUCUCAUAUAGGUAGACUAUAUCGGGAAUGCACCGAUAAUAAGCAUUCCAGCAAAUUUUUGCUAUAUGUCUAUUAAGAGUAAAACUCAACCUUCCAACUUUGUUCUUAUGGUCCAAGUACUUUUAUCACUUGGGAUGUGUCUAUAGUCAAGUACUUGCAAUCACUCUAUAGUAUUUUCCAUCAUUGAACUCAAAACUUGAUGCUACUCAAGUGUGAGUUAAGUUAACACUAUUGGUGAUCAAUUAGACAUGGGCUUGAGUCUCAUCCCCAAUGAUGUUUUCAACACCAUAUCUUUUGUCAGACCUUUCGUCAAAGGAUCUGAAUAAUUCUUUUUAGUUCUUACGAACACUAUGGAGAUUACUCCAUUUGCAAUUAAUUCCUUUACAUAGCUAUGUCUUAAACCAAUAUGUCUGGAUUUUCCAUUAUACACUUGGCUGUAUGCUUUUGAUAGCGUAGACUGACUAUCACAAUGUAUAGAUACUGGUGCCAUUGGCUUUGGCCAAAUAGGUAUCUCAUACAAUAAGUUUCUUAGCCAUUCAGCCUCUUUACUACCUGCAGCCAGAGCAAUAAAUUAUGCAGCCAUGGUGGAGUCGUCUAUGCAAGUUUGUUUCUUUGAACUCCAAGAAACCGCACCUCCACCAAGGUUGAAGAUCCAUCCACUUGUAGAAGCGUGAUCUUCAACAUAAGUUACCCAACUAGCAUCUGUAUAUCCUUCCAAAACUGAAGGAUAUCCAUUAUAGGUUAAAUUAUAGUUAAUUGUUCCUUUUUAAGCUGUGUGUCCUUGGUUCGAAUCUCAACGGAUGCAUCUCUUCAUUUUUAUUUCUAUGCAUUAAAUAAAAACGUGAACUCAAAAUGAUGAAGCAAAGGAUGGAACUCACAACUGUAAGUUCAUUGCCUGUGCAAUCACUAAACCAAAGGAAAUCUUCAUAGAUAAAUCAUUCACAAUAUUUAUAUACUAAACCGUGAAUUCUGAUAUUUUGUAAAUAUCAUUCACAUUUUUUUCUUCCAAUUUUUUAAAUAUAUAUUUUUUUACAUUUUUCAAAUUUUUUUUUACUAAGUGUCUCCAACAUUUAGUCUCAAACAUCUAGCCCUCUCUAUAAGAGUUCUAUUCAUCAUCUUUGUAACAACAUUCUGAUGAGGAGUCUUCUUCACUGAAAAGUGCCUCUAAAUGCCAUGUUCCUCACAUAACUUCUAAAAUUAUGAGUCUUUGUACUUCAUACCAUUGUCUGACCUUGGGUUUAUGAUUUUUCUAGCAGUCUAGUUCUCUACCUCUGCCUUCCAAACCUCGAACUUGACAAAGACUUUUGACUUAUGCUUUAGAAAAUAUACCCAAAUCUUAUGAGAAAAGUCAUCAACGAAACUAACAAAGUACCUAGAACCUCCUAGGGAUGGUUCUUGAGUGGUCUCCAUACAUCAGUGUGGACAUAGUGUAGAAUGCCAUGAGUCCUAUGUUGGUCAGCCUUGAAAUUAGGGGUGGCAAUUGAAUGGAUUUGGAUGAAUAUGGAUUUGGAUCAUAAUGGAUGGAUGAGAUGUCAUCCACCAAUCCAUAUAAAUCCAUAAAAUAACAUUUCUAAAUUAUCCAAUCCCUAAUGGAGGGAUGAAUUUCAUUAUUGCAUGUUGCUUUACGGGAAAAAUUAUUUUUGUUUUUAUUUUUUGUGUGGGUGGAUUGGAUAUCCAUUCAAAUGGAUAUAUCUGUGGAUAAUCAUUGGAUAUAAUGCAUGUAUUUGAAUACAUUCAUUAUCAACAAUAUCUAUUGGAUUAUAUCCAUUUAAAUGUAUUUGCUCUAACGGAUGAAUUUGGAUAGAUUUAAUUUGGAUGGAUUGUGGAUAAUAUUGCCACCUCUACAUGAAACUAACUUGCAUUUAUUUCCCAAGCAUACAAUACUUGCACAAAACAAUAUUGUAUUUUGUGACUCUCCUAAACAGUCUUUUUUUUGUGUGCAUAGUUCUAUCAUGCCACGCACACUAAUAUGACCCAAACGCAUGUGCCAUAAUUUUGUAGUAUCAUGGCCUAAAUAUAUUGAAAUCUCUUCGGCCACUCCAGCAACUCAACCUACAAUUUUUCUCCCUGACAUCUUAUAAGUGUUCCCAACAUUUCUAUUACCCUUCAUCACAGUUAGAGCACAUUUGCAUACUCGAAGAAUAUCAUUGUCCACAUAUGCUCUAUAGCUAAAUCCAUUGGCCUGCAAUGUCCCCGAAGAAAUCAAAUUCGUUUUCAAAUCAGGUAUUUGUCUACCCACACAUAACGUCUUCACUACACCAUCAUUCAUCAAAAUUCUGAUUUCUCCCAUGCCAAUAAUUCCAUAUGCUAUACUAUUUAUGAGGUACACAAAACCAAAAUUGUAUACAUUGUAUAUGGUGAACCAUUCUCAGCUUGACGUCAUGUGGUGGGAAUAAACAAUGUCAAGUAUCUACUCAUUUGUACUUUGAUUUGAUGAUACAGAUAGUAGAUCAACUUCACUGUUGUAACCAGAGUCAUUUUUCAGUGCAACAUUUGCAAAUGUAGAUACUUCAUCUGUCCCCACUAGCUUGUUAGGACUCCAUUCAUUGGGACAAUCCUUUUUUUAAUGUCCAGUUUGUUUGCACUUAUAGCACUAUACUAGUGUUCUGUCCCUAGAAUUUGCUUUGGCAGGACCUCCUCUUCCUUGUCUCCUCCCACGCGCAUGACUCCUUUUCACAUACAAACAUCACCUAGAGACCCUUCUCCUCCAUUCUGUUUUCUUUGAGAGUGAGACAAAAGUAUAGAUGUGAUCUCAUCUAUUUUGAUUGAGUCUUUCUCGUAUGUGAAUGUUGCCACCAAGUACUCAUAGGAAUUUGGCAAAGAACAUAGUAAUAUUAUUGCUUUGUCUUCGUCAUCAACCUUCUUAUCAAGUUUCAGCAAGUCAUUAAUCACUUGAUUAAAAGUGCUGAAAUGUUGUUGAAAAUCAGCACCCUCGUGCAUUAUCAAGCCAUAAAGUAUGUGCUUCAAAUACAACUUAUUUGUUAGAGACUUGGACAUGAACCGCUUCUCUAAUGUCUCUUAUACCUCUAUUGGUGAUGUCAAAUCCGUAACAUGAGACAUCACUGCAUCUGAUAGACAAAGUCAUAUGGUUCCCACAGCCUUCUCCUUAAACUCUUCCAAAUUCAGUUGAUCCAUACCAUAUGGUUUAUUCCCACGCAACACAUUUGAUAGACCUUGUUGAGCGAACACAUCUUUAAUCUUUCUUUGCCACAAUCAGUAAUUACUAGUUCCAUCAAACUUCCCCACCUCGAAUUUGGCACCUGAGUUAAGGGAUAUUAGUUAUAUCAUACAAAAAUAUAAAUUUAAAAUCAUAAUAUAUUUUGUCUUAGUGUUUAAUAUGUUGAUAUAGUCUAUAUACUAAAAAGUAGAUUACACUGAUAUAUCAUGAGUUUCAGUGAAAUUAUACAAAACACUAAUCCAUUUUUUAAACAUACACAAAUUAUCCCUAAUUAUAUAUAAAUAAAUUAUAUUAACUAUCUUUGUAUGGGAAAUAAGUAUAAUUUCUUAAAUAAAAAAUUAUGAUGAUUGUAAUUAAGUUAAACAAAAUAUGGUAUAUUGUGAAAACCAGUCCAAAUAGUAUAAGAGUCAAUGUCUUUUCAUUAUUUUGGUUAGUUACAUAUACUAUAAGAGAUUUAAACAUUUUGUUCAAAUUAUUGAUGCAGUUUGUAAUUAACCGAAAAUAAUGAAUAUAUAUUGACUCUUAUACUAUUUUGUUUUGUCUUCAUAAUAUAUCAUAUUUUGUUUGACUUAAUGAAUGAAUAAUGAAUAUAUAUUGAUUCUUAUACUACUCGAUUAAACAGUGCAAUGUAUAUAUAUAAUUAGGGGUGGUUUGUGUAGGUUUAAAAAAGGAUUGAUGAUUUAUGUAAUUUCACUAAAUACUCAUAGGAUGCUAGUGUGAUUUACUCUAAAUUGAACUUGUACCAAAAAAAGCCUAUAGAUUAAACUGUAAAGUAAUUUAUGAGAAAUUCAUAGGUUAAUGUUAGAAAUUCAUAAUUUCUAAUUAAGUUGAUCAUCAUAUAUUUAAUAUAAUUAUAUCGACUAUUUAUUUUGGGUUACAAAACAUGUUAUCUAAUUGUGACAACCCAUUGGACUUCUAAAGCUGAUAACAGUUAUGAAUUUAAUAAGUGGAUACUGAAAUGAUUGGCCUAAAUGAGAUAAUGUGAACCCUAUAAGUUGUUAAUACAUAAGGAACAAUUAUGGUCUCCAAGAAACCAAAUCACAAGUAGUUUUCACCUUUCUCCGUUAGAGAGAAAACAAAGGUCCCAAAAGUAAUUCAGGAUUUGGUUGAGGAAGAUCAUCAUAUCAAAACUCUCUCCAAAGGCAUACAAAAUGAAUAGAUGUGAGAAUCAUGGAUUGAUGUAUAGUUUUGUAUCCUUAUUUUAUAUUAUGUUUGAGAAUCAUGAUAAUUAAGAUCUUAGGGUAGGUAUUCCACCAAAGGAAAAUGUGACAAGUGGUUUCAGAGCGUAGAUCCUAAAUUUUAUGAUUCUCCAUUAAAAGUGUUUUUCCAAAUUUUGUAUGAACCCUAACUUUAAUUUGGAGAUUUUAUGCUUAUGCUAUCAUGUUAUAAAAAUUGAGAAUUUUAUUUUGUGUGAUAAAUGUACACACAUAAUAACAUAAAGUAAUCAUAUGAAUGAUGUUGUUGGUUUGAUUUUUGUUCAUACCUCAAAGAAAUUGUAUCAUGAAGUUAAUGUGAUGAUGAGAACUUAGUCUUCCAAUUUUUUUACCUUGACAUUUAUACGAUUUACAAUAUUACAAAAUGUAUUUUCGUACAUUAUGAUGUUUUAACUAUGUAUCUCAUCCAUCAUAUUUGUGGCUUGCUUAGUGAUUGAUUUAGAAUUUCAUUGAUGCGUUAUUCAUUAAUCAAUAAUAUAUCCAUAUAUAGUUGUAUUAUGCAUAUACGUAUUGCCAAAGGUGGAUCUUAGUUGAAGCAGGUGGGGGCAACUGCCCCCUGGAUAAUUUUUUUUCCAAUUUCUUUAAAUAUUUUAUUUUUUAUUUUUCAAAUAUUUUUUUUUACAUUCUGCAAAGUGUGUAAUCAUUUUAAAAAUUAUAGAUAAAGUUUUUUAUAUGUGUAGAUCUUAAUAAUGCUUAUAAUAUUUUACUCAAUUUGAGUUCAUAAUUAUUUUACCCUUAUGAAAUAUAUUAUAGGAUUAGAGGUUGUCUUUGUCAAACUUUGCAGCAAAAGUUCUAAGAUUCUAUGGAUUUUAUAUAUCACUUAAUAUUGAUAACAUGUGUAUUUUUGUGCUAAAAUUGUACUUGUGGAUUUCAAUGCGAGUUUAAUAGCAUAUUUACUUGAGAUGUUAAUAAUUUGAAAGUUUUGUUGGUGAUGUCGUUAGCUAUUUAUGCUUGAAAAACUCUCAACCAUAUCUGAAUUAAGUGUAACUUUGAUGAUACAAGAAAAGUGAGUGCAUAUUAUUUGUUUGGUCGAGUUAUUCGUCUUAUUUUAACUAUUCUAGGUUUUUAGUUACUAGAGGAAGAUCAUUUUCAGCAACAAAGACAAUCAAACAAAACUAUGUAGCAAAAUAGAAGGUGAAUUUCUUGUAGACAACAUGAUGUAUUUUAUUGAAAAAUAAAUAGUUUAAAAUUGUACUUUUAAUUCAAUCAUCAUUGAAUUGAAGCAAUUUAACAAUGAGUGACAAUUUAAACGAAUGUACAUUAUUUAACGUCUUUAGUUGUUAAUUAUAGUUAUUUAGAAUUAAUAUGUUACUUUGAAUCUUUAUAAUAAUUAUUUAUAUUUUUAUAUGUUUUGUUCCUCAAUUAAUCAUAAUUAAAAGUUAUAAUUAAAUAUUAUUGUUGCCCCUCUUAAACUUUAGUUAACAUCCAACAUAUUGCAUUUACUAUAUUUAAAUGCCAAAAUAUUUUAUAUACUAUAUAUAUAAAUUUUGGUAUUAUAGGACACAUUUUUACCGUCUAUCUUUGUCCAUGACUCCAACCACAUAAUUUUUUUAUUAAUUUGUCAGCUUGUAUUACACACCUGUUUUUAAUUAUAUAUAUAUAUAUUUAUUUAUUUAUUUAGUUUCUAGUUUAUAUGUACUAGCAUGUUGGCAAUCACUCCGUGUCUAUCGACCUGUAUUUUUACUUUUUAAUAUUGAAUAUUUAAUUUUUAUAUAUUUCAUUUUAUAGAAUUAUAUCACUUUUCAUACAUGAUAUUAUAAUUUUUUGAUAAAAAUAUAAAAAUUAAUUGUGAUAUUAUUAGAAAAUGCAUUGAUAGUUUGAUAUAUUUAGUGAAUGUAACUUCCUCUAACCUUCAUUUAUAUUUUUUAUUGUAUGGAAAAAUAUUGUAAUAAUUAUUAAUUAUAAGGCAAAAUAGGUAAGUGAAAAUUAUACAAUGUAGGUAGUUAUUUCAUGUUUUCCCUUUAUAUAUAACUAGUGUGUACAGGCACUUGCCAGUGAAUAUUGUAUGGUACUACGUAUUCAAUUUUAUAUAUUUUAUUUUUUAUUUUUAUGAUAAUGUUCAAUUCAAGGUGAGAUAUGUGGUUAAUUAAUAUGUUGGUUGUGAUUACUUAUAUUAUAUGGUUUUUUGUAAAAAAUAAAUAAUAAUAACGGCAAAACAGGAAAAUUGCACAUGGUGAAAGUUACACCAUGUUUUCCCUUUACUGUUUAAGGUUAUUAUACAUUUAGUUAUUGUAUAUAUGAUUUGGAUUUAUAUUGUGUAUUGUUAAUCAUUAAAGUCAUCAAAACUUAUAGAUUUAAUUCUAAAUUGUAAUUCUUUUUACAAUGGACUCAUAUUAAAUUAGAUAAUGCAAUAUGUUGCUAAAAUAGUCUAUAUUGUAGAAAUUAAUUUGAUUAAAAUUAUAUAGAUGUUAGUAUGUGAUUAUUUUUGUGAAUUCUGACCAGCUUAAAGAAAGAUAUAAUUAGGCCAAAUAAUAACGUAUAUGAUGAUAAAUAUGUAACAAUUAUAAAGUUGUAUUUUUUAUUUAAAUAAUAGUCGGUCUAAAGAAAAACUGUUGUUUAUUUGUUAGUAUUUGAUCAUUAUAUUUAUAAUACAUUUUACAAAUUCAUUCCUUAAGUUCUUUUUAUCUCUCCAAAUUCUAUUUUUUUCGGUAAGGCAUAUAAGGAUCCUAUGCUGUUUUGUAAAUCAAUCUGUUAAUUGUCAGCUCCAAAGUAAAAAGUUCAUAUUCUUCAUCUUUUACCAUUUCACAAUCCAAAUAUAUAUAUAUAUAGGUUACUACUUUUGGAAACUAUGUAAAUAAACUAAGAAAGUUGUAUUAAAUUCACCAUCUCUGAAAAAUAUCUCUUCAACAAAACAAAAAAAAAACAAAAGAAAAAUGGCUCGUCUGGCAUGUUGUUUGGUCUUGAUCUCUUUGUGCUUAUGCCGUGUUCUUGAGCCUGCUUUUGCAGCCAAGAACUACAACAAAACAAAAAAGAACAAAAGAAAAAUGGCUCGUCUGGCAUGUUGUUUGGUCUUGAUCUCUUUGUGCUUAUGCCGUGUUCUUGAGCCUGCUUUUGCAGCCAAGAAAGGACACAAGACCCUUAAGGUCAAACCCACCAAGCACAUUGCCCCAGCAACUGCACAUUUUCCUUCUGCUAUUCCAACAGAACAAGCUUUGAUCCAACAACUAUGCCAUGAUACAAGGAAGUUCAAAUUGUGCCGCAAAAUUGUCCAAGGUGAUAGGGUAGCUUUAGAAUCAGUCGCUGAGGCCAAGAUUGCCAUUGAUAUUGCCACAUCCAUGGCAUCAAGGGUUGGUGCAUACGUGUCAACCCAGCUUAAAACAAACCGUGUUAAGGUUCUUUCAAGAGGGUUUGUGAAAGUUUGUAAGUUCAAUUAUGGCAAUGCAAUUGUUGACUUGAACCUUUCAUACAUUAACUUUGAAUCCAACACCAAGAAAGCCAUUGAGAGUCUCAAACAAGCUGAGAUUAAGGUUGGAUACUGUGUUAAUUCUUUGAAAUCAGGAAGUAAAAAUUCUGAAAUUCCACCAGUUCAUAAGGCUAACAAAGUGAUUCAGAGUUUGAUAAAGGCAGCAGAAUCUGUUGCUAAGAAACAAACACACUAAGCAACAUAUAGCCAGUAUGUGUGUCCAUUUUGCCUUUUGUUUUGAGAGCUGUAGAACAUGUUUGUGUUUCUCCUUUUCUGAAUUUUGGUUACAGAAACAAGUUCUGUUUUGUACUCUUAUUAAUGUAUUCUAAUCAUAAAACAAUUUUAAUGAAGAGUCACAAUUUUCAAUAAUUAGAUUUUGUCUGUGUUUACAUAGAGUAAUGAUUAUUUGCUUGGAGAUAUAUUUGGUUUUAGUUCCUUAUUUAAUGUUAUCAACAUAAUUUAAGAAAUUAAUAAAUAAUAUAAAAAUAAAAUAUAAUUUGACUAAAGUAUUGUUAAUUUUUCACAUAUUUCUACACAUAAAUUUUCAUCAUAAAGUCAACCCAAACAACAAAUAAGUGAAAAAUAUUUGGGAAUAGAGAUUAUUAAGAGAACGCUUAAGAAAGAUUAUUACAUUGCAAAGUGGAGAAAAAUAGGGAAGAUAAUGUAUCUUCUUAUACCAGGAGAGGAGAUAACUUAUCUCCUCUAGCCAGUAAAAAUGUGACAUGUGUGUUAUUUUGUUUAUUAUUAAAAAUAUUUCUAUAGAUAAUGAUGAAACAUGACACAUGUCAUGAUUUCACUGGUAGGAGGAGAUAAUUUAUCUUCUAAUACUAUGAGAUACUCCAUUCUCUUAUAUUAAAAAAUUCGAAAUUAAACUUUGAUUCUGCGCAGUUGUGAAGGCUUACUAGCGUUACUAAAAUGAUUAUCUGGUUGUGUUAAAUAAUGGGUUUAUUAAUUGUCACUGCAAUUUCCAUAACCAUGUUAUAAUGAACUAUUAGUUAUCCCAUUAAAAGCAAAACUUUGAUAUAAUUUCUUUUAACAAAAGGGACAAUCAGAUAACUGGAACUGCUUAAAUUCAAUGUUUAUAACUUCUGUCUUCCUGUGAUGAAUUGAUAAUUAGAAUAAGUUUAAUUAUAUUUGUCAAAGAAUUCUGUAUUUUAAUUUUUAAGUAGUUUGAUAGUCACUGCUUUGACUUUUAGGUUUUAGAAAUCUGUGAUUUUUAAAGAAUUGUGUACUUUAAAUAGUUUGAUACUCACUGGUUUGACUUUUAGCUUUUAGAAAUCUGUGAUUUUUACUAUAUAAUGUUGUGUAUAUACUGCCUCCUGUUAGUUAUAUCAUAAAAAUAUGUAUGCAGUUAAAAUCAUAAUAUAUUUUGUCUUGAUGGAAGAAUGUUGUCUCUGCUAGGGCAUAACCAUUUCCUUUCAACUAGGAAUCUCCAAACUUCUUGGAACUUCUAAAAUUAUUCCUCUGUUUGCUUUCUCUUCUCCAACUUUCUUGGAUACGCUCCCAUGGCCAAAAUGCACACUGCUGAACCCCUCAUUCCUUGGAACUUCUUAGGUGACUCUGCUACCUCACCGAGGAAGUCCAAUCCAGAUCCCACACUACACGUGAAGAAGUCAUUUGCACAAGCAUUAAAAAACUCAAGUGACAUUGCACUCUCACAGCUGCCUCAACCUUGCAUUAAAGGUGAAGCCAUUGCUAUAAAGAUCCUUGAAGAGGACUAUCAAGAAGGUCUUAGGCGGUGUAAAUCUCACCUACAUGGGAGAAUCAUCCUUUCUAAAGGAGACACCCCUCUCAAGUUUGAGGAAAUCAGAGCUAAGUUGGUCUCGCUAUGGAGUAACAUAGGGAAAUGGAGCAUGGUCUCCUUGGGACGGGGCUACUAUGAUUUCUCAUUCUCAUCACUGGAGGACAUGAGAAGUGUUUGUGCUGUAGGGGCUUGGAGUCUUCGCCCAGGUUUUCUUAGAUUGUAUCUAUGGUCUCCAGAUUUCAAUCCAGCUUUGCAGAAGUUCUCCCAUGUUCAAUGUUGGGUAAAAAUUGUAGGUUUACCCCAGGAAUAUUGGAGCCCAAGAAUCAUUUUCUCCAUUGCAGGGGGAAUAGGAACACCAAUCUCGCUGGAUGAGGCCACAAACAAUCGCACAUUUGGACAUUUUGCAAGGGUGUUAGUGGACAUUGAUCUGAAGACUGAUUUGCCUAACCAAAUCCUAGUGGAAAGAGAAGGUUAUGCCUUCUUUGUUGAGCUUGAGUAUGAAAAGCUUCCACAGUUCUGCAAUGGUUGUCAAACCAUAGGUCACCUGGUCACUAACUACAGGAAAAGGAUGAAGGAAAUACCUACAAAUGUCCCUCCGCAAAAGAAGAAGCAGGUGGUUGAGAAGGUUUUCAAAAAGAACACUGGAAAGGAUUUUGUAAUAAAUCUGGAAAUAGAUCACAAUGAAGAGGUUAAUCUUCAAAAUGUUACAAGAGUUUAGGAUACUCCAGUGGCAGAGCAAAGUGCAGAGGACAUGGCUCACAUUGAUGAGAAUGUGGUUGAGGACAUGGCUCACAUUGAUGACACUGUGGUUGAGGACUCUUUACCUGGUUUAGAGCAAAAUGAUAAAGACCCCUUAGUUGGUCUCGAGAUCAUUGAAGAAGUGGAAUUUCAUGUGGUUGAAGAAAUGAACAAUCCUAGAGUUGACCAUGACAUGAGAUUGCUUGGCAGGCUUUGGGAUGAUGAGGGUAUUGAUGAAGAAGUGGAUGAUGAAAGUAGAUUCACAGCUGUUAUUUCCAGGUCUCAAAAGAAAAAACAGAAGAAAAAAGACAAGCUGGAAAAGGUCCACAACAACCGAAGGGGCAGUUACCUAACCUCAAACCAAUGAUAAUGCUAUAUUGGAAUUGUAGGGGUAUAGGGAAUCAAAAAACUCAAUUGGUGUUGAAAAAUCUGUGUUUAACUCAUAAGCCAGAUUUAGUGUUCAUAUCUGAACCUAUGAUAGUUAAGGAUAGCAUUCCUCAAUGGUUUUGGGCAACUUUGAAUCUGAAGUUGUUUUUUGUGAAUGAUAGAGGGCCCCUUAUUUCAUCUAUUUGGGGGCUCUGCAAGCUCCACCUUGAUCCUUCAGUAAUUUCUAACUCCUUCCAGCAGGUUUCUAUGGCUAUUUCAGUGGAGGGGAAAGAUAUGUUCCUUGCUGCGGUUUAUGGUAGUACUAGCCAAAUGCUUAGAAGAGCACUUUGGGAGGAACUCAUGUUGUUAAUGCUUGCUAACCAGGGUCCUUGGUGCUGUCUAGGUGAUUUUAAUGUUGUCUUGGGAAAUCAUGAGUGCAGAGGAAUGAGGUUAACUCCUCCUAGUCCUUGUGUUGAAUUCAAGAAUUUCUCUGAUUCUUCUAAUCUCAUUCAUUUGCAGACCAGAGGUGCCCCUUCACUUGGUCUAACAGACGAGGAGGACAUGCUUUAACAGAAAAAAGACUUGAUAGAAGUCUGUGCAACAAUGAAUGGAUAGACUCCUGGCCUCAAGUGGUGUGUUACACUUUACCAAGAAUUUCCUCUGAUCACCAUCCUAUCUUGCUGAAAUCUGAUAGUGGUCAAUUAGGAGUUCAAGCUCAAUUCAAAUUCCAAAAAAUGUGGUUGCACCAUCCUGACUGUGCUAGAGUGGUGGAGGAAAUCUGGAAGCAGGACAUCAUUGGUUGUAAGAUGUCUAUCUUGACUCAGAAGCUAAAGCUGUUAAGGAACAAGUUCAAGGUCUGGAAUGUUGAAAUCUUUGGUAUGGUGCAACAUAAUGUCAAACUGGCCUUAGAAGCAGUGGAUUCUAUCCAGACUAAUAUAGCUUUAAAUGGUCCUAAUGAUGAUAAUUUGGAGGCUGAUAGAGCUGCUCAGCAAUCCCUUAUGCAGGCUUUAACAAUUGAGGAAGAAUUCAGGAGGCAAAAGUCAAGGAUUAAUUGGCAUAACAGUGGAGAUAGAAACACUAGUUUCUUCCAUAGAGUCACAAAGAUCAGGAACUCUACCAAAUCCUUAAAUAUGCUCAGAUCAGGGGGGUGCUUAAUUACUGAUCAAACAGAGAUUGAGAACUUGGUGUUGAAUUACUUCCAAAAUUUAUUUGCUGCUCCUAACCACAUUGUCCAUAAUGACAUGAUUAACAAUGUAGUUCCUACUAUGAUCACUGACACUGAGAACUCUAGGCUCUCAUCCAUCCCUUCUCAUGAUGAAAUCAAGUCUGCUGUUUUUGACAUGAAUGGGGAUGGAGCCCCAGGGCCUAAUGGUUUUGGUGGGAGCUUCUAUCAGGCUUUCUGGCAUAUAGUGGGGCCUGAUGUGUGUAAAGCUACUACAUAAUUCUUUACUCAAGACUACAUUCUGCCUGACAUAAACUCUAACAAUGUGUUGCUAAUCCCAAAACUCACAUGAGCAGAUAGAAUUGAAGAUUUCAGACCAAUUGCUAUGGCUAAUUUCCAAUUCAAGAUCAUUUCUAAAGUGCUUGCUGAUAGGUUGGCAACCAUUGCUCCUAGGAUUGUCUCAACUCAGCAAAGAGGCUUCAUCAAAGAUAGGCAAAUCAAUGAUUGUAUAUGUUUAGCAUCUGAGGCAAUAAACCUGCUGGAUCACAAAGUUUUUGGUGGAAACUUAGCAAUUAAAAUUGACAUCAAGAAAGCUUUUGAUACCAUUGAUUGGGAUUUCUUGCUACUUACUCUUCAAAAGCUUGGUUUUAGCCAUAAGUUCAGGAGUUGGAUUCGAAUCAUUUUACAUUCUGCCAGGUUAUCCAUUAAUGUCAAUGGCAAAAUUGUUGGUUUUUUCAAGUGCACUAGAGGUGUGAGACAAGGAGAUCCUCUUUCUCCUCUCCUUUUUUGCAUUGCUGAGGAUGUUCUUAGCAGAGGGCUAUCUAAGCUGAGGGUUGAGGGCAAAUUAGCACUAUGGAGGGCCCAAAAGGAAUUAAAACUCCUUCCCAUGUGCUUUAUGCUGAUGACAUCUUUAUAUUCUGCAAAGGAAAGAAAACUGAGCUUCGCAAAAUCAACCAAUUGCUUAUCAAUUACUCAGAAAUAUAUGGUCAAUGUGUCAAUGCCUCAAAAAUUAAGUUUUACUCUGCUUCUUCAUCUCACAGGAAAAUUGCUUCUAUGGCUCAGGUUCUUGGAUUUUCACCUGGCAGUUUGCCUCUAACUUACCUUGGAGUUCCUAUUUCUUGGGUAAACCAAGAAGGAUACAUUUACAAAAAUUGCUGAUAGGAUAAUUAGCAAGCUGGCUACUUAGAAAGGGGCUUUGCUAUCAAUCAUGGGCAGAGUUGAGCUAGCUAGAUCUGUAAUCCACAACAUGUUGCUUUAUAGUUUCAACAUUUAUGCUUGGCCUAAUUCUCUUCUUAAGCACAUUGACAAGUGCAUAAGAAACUUUGUGUGAUCUGGUAACAUUGAGGUGAGGAAGCUAGUCACUGUGGCUUGGAAAAAUGUUUGCUUGCAAUUGAAGGAAGGAGGAUUUUGUAUCAGAUCUCUAAAAAAGAUAAAUCAUGAUGCUAUGCUCAAGCUCGCCUGGGAAAUGGCCAAUUCCAAUCAUGAUUGGGCAUUGUUUUUUAGGAAUAGGUUUGGAUCUAAUCGUACUCCUUCAAGCAGAUACUUCAAUAUGGCCUGCUAUCAAAGCAAUUUGGCAUAUCUUGCACAAUAAUUCAAUCUGGAUAAUUGGUGAUGGGCACAAAACAAACUUUUGGCUAGAUAACUGGUUAGGAGAACCAUUAGUGGAAACUCUAAACAUUCCUAUUCAGUUCCACUCUGAUUUGAGGGCCUCUGUUGCUGAUUUCAUCAGAAAUGAUGCCUGAAUCAUUCCUCAAACCCUGAUAAACAAUUACCCUCAAAUCACAUCAAAGAUUGGCAGCAUAAUCAUCAACAAUGAUACAGACAAGCUAGUUUGGAAGAAUUCCCCUGAUGGGUUGCUAUCUGCCAAGGUUGCUUAUCUGCACAUGAAUCUUGGUUCAGUCCAGAACAAUUAGGGUAAAGUCAUCUGGUCUGAUGCCAUCCGUCCUUCAAAAUCCUUUACAACUUGGAGAUUGAUUAAUAACAAGAUGCCAACUGAUGAUAAUCUUCAGAGACGAGGUUGUGUCAUGGCUUCUAUCUGUAGCCUAUGCAGGAAAGAUGAGGAGUCUGCUAUGCACUUGUUUUUCCAAUGCUCUUUCUCUAUUUCUGUUUGGAAUUGGUUGAGCUACACUCUUUCUACUAAUCUUGAUACUUCUUCCAUCACAAACCUUUUGAAGCUAAGCAAAAGGAACUGGAGUGAGCAAGUCAAGCAGGUUAUCAUAGCCUCAAUAAUUCAUGCUAUCAACACAAUUUGGUUCUGCAGAAAUCAAGCUAGAUUCAACAACACUCUGAUCAGUUUCCCUAUAGCUUUGUCUAGGAUAAAGUUGGCAAUCUCUCUGUCUGGUAAAAACUCCAAAACCUGUGCAAACAACUCAAUUACUGACUUGGUUUUACUGAAACAUCUCCAAAUUCAAACUCAUUACUCCAAGGCUCCUAAAAUAAUAUAGGUAAUUUGGUUGCCCCCUGCCCAAGCAACUGUCAAAAUUAAUACGAAUGGGGCGGCUAGAGGGAGCCCUGGUCCCUCAGCUGGUGGUGGAAUUUUCAGAAACCAUGAGGGUCAUACUCUUGCUUGCUUUGCUAGCUUUAAUGGCUGCAAUGAUGCUCUAUUUGUGGAACUAUCAGCUGCUAUUCUAGCUGUAAGAUUUUCUCAUCAUAAGGGUUGGUACAAUAUUUGGUUGGAAUGUGACUCAAUGAUAGUGGUGGACAUCUUCUAUGACAAAGCAACUCCUCCAUGGAGGCUUCUAAGUAAAUGGAAUCAUUGCAAAAAGUUCCUUUCAUCCAUGAAUUGGGUAGCUACUCAUAUUUAUAGGGAGGGAAACACUUGUGCGGAUCAACUUACUAACUUUGGUCUAUCAAUCCAAAAUAUAGAAUCGUGGAAUCAUGCUCCAAGCUUUAUAUUGGAUGAAGUUAAUAGGAAUCGUUUAACUCUGCCUAACUUUAGAUUUGUCUCUUAAUUCUCCUUCCUUGUUUGUAACUCUCUUUGGUUAAUAAAUUGCUUUGGUGCCUUGGCACUGUUGUUUAAAAAAUAAUAAUAUAUUUUGUCUUAGUGUUUAAUAAGUAGGUAUAGAUUAUAAAUUUAAAGAGUAAAUUAUACUGAUAUUUCCUGAGUUUUAGUAAAAUUAUAUAAAAUACUCCUCCUUUUUUAAACAUACAUAAAUUACCCUAAUUAUAUAUAUACAUUAUGUUGAUUACCUCUGUGUGAGAUAUAAGUGAAAUUUCUUAAACAAAAAAUUGUGACUAUUCUAAUUAAGUUAAAAAAAUAUGUAAAUUAUCAAGAUAACCCCAAAUAGAAUAAGAGUCAAUGUGUAUAUAUUAUUUUGGUUAGUUAAUAUAGUAUAAGAAAUUUAAACAUUUCCUUAGAAUUAUUGAUGCAGUUUGUAACGAACUGAAAAUAAUUAAUAUAUAUUGACUCUUAUACUAUUUGGAUUUUUCUUCAAAAUAUACCAUAUUUUAUUUGACUUAAUUACAGUCGUCACUAUUUUUUCUUUAAGAAAUUACAUUUAUUUAUUUUACUGUGGUAGUCAGUGUAAUGUAUAUAACUAUAAAUAAUUUGUGUAAGUUUAAAAAUGGAAUGGAUAAUUUAUGUAAUUCCAAUAAAACUUAGGGGUGUCUAUAUUAAACUUAUACAAAAAAAAAGACUAUAGAUUAAACUGUAAAGUAAUUUAUGAGAGAUCUCUAUACCUUUUGCUACAAUUUUUGUUUAGUAGGUUGAUGUUAGAAAGUAGUAAUUUCUAAUUAAGGUAAUCAUAUAUUUAAUAUAAUUGUAUCGAUUAUUUAUUUUGGGUUAUAAAACAAAUGAUUUAAUUCUGACAACUCAUAGAACUUCUAAAAUUGAUAAUACAUAUAAGUUUAAUGAGUAGGUACCCAAAUGGUUGGCCUAUAGGGGAUAAUGAGAAUCAUAUAAGUUAAUAUAUAAGGAACGAUUAUGAUCUUAAAGACAACAAAUUACAAUCAGUUUUCACCUUUCCCUAUUAGAGAAAAAACGAAGGUACCAAAUGGAAUUCAAGAUUUGGUUGAGGAAGACCAUCAUACCAAAAAUCUCUCUAAAGACAUACAAAAUAAAUAGAUCUAAGAAACAUGGAUUCAUAUAUGAUUUUGUAUCCUUGUUUUAUAUUUUUUUUUUUACAUGGGAAAUGAAAACAAAACUAAGAAGAACUAAUAAAUCCGACGCACCAGCAGAAGAAGACAUUCAAACCUAAAGACCUAAGCCUGAAAGAGCACCGGUCUUUGCCAUAAAUCCACCACGGAGUUGGUUCCCUUUAUAUUAUGUGUAAGAAUCAUGAGAUUCAAGAUCCUAGGAAUGAUAUUACACUAAUCAUAAGGAAAAUUUAACAAUUGGUAUCAGAGCGUAGGUUAUGAAUUUUAUGAUUUCCUUAAAGAUGUCUUUCCAAUUUUUGUAUGAACCCUAAUUUUAAUUUAUGGAUUUUAUGCUUCCGCUAUUGUGAUAUAAAGAUUGAGAAUUUAAAUUGAUUAUUUCCGCUGUAAUGUUUUCUUUACCGUGUCUUAAUUGUACGCACAUAAUGAUAUAAAGUAAUCGUAUGGAUGAUGUUUUUUAUUUUAUUUUUGUUCUUAUCCCAUAAGGAAUUGUAUCAUGAAAUUAAUGUGAUGAUGAGAACUUACAAUUCAAUUUUUUUUACGCUUUCCAUGUAUACGUUUACAUGCUACAAAAUGUACAUAUAUACAUUAUGAUGUUCUAAUUAUAUAUCUCAUUCAUUAUAUAUGUUGUUUGUCCAGUGAUUGAUUUAUAAUUUUGUUGAUGCAUUAUUUAUUGAUUAGUAGUAUACUCAUAAAGUUGUAUUCAUAUAGAUAAUGCAUUUAGUUUAUUUAAAUGCUGAAAUAUAUUAUAGAGUGUACAUUUUUAGUAUAAAGAUUUAUACACAGUCAAUAAAUUAUCAAUUAUUUAUUUGUAUUAUUUUUUCUAAAAAGUCAAUAAUGAUUUAAAAUGAAUGAUAUAUGAUGAGCCAUAAUAUAUAAAACUCUUAUACUGUCAAUAUAUUUUAUCUAUUUUAUAUACUAUAUAUAUUUUGCUAUUAUAAGGCACAUAUAAUGUCUACCUUGUUAUAACUUCAAGCACAUAAAUUUUUAUUAAUUUGCCUCCUUAUCACAAGUUCAAUGUGAUUUACUCAUGUUUUUAAUGUAGCUACUUUACUGAAGUUAUAUAUAUACAUAUAGUUAUUGGUUUAAAUGUAUAUACGGUACAUUUAGUUAUGGAUUAAAGUUUCAACACCUAAAUAUGGGUCCGAGUUGGACUUUUGUCCUACUAGGACUGAUUUGUUGUGGUGGCAAAAUAUUGGUAGCUUAUCCUACUAUUAAGGAAGCAUUGGUGUGGAUUUUGAAACUAAUAUUUUCAAAAGUAUUAGUGAUGAAACUCAAACUAAAUUUUGGGCUGAUGUUUGGUGCGGUAAUCAAAAUCUAAAAAUAUCUUUCUCUAGAUUGUUUUUGUUGGCUUCUAAUAGGCAAGCGUUGGUUGCUGAUAGUGGGAAGUGAGUGGGAAAUGAUUGGCAUUAAAAGAUUGAGUGGAGAAGGGUGCUUUUUCAUAGGGAGGACAAUCUUGCAGAAAUAUUGUAUAAUUACAUUCUUCCUUUCAGUGUUUGGCAAUGGGUUUGGAUCGGUGGAGUUGGAAGUUGGAUGAUUCUGGUACUUUUGUUGUCAAGACAAAUUACCGGAGUCUUUAGCUUAUGUCCAUUCUCCCUUGCCAGCGGAUAAUUCUAUGCUUUCGGAUGGUAAUUAUCUUAUUCAGAAUUGUUGGAACUCUCUUGCUUCCUUAAAGGUUUGUUGUUUCAUUUGGAAAAUUGGUAAGUAGAGAAUAGCUACAAAAGAUGUGUUAUUUAAAUGGAAUAUUAUUCAUAGACCAAUAGAUUUGAAUUGUGUGUUGUGUCUUUAGUAUCUUGAAUCGUUAGAACAUUUGCUUAUCUCUUGUAUUAGUUUUGUAAAUAUGUGUGACUGAAGAUUCUAGUGAUUAUUCCUCAGUCAAUGCCAAAAUUUCUGAUGUUUCAUGAUUCCUAUUGACAGCCUGAGGAAAGAAAAUGUGGAGAUUAUCAUGGUUUUGUGUGGUGUGGUCUUUGUGGGGCAUGAAAAAUGAAGUUGUAUUCAAUGCCCAGAAAAUCUCUUCUUUUCAUUUACUAGAUUUAGUUCAAGUUAUAUCUUGGUCUUCGUAUUUUUCUUUUGUAGAUAAAUUGGUGUUUUAAUUCCUAGAUUGUUUAAAAAAAGUUACUUUUUAUAGUUUGGAUUUAUAUUGUGAUUAAAUCUUAAAAUUUUAAUUCUAAUUUGUAUAUUUUUAUAAUGUACUCAUAUUAUUUUUUUGUCUAGUAUGUUUUUGAUUAAAUUCAAUGAUAUGAUAUGUUGCCAAAGUAAUUUCUACUUUUAUUAAAAUUAUAUAUAUACUAGUAUGUGACUAUUUAUGAGAAUUGUGAUCAGCCUAAACGAAGAUAUAAUUUGGCCAAAUAAUAACAUUUAUAUGAUGAUAAAUAUGUAAUAAUUAUAAAGUUCUAUUUUUCAUCUAAAUAAUAUUCGGUCUAAAAAAGACUAUUGUUUGACAAAACUAAUUAUUAAUAUUUAUCAUUACAUUGAAAAUUCAUUUCUUCAAUUCUUUUUAUCAGUCCAAAUUCUAUUUUUUUACCUAAGCCAUGGAAGAUCCUAUGCCGAUUUAGUAAAUCAAUCUGUUAAUUGUGAGCUUCAAAUUAAAAAGUGCCUAUAAUUUAUCUUUGACUGUUUCACAAUCCAAAUAUGUAUCUAUUUUGAGGUUACUACUUUUGGAAACAAGCAUAUAAAUAAGCGAAGAAACUUGUGCUCAAUUCACCAUCUCUCAACAUUAUAUCUUCAACAAAAAAAAGAACAAAAGAAAAAUGGCUCGUCUGGCAUGUUGUUUGGUCUUGAUCUCUUUGUGCUUAUGCCUUGUUCUUGAGCCUGCUUUUGCAGCCAAGAAAGGACACAAGACCCUUAAGGUCAAAUCCACCAAGCACAUUGCCCCAGCAAGUGCACCUUUUCCUUCUGCUAUUCAAACAGAACAAGCUUUGAUCCAACAACUAUGCCAGGAUACAAGGAAAUCCAAAUUGUGCCGCAAAAUUGUUCAAGGUGAAAGGGUAGCUUUAGAACCAGUCGCUGAGGCCAAGAUUGCCAUUGAUAUUGCCACAUCCAUGGCAUCAAGGGUUGGUGCAUACAUGUCAACCCAACUUAAAACAAACCGUGUUAAGAUUCUUUCAAGAGGGUUUGUGAAAGUUUGCAAGUUCAAUUAUGACAAUGCAAUUGUUGACUUGAACCUUUCAUACAUUAACUUUGAAUCCAACACCAAGAAAGCCAUUGAGAGUCUCAAACAAGCUGAGAUUAAGAUUGGAUUCUGUGUUAAUUCUUUGAAAUCAGCAAGUAAAAAUGCUGAAAUUCCACCAGUUCAUGAAGCCAACAAAGUGAUUCAGAGUUUGAUAAAGGCAGCAGAAUCUGUUGCUAAGAAACAAACACACUAAGCAACAUAUAGCCAGUAUGUGUGUCCAUUUUGCCUUUUAUUUGAGAGAUGUGGAACAUGUUUUUGUUUCUCUUUUUCUGAAUUUUGGUUACAGAAACAAGUUCUUUUUUUUGUACUCUUAUUAAUGUAUUGUUAUCAUAAAACAAUUUUAAUGAAGGGACACAGUUUACAAUAAUUAGAUUAUGUCUGUGUUUACAUAGGGUAAAGAUUAUUUGCUUCGAGAUAUAUUUGAUUUUAGUUUCUUAUUUAAUUUUAUCAACAUAAUUUAAGAAAUUAAUAAAUAAUAUAAAAAUAAAAUAUAAUUUGACUAAAGUAUCUUAUUAAAUUUUCACAUAUUUCUACACAUAACUUUUCGUCAUAAAGUCAACCCAAACUACAACUAAUUGAAACAAACUUGGAAUAGAAGUUAUUAAGAGAACGCUGAAGAAAGAUUAUUACAUUGCAAAGUGGAGAAAAAUAGGGAAGAUAUAGUUGCAUCCCAAUUUCACUAUUUAUAUUAAAAAAAAUCUAAAGAGUAUUAUAUUUACAAAUGAAUAAAAAUUUGAAAUAAAAUUUAUAAAUAAUUAUUAAAUUAGGCAGGAAAAGGCAUUAAAUAAAUAAGGUUGAUUGAAAAUAUAUAUAUAAUUUAUCCCUCGUGAUUGACAUUAUAAGUGAUGCAUGUAAGCUUAGGUGUGUUGCUUUGAGUUUUUCGCUUUUAAACUUUGAUUCUGUGCAGUUGUGAAGGUUUACUAGCGUUAAUAAAAUGAUUAUCUGGUUGUGUUAAAUAAUGGGUUUAUUAAUUCUCACUGCAAUUUCCGUAAGCAUGUUAUAAUGAACUAUUAGUUUUCUCAUUAAAAGCAAAACUUUGUGGUCGGAAUGAGUGGGAAAUCAAAUAGUGAAAUAGUAUAGAGAAAAGAGAAUAACAUAGCGGAUUUGGUAACAAUGUUCAACCAAUGUGCUUACGUCUCUGGGAACAUUGAGAGACUUUCACUAUGUAUUAUUAUUAGAGAAUAAAGAUUUGUGUUUAACUAUUUUUCUGCUUGUUACAUUAGGUUUACAUAACAUAUAUAUAUAUAUAUGACACUCUACCUCAUCCCUUUUACAUCAGCCCAAUUGCAUAACUUGUAUUGCUAUUAUCUAGAGAAUAUAAGUCAUAGCACAACAAUUUCCACUUCGGCGAAUAUCAUCAAUCUCCAUCUUCCGUUGUUGGGUUGGGGGUUCUCAAUAGUCUAACAUCAAUGAAUGUUCAACAAAUUCACACAAUGCCUGAACUUGUCCACGAUAACCGACUUGGUUAAUAUAUCAGCUGAAUUUUCUCAAGUGUGAAUCUUCUACAAUAAUAUAUUUCCACAAGCUACCAACUCUCUGAUCUUGUGAAAUCUCACAUCAAUAUGUUUGGCCCUAGCAUCACAGACAUGGUUCUUCACCAAUAAGAUAACACUCAUACUGUCACAAUGCAGCAGAACUCUACCUUGCUCAAUGUUUAAUUCAUUUACUAGUUCCAUAAGCCAUAGGGCAUCAUUAGAAGCAUCACCAACUGUCAUGUACUCUACUUCAACUGCAAACAUAGCAACAACAUACUGAGUUGAUGAUCUCCACAUAAUUGGUCCACCUACAAGGGUGAAGACAAACUCUGUUGUGGACCUUCUAUCAUCCAACUCUCCUACAUAGUCUAAAUCGACAUAACCAAUAAUUGAAGGCUUACUCUAUUGACUGCCAAACAUGAUAUCUAUACAUGUAGUCCCCUUCAAAUAUCUGAAAGUCCAUUUGACUACUUCCCAAUGUUGCUUCCCUAUUUUAGACAUGUACUUACAUACUUGAUUAACUGUUUGUGCCAAGUUCGAUCUAGUACAAACUAUAGGAUACAUCAAGCAACCCACUACACUGGUAUAUGGAACCUUUGACAUCUACUUCUUCUCUUCAUUUUUCUUUGGACACUGAUCUAGGGAAAUCCUGCAGUGGUUUGCCAAUAGAGUGCUUACUACUUUAACAUUGCUCAUAUCAAAUCUUUCUAUGAUCUUUUCAACAUAGCUUUGUUGGGAGAGCCAUAGUUUUCUAGCUCCCCUAUCCCUGUGAAUCUCCAUCUCGAGAACCUUCCUACAAGCCCCUAAAUCUUUCAUGUCAAACUCCUUACCUAGUAUGAUUUUCAGCUCAUUGAUAUCACUCAAAUGAUUAGUUGCAAUCAACAUAUCAUCAAUAUAAAGUAGCAGAAAAUAAAAGAACCAUCAUCAAGGCUUCUCACAUUAACACAACAAGCAUACUCACAUUGUUUGUUACUAAACUUCAACAUAUAAGUGCCAAACCGCUUGUACCAUUAUUUGGGAGACUGCUUCAACCCAUAUAGAGACUUCUUUAACUUGCAAACCACGUGUUUCUGUCCAACUGCACUAAACCCUUCUGGUUAUGUCAUGUAAAUUUUCUCCUCUAAUUCACAAUAGAGAAAGGCAAUCUUCACAUUCAUUUGUUCUAAGUGCAUAGCCCAACUGGCUACCAUGGCAAGCAUUGUCCUGAUAGAAGUGCGCCCACCAUUGGAGAGAAAAUCACAUUGUAGUUGAUCCCCUUCUACUAUGAAUAUUUUUGCUAUGAGAUGAGCCUUGGAUUUUCCCCCUUCUUUUUAUGAUAUUGUUGGCUUCCUCUUGUACACCCACUUGCCCCUAACUGCAUACUUGCUAGGGAGCAAUGGGACAAGCUCCCAAGUUUGGUUCUUGUGUAGAGACUCCAUCAUGACACUCAUCCAUUGUUCUUUCUCUUGGCUAUUUAUAGCCUAUCAAAAGCUGCAUGGAUCUCCUGAACUGAUAUAGAGAGAAACUGGAGUCAUAUCCUCAAAACCAUAGCUAUAUGGACGUUUUAUAGGACGUCUAUCCCUGCCUCUAUCAAGUAGAUACUCCUACACACCUGAACUCUCCGCCUGAUCAUCAUGUUCUUGACUUGAACUAGUGCAUGAUUCCUUCCCUUUAUUCACAUGAACCAUUUCAUUGCUAACUGGAGUCAUAUUUGAUCUUAAAGUCUCUCCAUUUGGCCUAGACACCUCUGUUAAAACUAACUGUUUCAGCAUGAAAUCUUCAUCAAACACUACAUUUCUACUCAACACCACUUUUCUGGAAAUUGGAUCCCAGAACUUAAACCCCUUCACACAUUUGGUAUAUCCAAUGAAAAUACACCUCUUUGAUUUGGGGUCAAGAUUAGAUCGUUCAUCACUAGGUACAUGUACAUAAGCAGGACAACCAAAUAUGCAUAACAUAUUAUAAUUGACUGGAUUACCUAUUCAUACUUUUUCUAAAACUUUACCACGCAAUGAAGUUUGUGGUGUCUAUUGAUAACAUAACAUGUCAUACUAAGUGCCUCUUCCUAAAAUCCUUUGGAAAUUCCAACAUUCAGUCUCAUACAUUUGGCCCUCUCUAUAAGAGUUUUAGUCAUCAUCUUUGCAACACCAUUCUGUUGAUGAGUCUUCUUCGCUGAAAAGUGGCUCUAAAUGCCAUGUUCCUCAGAGAAUUUCUGAAAUUGUGAGUCUUUGUACUUCAUACCAUUGUCUAACCUCAGAUAUUUAAUUUUUCUAUCAGUCUAGUUCUCUACCUCUGCCUUCCAAACCUUGAACAUGACAAAGACUUUUGACUUAUGCUUCAGAAAAUAUACUCAAACCUUAUGAGAAAAGUCAUCAACGAAGGUAGCAAAGUACCUAGAACCUCCUAGGGAUGGUUCUUGAGUGAGUCUCCAUACAUCAAUGUGGACAUAGUCUAGAAUGCCCCAAGUCCUGUGUUGGUCAGCCUUGAAACAAGGGGUGACAAUUGAAUGAAUUUGGGUGGAUAUGGAUCAUAAUGGAUGGAUAUGGAUUUGGAUCAUAAUUGAUGGAUGGAAAGUCAUCCACCAAUCCAUAUGAAUCCAUAAAAUCACAUUUCUAAGUUAUCCAAUCCAUCCAUAUCCAAUGGAUUCCAAUUCAUCCAUAUAUCCAUUUUAAUGGAUUGGAUGGAUGUGUAUCCAAUCCAGUUUUGUUAAUAUGAACUAAAGCAUUUUUUGAAGGAUAAAAGUCAUUUUAAUAUUAUUAUUUAAUAGUAUUUUUAAAAUCAAUUUACAAACAUUUUUAAAAUAUGUUUUUUUAAAUGUGUUUGUUUAAAUGUAUUCUUUUUAAAACACUUUUUAAAAAAUCUCAAUAUUUAAAUUUACAUGUGAAAGCUCUGAAAGACAACAGUCUAGGUGAGGUUAGAGACACUAUAUUAUGUAAUCAUGCAUUUUUUUCUUGUGCUCGAUAAUGACACAAAAUGUUAUAUAUAUCCUUAUUGAAACUUUUUGAUAGAAUGAUUUGAAUCGAUCUCAAUAUCGCUACGAUACAUCAUUUAUAACGGCCAUAAAAUUAUAUUGAUAAAAAUCGGUCAUACUGACCGAUUUUCAAUUGAACAGUACCAGUCAUAUCGACCGAUUUUCAAUUAAAUCGUACUGAUCAUAUCGGCUGUUUCAUUUAAACUUAUUAUUUUUAAAGAAAAUGAUUUAUUUUUACCAAAAUAUUUGUAUAGAUAAUCAAACACACAACAACUAUAUUUUUUAUACAUUAAAACAUGGUCUAGAGUAUAGAUUUUUUAACAAGUAGUAUAAAUUAAAAUAGUUAUUGUCUUCUUUAUUGAUUUUUCAACAUUAAUAUUAGUCUAAAAUAUAUGAAUAUCUAUCUGGUUUAAUAGUGAACGACUAGUUGAACCAUCAUACAAUAUACCACUACUCUGACCGGAUUGAUGACCGGUAUGGUAUUAAUAAUAUUGGUUUAUAUUUUGCACAUUGGGAUUGCAUAGCAAUGUUGGGUCUGCAUGUUGCUUUACGGGAAAAAAAUUAUUUUUAUGUUUUGGAUGGAUAUACAUGUGGAUAUUCAUUGGAUAUAAUGCACGAAUUUGAAUUCAUCCAUUAUCAAAUUAUCUAUUAGAUUAUAUCCAUUUAAAUCUAUUGGCUCCAACGGAUGAAUUUGGAUAGAUUGUGGAUAGUGGAUAAUUUUACCACCUCUACUUGAAACUAACUUGUAUAUGUUUCUCAAACACACAAUACUUGCACAAACCAAGCUUGUAUUCGCUGACUGUCCUAAACAGUCCAUUUUUGCAUAUUCUAUCAUAUCACACACACUAAUAUGACCUAAACGCAUAUGCCAUAAUUUUGUAGUAUGGUGGAAAUUUACUGAAAUCUCUUCGACCACUCCAGCAACUCAACCUACAAUUGUUCUCCCUAACACCUUGUAGGUUUUCCCAGCAUUCCUCUUAUCCUUCAUCACAGUUAGAGCACCUUUGCAUACUCGAAGAAUAUCAUUGUCCACAUAUGCCCUAUAGCUAAAUCCUUUGACCUGCAAUGUCCCCAAAGAAAUCAAAUUCUUUUUCAAAUCUGGUAUGUCCCUAACCUCACAUAACGUCUUUACUACACCAUCAUCCAUCACAAUUCUAAUUUCUCCCAUAUCAAUAAUUACAUAUGCUUUAGUAUUUAUGAGAUACACAAAACCAAAAUUGUAUACCCUGUAUAUGGUGAACCAUUCUCUGUUUGGCGUCAUAUGGUGGGAAUAACCAGUGUCAAGUAUCUACUCAUUUGCACUAUUAUUUGAUGAUACAGAUAGUUGAUCAACUUCACUAAUGUAAUCAGAGUCAUCUUUCAGUGCAACAUUUGAAAAUGUAGAUACUUCAUCUUUCCCCACUAGCUUGUUAGGACUACAUUCAUUGGGACAAUCCUUUUUUAAUGUCCAAUUUGUUGGCACUUAUAGCACUUUACUAGUGUUCUGUCCCUAGAAUUUGGUCUUUUCACUUUGGUAGGACCUCCUCUUCCUUGUCUCCUCCCACGCGCAUGGCUCCUUUUCACAUACAGACCAUCACCUUGAGACCCUUCUCCUACAUUUUGUUUUCUUUGAGUGUGAGACAGAAGUAUAGAUGUGAUCUCAUCUAGUUUGAUUGAGUAUUUCCCAUAUGUCAAUGUUGUGAGCAAUUGUUCAUAGGAAUUUGGCGAAUAACACAAUAAUAUUAUUGCUUUGUCCUUAUCAUCAACUUUCAUAUCAAGUUUCAGCAAGUCAUUGAUCAAUUGAUUAAAAGUAUUGAAAUGUUGUUUCAAAUCAGCACACUCCUGCAUCAUUAACCCAUAAAGUCUCUGUUUUCAAAUACACCUUAUUUGUUAGAUACUUGAACAUGAAUCGCUUCUCUAAUGUCUCACAUACAUCUAUUGGUGACGUCAAAUCCAUAACAUGAUACACCACCUCAUCUUGUAGACAAAGCCAUAUGGUUCCCACAUCGUUCUCCUUAAACUCUUCCAAAUCCAGUUGAUCCAUACCAUCUGGUUUAUUCCCACGCAACGCCUUUGAUAGAUAUUGUUGAGCGAACACAUCUUUAACCCUCCUUUGCCACAAUCAGAAAUUACCAGUUCAAUCAAAGUUCCCCACCUCGAAUUUGGCACCUGAGUUAAGGGUCAUACGACACCAAUUAUUGGAAACCAGCGAGUAAUCAAAUAGUAAAAUAGUAUAGAGAAAAGAGAAUAACACAAGGGAUUUAGUAACGAGGUUCGGCUAGUUGCGCUACGUCCUCGGGAGUGUUGAGAGACUACCAUAUUGUGUUAUUAGAGAAUAAAGAUUUGUGUUUGACAAUUCUUCUCUUUGUUACAUAAGGUUUACAUAACAUAAAUAUAUAGUCAUCUACCCUAACCCUUUAUAUCAGCCCAAACCCAUAACUUGUAUUGUUGUUAUCUAGAGAAUAUGAGUCAUUGCAAAACAUUUUGAUAUAAGUUUUUUUAAUAAAAUGGACAAUCAGAUAAGUAGAAUUGCUUAAAUUCAAUGUUUAUAACUUCUCUUCCUGUGAUGAUAGAUAAUUAGAAUAAGUUUAAUUUGUCAAAGAAUUGUGUAUUUUAAGUAGUUUAAUACUCACUACUUUGACUUUUAGGUUUGAGAAAUCUGUGAUUUUUACUGCAAUGAUGUAUAUAUAUUGCCUGCUAUUAGUUAUAUCAUAAAAGUAAAUUACACUGACAUCUCAUGAGUUUUACUGAAAUUAUAUAAAACACUAAUCCAUUUUUUAAACAUACACAAACUAUCCAUAAUUAUAUAUAUACAUUAUAUUGAUUACCUCUGUAUGAGAUAUAAGUAUAAUUUCUUAAACAAAAAAUGGUAAUGAUUGUAAUUAAGUUAAACAAAAUAUGGUAUAUUGUGAAGACAAGUCCAAAUAGUAUAAGAGUCAAUGUCUAUUCAUUAUUUUGGUUAGUUACAUAUAGUAUAAGAGAUUUAAACCUUUCAUUAAAAUUAUUGAUGCAAUUUGUAAUUAACCGAAAAUAAUGAAUAUAUAUUGACUCUUAUACUAUUUGGAUUUUUCGUCAUGAUAUACCAUAUUUUGUUUGAUUUAAUUAAUGAAUAAUGAAUUUAUAUUGACUCUUAUACUAUUUGGUUUUGUCUUCAUGAUAUACCAUAUUUUGUUUGACUUAAUUAAUGAAUAUAUAUCGACUCUUAUACUACCGGAUAAACAAUGCAAUGUAUAUAUAUAAUUAGGGGUGGUUUGUGUAGGUUUAAAAAAUGAUUAAUGAUUUAUGUAAUUUCACUAAAACUCGUGGGAUACUAGUGUGAUUUACUCUAAAUUAAUCUUGUACCAAAAAAGCCUAUAGAGUAAACUGUAAAGUAAUUUAUAAGAGAUCUUAGUGCCUUUCGCUACAGUUUUUGUUCAUAGGUUAAGGUUAGAAAUUCAUAAUUUCUAAUUAAGUUGAUCAUCAUAUAUUUAAUACACUUAUAUCGACUAUUUAUUUUGGGUACAAAACAUGUUAUCUAAUUGUGACAACCCAUUGGAAUUCUAAAGCUGAUAACAAUUAUAAAUUUAAUAAGUGGAUACUGAAAUGAUUGACCUAAAUGAGAUAAUGAGAAACUUAUAAUUUAAUGCAUAAGGAACAGUUAUGGUCUCCAUGAAACUAAAUCGCAAGUAGUUUUCACAUUUCCCCGUUAGAGAGAAAACAAAGGUCCCAAAAAGAAUUCAGGAUUUGGUUGAGGAAGAUCAUCAUAACAAAACUCUCUCCAAAGGCAUACAAAAUGAAUAGAUGUGAGAAACAUGGAUUGAUGUAUGAUUUUGUAUCCUUAUUUUAUAUUAUGUUUGAGAAUCAUGAUAAUUAAAAUCCUAGUAUAGGUAUUUCGCCAAAGGAAAAUGUGACAAGUGGUAUCAGAGCGUAGAUUCUAAAUUUUAUGAUUCUCUAUAAAGGGUGUCUUUCCAAAUUUUGUAUGAACCCUAAUUUUAAUUUGGAGAUUUUAUGCUUACACUAUCAUAUUAUAAAGAUUGAUAAUUUUAAAUUGAUUAUUUCCGUUAGGAAUGUUUUAUUUUGUGUGAUAAAUAUACACACAUAAUAAAAUAAUGUAAUCAUAUGAAUGAUGUUGUUAGUUUGAUUUUUGUUCAUACAUCAAAGAAAUUGUAUCAUGAAGUUAAUGUGAUGAUCAGAACUUACUCUUCCAAUUUUUUUACCUUGACAUGUAUACGAUCUACAAUAUUACAUAAUCUAUAUUCGUACAUUAUGAUGUUUUAAUUAUAUAUCUUAUCCAUCAUAUUUGUAGCUUGCCUAGUGAUUGAUUUAGAAUUUCAUUGAUGCGUUAUUCAUUAAUCAAUAAUAUACCCAUAUAUAGUUGUAUUAUGCAUAUACAUAUUACCAGAGGCGGAUCUUUGUUGAAGUAGGUGGGGGCAACUCCCCUGAAUAUUUUUUUUUGUGAGAAAACUUGUAUUCUUGGGAAGAUGCUGCAACACUUGAACAAACAAAUGAUUGAUGGAUAUGCACGUAAAAUCUCCAAAGCGUGUGUUACCAUACUAACCUUUAGGUUCGAUUCGCCCCCACCAAUUUAUGUAUAUUGGAUGCAAAUGGAAUGAACAGUGAAUCCUUUUCAGGAUACUUUGGAAAACCUUGAUAUGUUUUGCACAAACACAACAAGCGUAUCUUUCAACAAUAGUUUACAAACUUACGUUUCCUACACUUCUCUCAUGCAUUAGAGAAAUGGAGGAUGAUUUCUUGGAUGAGAAAAUUCGGAUGGUGAUUAUGAUUUCAAAUGUCUCUAUUUAUAGAGAAGUUCAUAUCACUUGAGGGAAAGAAGUGCCUUUAGAGUGCUGUACGCGUAAACGAAAGGUUAUGUAGUGUAACGGUUCAAUAAAUAACUGAAUAGGCGUGAUAGCCUAGCAGUAGCAACAAUGCUUUGUUAAGUUGUGUGUCCUUGGUUCGAAUCUUAACGGAUGCAUCUCUUCAUUUUUAUUUCUACGCAUUAAAUAAAAACGUGAAAUCAAAAUCAUUCCCAAUCCCCCACCAUUUUAAGUUCAUUGCCUAAAGGUGCAACCACUAAACCAAAGGACAUCUUCAUAGAUAAAUCAUUCACAAUAUUUAUAUAUUCAACCGUGAAUUCUGAUAUUUUGUAAAUAUCAUUCACAAUCCCCCACCAUUUUCAAAAUAUAAGAAAUCUCAUAAAUUUGGAAAUAUCAUGGUUUCAGAUAAUGGUAUAUUACGAUUUGAACCAUUACUUAAUAAGUUAUGGGUUCCACUUACUCCGAAUAGAAAUUGGUAGACAAGCUUUGAACCACCUAUUCAUUAGAAUAAGCGUGCACAACUCACACAUGAAAUCUCGGUAUUAUUGAAAGAAUUAUAAAUAUUACACAUUUGAUAAGGCCUUGUGUCAUGUAUCCUUUUCAUGAGAAUUUAAGAGUAAAGCCCUUUAACUCUAUGAAGCGGCCAACUUCAUUCUCAUAUAGGUAGACUAUAUCGGGAAUGCACCGAUAAUAAGCAUUCCAGCAAAUUUUUGCUAUAUGUCUAUUAAGAGUAAAACUCAACCUUCCAACUUUGUUCUUAUGGUCCAAGUACUUUUAUCACUUAGGAUGUGUCUAUAGUCAAGUACUUGCAAUCACUCUAUAUUAUUUUCCAUCAUUGAACUCAAAACUUGGUGCUACUCAAGUGUGAGUUGAGUUAACACUAUUGGUGAUCAAUUAGACAUGGGCUUGAGUCCCAUCCCCAAUGAUGUUUUCAACACCAUAUCUUUUGUCAGACCUUUCGUCAAAGGAUCUCCAAGAUUCUUUUCAGUUCUAACGAACACUAUGGAGAUUACUCUGUUUGCAAUUUAUUCCUUUACAUAGCUAUGUCUUAAACCAAUAUGUCUGGAUUUUCCAUUAUACACUUGGUUGUAUGCUUUUGAUAGCGUAGACUGACUAUCACAAUGUAUAGAUACUGGUGUCAUUGGCUUUGGCCAAAUAGGUAUCUCAUACAAUAAGUUUCUUAGCCAUUCAGAGCAAUAAAUUCUGCAGCCAUGGUGGAUUCGUCUAUGCAAGUUUGUUUCUUUGAACUCCAAGAAACCGCACCUCCACCAAGGUUGAAGAUCCAUCCACUUGUAGAAGCGUGAUCUUCAACAUAAGUUACCCAACUAGCAUGUGUAUAUCCUUCCAAAACUGAAGGAUGUCCAUUAUAGGUUAAAUUAUAGUUAAUUGUUCCUUUUUAAGCUGUGUGUCCUUGGUUCGAAUCUCAACAGAUGCAUCUCUUCAUUUUUAUUUCUACGCAUUAAAUAAAAACUUGAACUCAAAAUGAUGAAGCAAAGGAUGGAACUCACAACUGUCAGUUCAUUGCCUAAAGGUGCAAUCACUAAACCAAAGGACAUCUUCAUAGAUAAAUCGUUCACAAUAUUUAUAUACUAAACUGUGAAUUCUGAUAUUUUGUAAAUAUCAUUCACAUUUUUUUCUUCCAAUUUUUAAAACUUUUUUUUACUAAGUGUCUCCAAUAUUUAGUCUCAAACAUCUAGCCCUCUCUAUAAGAGUUCUAUUCAUCAUCUUUAUAACAACAUUCUGAUGAGGAGUCUUCUUCACUGAAAAGUGCCUCUAAAUGCCAUGUUCGUCACAUAACUUCUAAAAUUGUGAGUCUUUGUACUUCAUACCAUUGUCUGACCUUGGGUUUAUGACUUUUCUAGCAGUCUAGUUCUCUACCUCUGUCUUCCAAACCUCGAACUUGACAAAGACUUUUGACUUAUGCUUUAGAAAAUAUACCCAAAUCUUAUGAGAAAAGUCAUCAACGAAACUAACAAAGUACCUAGAACCUCCUAGGGAUGGUUCUUGAGUGGUCUCCAUACAUCAGUGUGGACAUAGUGUAGAAUGCCAUGAGUCCUAUGUUGGUCAGCCUUGAAAUUAGGGGUGGCAAUUGAAUGGAUUUGGAUGAAUAUGGAUUUGGAUCAUAAUGGAUGGAUGAAAAGUCAUCCACCAAUCCAUAUAAAUCCAUAAAAUCACAUUUCUAAAUUAUCCAAUCCAUAAUGGAUGGAUGAAUUUCAUUAUUGCAUGUUGCUUUAUGGGAAAAAAUAUUUUUGUUUUUAUUUUUUUUGGGUGGAUUGGAUAUCCAUCCAAAUGGAUAUACCUGUGGAUAUUCAUUGAAUAUAAUGCAUGAAUUUGAAUACAUUCAUUAUCAACAGUAUCUAUUGGAUUAUAUCCAUUUAAAUCUAUUUGCUCUAACGGAUGAAUUUGGAUAGAUUUAAUUUGGAUGGAUUGUGGAUAAUAUUGCCACCUCUACUUGAAACUAACUUGUAUUUAUUUCCCAAGCAUACAAUACUUGCACAAACCUAGAUUGUAUUUUGUGACUCUCCUAAACAUUCUUUUUUUUUUUGCAUAAUUCUAUCAUGCCACGCACACUAAUAUGACCCAAACGCAUGUGCCAUAAUUUUGUAGUAUCAUGGCCUAAAUAUAUUGAAAUCUCUUCGGCCACUCCAGCAACUCAACCUACAAUUUUUCUCCCUAACAUCUUAUAAGUGUUCCCAACAUUCCUCUUACCCUUCAUCACAGUUAGAGCACCUUUGCAUACUCGAAGAAUAUCAUUGUCCACAUAUGCUCUAUAGCUAAAUCCGUUGGUCUGCAAUGUUCCCGAAGAAAUCAAAUUCGUUUUCAAAUCUGGUAUGUGUCUACCCACACAUAACGUCUUCACUACACCAUCAUUCAUCAAAAUUCUGAUUUCUCUCAUGCCAAUAAUUCCAUAUGCUUUACUAUUUAUGAGAUACACAAAACCAAAAUUGUAUACAUUGUAUAUGGUGAACCAUUCUCAGCUUGGCGUCAUGUGGUGGGAAUAAACAAUGUCAAGUAUCUACUCAUUUGCACUUUGAUUUGAUGAUACAGAUAGUAGAUCAACUUCACUGUUGUAACCACAGUCAUCUUUCAGUACAAAAUUUCCAAAUGUAGAUACUUCAUCUUUCCCCACUAGCUUGUUAGGACUCCAUUCAUUGGGACAAUCCUUUUUUUAAUGUCCAGUUUGUUUGCACUUAUAGCACUAUACUAGUGUUCUGUCCCUAGAAUUUCCUUUGGCAGGACCUCCUCUACCUUGUCUCCUCCCACGCGCAUGACUCCUUUUCACAUACAAACAUCACCUUGAGACCCUUCUCCUCCAUUCUGUUUUCUUUGAGAGUGAGACAAAAGUAUAGAUGUGAUCUCAUCUAUUUUGAUUGGGUCUUUCUCGUAUGUGAAUGUUGCCACCAAGUAUUCAUAGGAAUUUGGCAAAGAACAUAGUAAUAUUAUUGCUUUGUCCUCGUCAUCAACCUUCAUAUCAAGUUUCAACAAGUCAUUAAUCACUUGAUUAAAAGUGCUGAAAUGUUGUUGAAAAUCAGCACCCUCCUGCAUUAUCAGGUCAAAAAGUCUCUGCUUCAAAUACAACUUAUUUGUUAGAGACUUGGACAUGAACCGCUUCUCUAAUGUCUCUUAUACCUCUAUUGGUGAUGUCAAAUCCGUAACAUGAGACAUCACUGCAUCUGAUAGACAAAGUCAUAUGGUUCCCACAGCCUUCUCCUUAAACUCUUCCAAAUUCAGUUGAUCCAUACCAUAUGGUUUAUUCCCACGCAACACAUUUGAUAGACCUUGUUGAGCGAACACAUCUUUAAUCCUUCUUUGCCAUAAUCAAUAAUUACCAGUUCCAUCAAACUUGCCCACCUCGAAUUUGGCACCUGAGUUAAGGGAUAUUAGUUAUAUCAUAAAAAAAUAUAAAUUUAAAAUCAUAAUAUAUUUUGUCUUAGUGUUUAAUAUGUUGGAAUAGUCUAUAUACUAAAGAGUAGAUUACGCUGAUAUCUCAUGAGUUUCAGUGAAAUUAUACAAAACACUAAUCCAUUUUUUAAACAUACACAAAUUAUCCCUAAUUAUAUAUAAAUAAAUUAUAUUAACUAUCUUUGUAUGGGAAAUAAGUAUAAUUUCUUAAAUAAAAAAUUAUGAUGAUUGUAAUUAAGUUAAACAAAAUAUGGUAUAUUGUGAAAACCAGUCCAAAUAGUAUAAGAGUCAAUGUCUUUUCAUUAUUUUGGUUAGUUACAUAUACUAUAAGAGAUUUAAACAUUUUGUUCAAAUUAUUGAUGCUGUUUGUAAUUAACCGAAAAUAAUGAAUAUAUAUUGACUCUUAUACUAUUUUGUUUUGUCUUCAUAAUAUAUCAUAUUUUGUUUGACUUAAUUAAUGAAUAAUUAAUAUAUAUUGAUUCUUAUACUACUCGAAUAAACAGUGCAAUGUAUAUAUAUAAUUAAUGGUGGUUUGUGUAGGUUUAAAAAAGGAUUGAUGAUUUAUGUAAUUUCACUAAAUACUCAUAGGAUGCUAGUGAGAUUUACUCUAAAUUGAACUUGUACCAAAGUUUAAUUUGUCAAAAAAUUGUGUAUUUUAAGUAGUUUGAUACUCAUUGCUUUGACUUUUAGGUUUUAGAUAUCUGUGAUUUUUACUGCAAUGAUGUGUAUAUUUUGCCUGCUAUUAGUUAUAUCAUAAAAAAUUAUAAAUUUAAAAUCAAAAUAUAUUUUGUCUUAGUGUUUAAUAUGUUGGUAUAGUCUAUAUACUAAAGAGUAGAUUACACUGAUAUCUUAUGAGUUUCAGUGAAAUUAUACAAAACACUAAUCCAUUUUUUAAACAUACACAAAUUAUCCCUAAUUAUAUAUAAAUAAAUUAUAUUAACUAUCUUUGUAUGGGAAAUAAGUAUAAUUUCUUAAAUAAAAAAUUAUGAUGAUUGUAAUUAAGUUAAACAAAAUAUGGUAUAUUGUGAAAACCAGUCCAAAUAGUAUAAGAGUCAAUGUCUUUUCAUUAUUUUGGUUAGUUACAUAUACUAUAAGAGAUUUAAACAUUUUGUUCAAAUUAUUGAUGCAGUUUGUAAUUAACCGAAAAUAAUGAAUAUAUAUUGACUCUUAUACUAUUUUUUUUUGUCUUCUUAAUAUAUCAUAUUUUGUUUGACUUAAUUAAUGAAUAAUGAAUAUAUAUUGAUUCUUAUACUACUCGAAUAAACAGUGCAAUGUAUAUAUAUAAUUAGGGGUGGUUUAUGUAGGUUUAAAAAAGGAUUGAUGAUUUAUGUAAUUUCACUAAAUACUCAUAGGAUGCUAGUGUGAUUUACUCUAAAUUGAACUUGUACCAAAAAAAGCCUAUAGAUUAAACUGUAAAGUAAUUUAUGAGAGAUCUUGGUGCAUUUUGCUACAAUUUUUGUUCAAAGGUUAAUGUUAGAAAUUCAUAAUUUCUAAUUAAGUUGAUCAUCAUAUAUUUAAUAUAAUUAUAUCGACUAUUUAUUUUGGGUUACAAAACAUGUUAUCUAAUUGUGACAACCCAUUGGACUUCUAAAGCUGAUAACAGUUAUGAAUUUAAUAAGUGGAUACUGAAAUGAUUGGCCUAAAUGAGAUAAUGUGAACCCUAUAAGUUGUUAAUACAUAAGGAACAAUUAUGGUCUCCAAGAAACCAAAUCACAAGUAGUUUUCACCUUUCUCCGUUAGAGAGAAAACAAAGGUCCCAAAAGUAAUUCAGGAUUUGGUUGAGGAAGAUCAUCAUAUCAAAACUCUCUCCAAAGGCAUACAAAAUGAAUAGAUGUGAGAAACAUGGAUUGAUGUAUAGUUUUGUAUCCUUAUUUUAUAUUAUGUUUGAGAAUCAUGAUAAUUAAGAUCUUAGGGUAGGUAUUCCACCAAAGGAAAAUGUGACAAGUGGUUUUAGAGCGUAGAUCCUAAAUUUUAUGAUUCUCUAUUAAAAGUGUUUUUCCAAAUUUUGUAUGAACCCUAAUUUUAAUUUGGCGAUUUUAUGCUUAUGCUAUCAUGUUAUAAAAAUUGAGAAUUUUAUUUUGUGUGAUAAAUGUACACACAUAAUAACAUAAAGUAAUCAUAUGAAUGAUGUUGUUGGUUUGAUUUUUGUUCAUACCUCAAAGAAAUUGUAUGAUGAAGUUAAUGUGAUGAUGAGAACUUAGUCUUCCAAUUUUUUUACCUUGACAUUUAUACGAUUUACAAUAUUACAAAAUGUAUUUUCGUACAUUAUGAUGUUUUAACUAUGUAUCUCAUCCAUCAUAUUUGUGGCUUGCUUAGUGAUUGAUUUAGAAUUUCAUUGAUGCGUUAUUCAUUAAUCAAUAAUAUAUCCAUAUAUAGUUGUAUUAUGCAUAUACGUAUUGCCAAAGGUGGAUCUUAGUUGAAGCAGGUGGGGGCAACUGCCCUUGGAUAUUUUUUUUUCCAAUUUCUUUAAAUAUUUUAUUUUUCAUUUUUCAAAUAUUUUUUUUUUACAUUCUGCAAAUUGUGUAAUCAUUUUAAAAAUUAUAGAUAAAGUUUUUUAUAUGUAGAUCUUAAUAAUGCUUAUAAUAUUUUACUCAAUUUGAGUUCAUAAUUAUUUUACCCUUAUGAAAUAUAUUAUAGGAUUAGAGGUUGUCUUUGUCAAACUUUGCAGCAAAAGUUCUAAGAUUCUAUGGAUUUUAUAUAUCACUUAAUAUUGAUAACAUGUGUAUUUUUGUGCUAAAAUUGUACUUGUGGAUUUCAAUGCGAGUUUAAUAGCAUAUUUACUUGAGAUGUUAAUAAUUUGAAAGUUUUGUUGGUGAUGUCGUUAGAUAUUUAUGUUUGAAAAACUCUCAACCAUAUCUGAAUUAAGUGUAACUUUGAUGAUACAAGAAAAGUGAGUGCAUAUUAUUUGUUUGGUCGAGUUAUUCGUCUUAUUUUAACUAUUCUAGGUUUUUAGUUACUAGAGGAAGAUCAUUUUCAGCAACAAAGACAAUCAAACAAAACUAUGUAGCAAAAUAGAAGGUGAAUUUCUUGUAGACAACAUGAUGUAUUUUAUUGAAAAAUAAAUAGUUUAAAAUUGUACUUUUAAUUCAAUCAUCAUUGAAUUGAAGCAAUUUAACAAUGAGUGACAAUUUAAACGAAUGUACAUUAUUUAACGUCUUUAGUUGUUAAUUAUUGUUAUUUAGAAUUAAUAUGUUACUCUGAAUCUUUAAAAUAAUUAUUUAUAUUUUUAUAUGUUUUGUUCCUCAAUCAAUCUUAAUUAAAAGUUAUAAUUAAAUAUUAUUGUUGCCCCUCUUAAACUUUAGUUAACAUCCAACAUAUUGCAUUUACUAUAUUUAAAUGCCAAAAUAUUUUAUAUACUAUAUAUAUAAAUUUUGGUAUUAUAGGACACAUUUUUACCGUCUAUCUUUGUCCAUGACUCCAACCACAUAAUUUUUUUAUUAAUUUGUCAGCUUGUAUUACACACCUGUUUUUAAUUAUAUAUAUAUAUAUUUAUUUAUUUAUUUAGUUUCUAGUUUAUAUGUACUAGCAUGUUGGCAAUCACUCCGUGUCUAUCGACCUGUAUUUUUACUUUUUAAUAUUGAAUAUUUAAUUUUUAUAUAUUUCAUUUUAGAGAAUUAUAUCACUUUUCAUACAUGAUAUUAUAAUUUUUUGAUAAAAAUAUAAAAAUUAAUUAUGAUAUUAUUAGAAAAUGCAUUGAUAUUUUGAUAUAUUUAGUGAAUGUAACUUCCUCUAACCUUCAUUUAUAUUUUUUAUUGUAUGAAAAAUAUUGUAAUAAUUAUUAAUUAUAAGGCAAAAUAGGUAAGUGAAAAUUAUACAAUGUAGGUAGUUAUUUCAUGUUUUCCCUUUAUAUAUAACUAGUGUGUACAGGCACUUGCCAGUGAAUAUUGUAUGGUACUACGUAUUCAAUUUUAUAUAUUUUAUUUUUUAUUUUUAUGAUAAUGUUCAAUUCAAGGUGAGAUAUGUGGUUAAUUAAUAUGUUGGUUGUGAUUACUUAUAUUAUAUGGUUUUUUUGUAAAAAAUAAAUAAUAAUAAGGGCAAAACAGGAAAAUUACACAUGGUGGAAGUUACACCAUGUUUUCCCCUUAUAUAUAGUAUAGAUAUAGAAGUAUCGAUAUAUGUUUACUGUUUAAGGUUAUUAUACAUUUAGUUAUUGUAUAUAUGAUUUGGAUUUAUAUUGUGUAUCAGAUUUGUUAAUCAUUAAAGUCAUCAAGACUUAAAGAUUUAAUUCUAAAUUGUAAUUCUUUUUACAAUGGACUCAUAUUAAAUUAGAUAAUGCAAUAUGUUGCUAAAAUAGUCUAUAUUGUAGAAAUUAAUUUGAUUAAAAUUGUAUAGAUGUUAGUAUGUGCUAUUUUUUGUGAAUUCUGACCAGCUUAAAGAAAUAUAUAAUUAGGCCAAAUAAUAACGUAUAUAAUGAUAAAUAUGUAACAAUUAUAAAGUUGUAUUUUUCAUUUAAAUAAUAGUCGGUCUAAAGAAAAACUAUUGUUUAUUUGUUAGUAUUUGAUCAUUAUAUUUAUAAUACAUUUUACAAAUUCAUUCCUUAAGUUCUUUUUAUCUCUCCAAAUUCUAUUUUUUUCGGUAAGGCAUAUAAGGAUCCUAUGCUGUUUUGUAAAUCAAUCUGUUAAUUGUCAGCUCCAAAGUAAAAAGUUCAUAUUCUUCAUCUUUUACCAUUUCACAAUCCAAAUAUAUAUAUAUAUAGGUUACUACUUUUGGAAACUAUGUAAAUAAACUAAGAAAGUUGUAUUAAAUUCACCAUCUCUGAAAAAUAUCUCUUCAACAAAACAAAAAAAAAACAAAAGAAAAAUGGCUCGUCUGGCAUGUUGUUUGGUCUUGAUCUCUUUGUGCUUAUGCCGUGUUCUUGAGCCUGCUUUUGCAGCCAAGAAAGGACACAAGACCCUUAAGGUCAAACCCACUAAGCACAUUGCCCCAGCAACUGUACCUUUUCCUUCUGCUAUUCCAAUAGAACAAGCUUUGAUCCAACAACUAUGCCAUGAUACAAGGAAGUUCAAAUUGUGCCGCAAAAUUGUCCAAGGUGAUAGGGUAGCUUUAGAAUCAGUCGCUGAGGCCAAGAUUGCCAUUGAUAUUGCCACAUCCAUGGCAUCAAGGGUUGGUGCAUACAUGUCAACCCAGCUUAAAACAAACCGUGUUAAGGUUCUUUCAAGAGGGUUUGUGAAAGUUUGCAAGUUCAAUUAUGACAAUGCAAUUGUUGACUUGAACCUUUCAUACAUUAACUUUGAAUCCAACACCAAGAAAGCCAUUGAGAGUCUCAAACAAGCUGAGAUUAAGGUUGGAUACUGUGUUAAUUCUUUGAAAUCAGGAAGUAAAAAUUCUGAAAUUCCACCAGUUCAUAAGGCUAACAAAGUGAUUCAGAGUUUGAUAAAGGCAGCAGAAUCUGUUGCUAAGAAACAAACACACUAAGCAACAUAUAGCCAGUAUGUGUGUCCAUUUUGCCUUUUGUUUUGAGAGCUGUAGAACAUGUUUGUGUUUCUCCUUUUCUGAAUUUUGGUUACAGAAACAAGUUCUUUUUUGUACUCUUAUUAAUGUAUUGUAAUCAUAAAACAAUUUUAAUGAAGAGUCACAAUUUCCAAUAAUUAGAUUUUGUCUGUGUUUACAUAGGGUAAUGAUUAUUUGCUUAGAGAUAUAUUUGGUUUUAGUUCCUUAUUUAAUGUUAUCAACAUAAUUUAAGAAAUUAAUAAAUAAUAUAAAAAUAAAAUAUAAUUUGACUAAAGUAUUGUUAAUUUUUCACAUAUUUCUACACAUAAAUUUUCAUCAUAAAGUCAACCCAAACAACAAAUAAGUGAAAAAUAUUUGGGAAUAGAGAUUAUUAAGAGAACGCUUAAGAAAGAUUAUUACAUUGCAAAGUGGAGAAAAAUAGGGAAGAUAAUGUAUCUUCUUAUACCAGGAGAGGAGAUAACUUAUCUCCUCUAGCCAGUAAAAAUGUGACAUGUGUGUUAUUUUGUUUAUUAUUAAAAAUAUUUCUAUAGAUAAUGAUGAAACAUGACACAUGUCAUGAUUUCACUGGUAGGAGGAGAUAAUUUAUCUUCUUAUACUAUGAGAUACUUCAUUCUCUUAUAUUAAAAAAUUCGAAAGAGUAUUAUUAUAUUUACAAAUGAAUAAAAAUUUGAAAUAAAAUUUAUAAAUAAUUAUUAAAUCAGGCAGGAAAAGGCAUUAAAUAAAUAAGGUUGAUGAAUAUAUAUAUAUAUAUAUAUAUAUAUAUAUAUUAUCCCUCAUGCAUGACAUUAUAAGUGAUGCACGUAAGCUUAGGUGUGUUGCUUUGAGUUUUUUGCUUUUAAACUUUGAUUCUGCGCAGUUGUGAAGGCUUACUAGCGUUACUAAAAUGAUUAUCUGGUUGUGUUAAAUAAUGGGUUAAAUUGUCACUGCAAUUUCCAUAACCAUGUUAUAAUGAACUAUUAGUUAUCCCAUUAAAAGCAAAACUUUGAUAUAAUUUCUUUUAACAAAAGGGACAAUCAGAUAACUGGAACUGCUUAAAUUCAAUGUUUAUAACUUCUGUCUUCCUGUGAUGAAUUGAUAAUUAGAAUAAGUUUAAUUAUAUUUGUCAAAGAAUUCUGUAUUUUAAUUUUUAAGUAGUUUGAUAGUCACUGCUGUGACUUUUAGGUUUUAGAAAUCUGUGAUUUUUAAAGAAUUGUGUACUUUAAAUAGUUUGAUACUCACUGCUUUGACUUUUAGCUUUUAGAAAUCUGUGAUUUUUACUAUAAUGAUGUGUAUAUACUGCCUCCUAUUAGUUAUAUCAUAAAAAUAUGUAUGCAGUUAAAAUCAUAAUAUAUUUUGUCUUAGUGUUUAAUAAGUAGGUAUAGAUUAUAAAUUUAAAGAGUAAAUUAUAUUGAUAUUUCCUGAGUUUUAGUAAAAUUAUAUAAAAUACGCCCCCUUUUUAAACGUACAUAAAUUACCCUAAUUAUAUGUAUACAUUAUGUUGAUUACCUCUGCAUGAAAUAUAAGUGAAAUUUCUUAAACAAAAAUUGUGACUAUUCUAAUUAAGUUAAAAAAAAUAUGUAAAUUAUCAAGACAACCCCAAAUAGAAUAAGAGUCAAUGUGUAUUUAUUAUUUUGGUUAGUUAAUAUAGUAUAAGAAAUUUAAACAUUUCCUUAUAAUUAUUAAUGCAGUUUGUAACGAACUGAAAAUAAUUAAUAUAUAUUGACUCUUAUACUAUUUAGAUUUUUCUUCAAAAUAUACCAUAUUUUAUUUGACUUAAUUAUAGUCGUCAAUAUUUUUUCUUUAAGAAAUUACAUUUAUUUAUUUGACUGUGGUAGUCAGUGUAAUGUAUAUAACUAUAAGUAAUUUGUGUAAGUUUAAAAAUGGAAUGAAUAAUUUAUGUAAUUCCACUAAAACUUAGGGCUGUCUAUAUUAAACUUAUACAAAAAAAAAGACUAUAGAUUAAACUGUAAAGUAAUUUAUGAGAGAUCUCUAUACCUUUUGCUACAAUUUUUGUUUAGUAGGUUGAUGUUAGAAAGUAGUAAUUUCUAAUUAAGGUAAUCAUAUAUUUAAUAUAAUUGUAUCGAUUAUUUAUUUUGGGUUAUAAAACAAAUGAUUUAAUUCUGACAACUCAUAGAACUUCUAAAAUUGAUAACACAUAUAAGCUUAAUGUGUGGGUACCCAAAUGGUUGACCUAUAGGGGAUAAUGAGAAUCAUAUAAGUUAAUAUAUAAGGAACGAUUAUGGUCUUAAAGACAACAAAUUACAAUCAGUUUUCACAUUUCCCUAUUAGAGAAAAAACGAAUGUACCAAAUGGAAUUCAAGAUUUGGUUGAGGAAGACCAUCAUACCAAAAAUCUCUCUAAAGACAUACAAAAUAAAUAGAUCUAAGAAACAUGGAUUCAUAUAUGAUUUUGUAUCCUUGUUUUAUAUAUUUUUUUUACAUGGGAAAGGAAAACAAAACUAAGAAGAACUAUCUAAGACUAAUAAAUCCGACAAGACAUUCAAACCUAAAGACCUAAGCGUGAAAGAGCACCCGUCUUUGCCAUAAAUCCACCACGGAGUUGGUUCCCUUUAUAUUAUGUGUAUGAAUCAUGAGAUUCCAGAUUCUAGGAAUGAUAUUACACUAAUCAUAAGGAAAAUUUAACAAUUGGUAUCAGAGCGUAGGUUCUGAAUUUUAUGAUCUCCUUAAAGAUGUCUUUCCAAUUUUUAUAUGAACCCUAAUUUUAAUUUAUGGAUUUUAUGCUUCCGCUAUCGUGAUAUAAAGAUUGAGAAUUUAAGUUGGUUAUUUCCGCUGUAAUGUUUUCGUUUGAGUGUCUUAAUUGUACACACAUAAUGAUAUAAAGUAAUCGUAUGGAUGAUGUUUUUUAUUUUCUUUUUGUUCUUAUCCCAUAAGGAAUUGUAUCAUGAAAUUAAUGUGAUGAUGAGAACUUACAAUUCAAUUUUUUUUACGCUUUCCAUGUAUACGUUUACAUGCUACAAAAUGUACAUAUAUACAUUAUGAUGUUCUAAUUAUAUAUCUCAUUCAUUAUAUAUGUUGUUUGUCCAGUGAUUGAUUUAUAAUUUUGUUGAUGCAUUAUUUAUUGAUUAGUAGUAUACUCAUAAAGUUGUAUUCAUAUAGAUAAUGCAUUUAGUUUAUUUAAAUGCUGAAAUAUAUUAUAGAGUGUGCAUUUUUAGUAUAAAGAUUUAUACACAGUCAAUAAAUUAUCUAUUAUUUAUUUGUAUUAUUUUUUUCUAAAAAGUCAAUAAUGAUUUAAAAUAAAUGAAGUAUGAUGAGCCAUAAUAUAUAAAACUCUUAUACUGUCAAUAUAUUUUCUCUAUUUUAUAUACUAUAUAUAUUUUGCUAUUAUAAGGCACAUAUAAUGUCUACCUUGUUAUAACUUCAAGCACAUAAAUUUUUAUUAAUUUGCCUCCUUAUCACAAGUUCAGUGUGAUUUACUCAUGUUUUUAAUGUAGCUACUUUACUGAAGUUAUAUAUAUAUAUAUAUAUAUAUAUAUCUUCAAUGCCCAGAAAAUCUCUUCUUUUCCUUUAUUAGAUUUAGUUCAAGUUAUAUCUUGGUAUUCGUGUUCUUCUUUUGUAGAUAAAUUGGUGUUUUAAUUCCUAGAUUGUUUAAAAAAAGUUACUUUUUAUAGUUUGGAUUUAUAUUGUGAUUAAAUCUUAAAAUUUUAAUUCUAAUUUGUAUUUUUUUAUAAUGUACUCAUAUUAUUUUUUUGUCUAGUAUGUUUUUGAUUAAAUUCAAUGAUAUGAUAUGUUGCCAAAGUAAUUUCUACUUUGAUUAAAAUUAUAUAUAUACUAGUAUGUGACUAUUUAUGAGAAUUGUGAUCAGCCUAAAAGAAGAUAUAAUUUGGCCAAAUAAUAACAUUUAUAUGAUGAUAAAUAUGUAAUAAUUAUAAAGUUAUAUUUUUCAUCUAAAUAAUAUUCGGUCUAAAAAAGACUAUUGUUUGACAAAACUAAUUAUUAAUAUUUAUCAUUACAUUGAAAAUUCAUUUCUUCAAUUCUUUUUAUCUGUCCAAAUUAUAUUUUUUUUCUAAGCCAUGGAAGAUCCUAUGCCGAUUUAGUAAAUCAAUCUGUUAAUUGUGAGCUUCAAAUUAAAAAGUGCCUAUAAUUUAUCUUUGACUGUUUCACAAUCCAAAUAUGUAUCUAUUUUGAGGUUACUACUUUUGGAAACAAGCAUAUAAAUAAGCGAAGAAACUUGUGCUAAAUUCACCAUCUCUCAACAUUAUAUCUUCAACAACAACAAAAAAAGAACAAAAGAAAAAUGGCUCGCCUGGCAUGUUGUUUGGUCUUGAUCUCUUUGUGCUUAUGCCUUGUUCUUGAGCCUGCUUUUGCAGCCAAGAAAGGACACAAGACCCGUAAGGUCAAAUCCGCCAAGCACAUUGCCCCAGCAAGUGCACCUUUUCCUUCUGCUAUUCAAACAGAACAAGCUUUGAUCCAACAACUAUGCCAGGAUACAAGGAAAUCCAAAUUGUGCCGCAAAAUUGUCCAAGGUGAAAGGGUAGCUUUAGAACCAGUCGCUGAGGCCAAGAUUGCCAUUGAUAUUGCCACAUCCAUGGCAUCAAGGGUUGGUGCAUACAUGUCAACCCAACUUAAAACAAACCGUGUUAAGAUUCUUUCAAGAGGGUUUGUGAAAGUUUGCAAGUUCAAUUAUGACAAUGCAAUUGUUGACUUGAACCUUUCAUACAUUAACUUUGAAUCCAACACCAAGAAAGCCAUUGAGAGUCUCAAACAAGCUGAGAUUAAGAUUGGAUUCUGUGUUAAUUCUUUGAAAUCAGCAAGUAAAAAUGCUGAAAUUCCACCAGUUCAUGAAGCCAACAAAGUGAUUCAGAGUUUGAUAAAGGCAGCAGAAUUUGUUGCUAAGAAACAAACACACUAAGCAACAUAUAGCCAGUAUGUGUGUCCAUUUUGCCUUUUGUUUGAGAGAUGUGGAACAUGUUUGUGUUUCUCUUUUUCUGAAUUUUGGUUACAAAAAUAAGUUCUAUUUUUGUACUCUUAUUAAUGUAUUGUUAUCACAAAACAAUUUUAAUGAAGGGUCACAGUUUUCAAU